AAGAACAACGACGAUAUUGGAGUUGGGUACCCAUCACAGCCGAUGAAAAUAGAAGUAAGUUUGUGGGAUGGAGAUAGCUGGGCAACCGAUGGAGGCCGAACAAAGACUAAUUGGAGCAUGGCACCUUUCAAAGCCCAUUUCCAAGGAUUUGAUAUAAGUGGUUGCCCAAUAAUUCAGAACUCGAGCAACAUUCAACAAUGUUAUUCUCCCAAUUAUUGGUGGAAUUCAGAGAAAUAUUGGAAGUUAGACUCCAAGCAACAAGGAGAACUGCAAAAUGUAAGAAAGGAAUACAUGAACUAUGACUAUUGUUCGGAUAGGCCUAGAUACCCUGUUCCUCCUCCGGAGUGCCUUCAUCAAUAGCAGGCUAGAGUUCGUGGGGAUGGGUUAAUUUAAGUUGCUAUAUUAAAUAACAAUGCAGCUGAUGUAAUAAAAGAAAAUUUUAAAUUGUUCCACUUUAUAAAAUUAUUAUAGUUAUUUAUUAAUACUUUUUAAUAAUAAAUAUUUUCCCAUAAGUUAGGAAGUAGAUUAUUGUUACAUAUUCUACCAUGAAUUAGGAUCUAUUAUAGUUAGUAACAGCACAAGGUGACCAUUUCUCUCAUGGAAAACUCAUGCUUGAACUGAUCAAGUUACAAUAAAUUAACACAAAAAUACUUGAUUUUGGUUUUGAUUUGAUUGCUUCUUCUCUUUUACUAUAUUUUUCCCAUAAAACGAAAUUAAACAUAUCGAUGAAGACAAAUGAUAAAAAGUUUAUUACAACUAUCAAACAGUAAUAAAAAUUAAGGCAAUAUAAUAAAAUAAUAAAUUUUUUAAUUUUUAAUUUUUAAAUCGAUUAAUUCAUAUAGUUAUAUAAUAUUUUUGAUAUUCAAAUUCUAAGGUUUGUAAUUUCUUCUUAUACUCUUGUGCUAUCAUGUUACAAUCUCUUUAAAAAAUAAAUAAAUAAAUAAAUUUUCACCGGCCAAUUGCCUAAUUUAUAAAGUUGUCACAUGCUGAUUUGUUUUUAUUAUUCAUAAUCGAACGGGCUUAUAAAGCCCAAUCUACGAUCCAAGAACUCCAUCUGUAAUUGGCCGAAAAAAGAGAAAUUGUAUAAUUAAAAAGAAAAAAGUCUUCACCGAUCAGGUAAUUUUUUUGAAAGCUACGGGGACUGGGUAUUCCCAUGGCGGAUUUUCUAUAUCCAGUAGCAUAUUUUCAGUUUGCUACCCCAGUAAUGGCCCUUCUUCAAAGACCCUUUUUUGUGCUACUUCUUAUACUAACUCAUCAAUUCAUGCAAUGUUGGAUUGCUUUUGGAUCGGUCAAUGAAGAAGGAAAAAAACAAGAAGAAGAAUUCAAUGAGGAGCUACUAUUGAAGCCGUUGCCAGAUCGCAACGUGUUGGCCCAUUUCCAUUUUCGAAGCUCUGCCCCUCUUUCCACCACUUAUUUCCCAAAGCCAUUUCUCAAUUGGUACUUUUUUUAUUAGUUUAUUUUAUUUUUUCUUUUGGGUCACCGAGAAAUCUUACGCUUUUUUUUUUUUUGGUAUUUAUGUUCUUUCAUGUUGCUUUUGUUUAAAUGGAGUUAGAGAAAAGCUAGCUUAGCCAAGUCAGGUGGCUUUCUUCAGUUUCUGAAUCUAUCAGUAACUUAGAAAGGUGGUAGGAAAGCCCAAAACUUAAAUCUUUCCUUUGCUCUUCAUACAUUUAUUAGCAAAAUAUUUAAUCAUUGUGUGGUGUAAAGAGGAUUUUGGGUUUACUUGCUUUUGAUAUGCUUUGGUCUGUAUGUUGAUUUUUUAAGUUUAUCGUAAUGUUUGAAUAAAUAUUAAUAAAAUAAUAAAAAAAUAAUAUAUGUAUAAUUAUUUGGAUAAUUAAAAUUAAAAAAAAAAAUUUUUAUCAAUUAUUAUUUGGAUAAAUAAUAAAAAAAAGAAAAUGAUUCAUUAUAAUAAUUUUUUUAUUUAUAAUUUUUUAUUAUUUGUAAUUUUAAAAUAUUUUUGGAUAAUGAUAUAUUUGUUAUCUUAUUUAGCUUCAAAAUUAUUGUUAUAUCAGUGAUUUUUAAUCAAGUAAAACAUAAAGUUAUUUUACAAACAUGCAUUAAUGAAUUUUUUGAUCAUUAUCAAAACUUUAAUACACUAUUACUUUGACAAUAUAUUCAUAUAAAACUAUUAAAUAUAAAAAAUACAAUCAUAUGAAAACAUUACAUACUAAAGAAUUAUAUGUCCUUUUUGCACCAAACAAAAAGUAAUAAUAUAUUAUCAUAUAGUUGUCUAAUAUAAAUUUAUUUUAUCAAAAAGAGAUGAUUUUGAAAAAAUUAUAAGAAAAUUAUGAUGUGGUUUUGUUUUUUUUACUAAUUUUCUAGUAUUAAUAAAAAAAUAGAUAUAAUAAUCUUUUAAUAAAAAUAAAAUUUUUUUCAAUUUUCAUUUUUUUAGCUUUUUUUUAAAAAUUGAAAUAUUAAAAAAAUGAAGAUUACAAGAAAAAACAAAAGUUAUUGAGUUUUCACAUAUAUAUUUUUUUAAAUUAAAAAUUUAUCCAAACAAAAUUUUUUUUUCUGUUUUCAUUAUUAUUUUUUAUUUCUCUUUCUUUUUCUUUUCCUCUCCUUAAUCGAAUCAUACAGUAAGGAUCAGGUUAAGUAGGGAGUAAGGACUAUGGACUGGAGUUGUCAACUCAGGCUGAGUCAAUUUAAGUAGUUAGUGGACUGCAUCAAGUUACCAAAUAAUCGGGAUUUAAAAUUUUGAUUUAUUAGCUUUUGUUUCAUGAUGAAAAAUAGAUGCAUUAUAAGGUUAAAUCUUAUCAUUAUUGUCUUUGGAGCACUCAGCUUGGCCUGAGUCAAUUAAGGUAGGUCAUACAGGCUCUUUUUUUCUUUAAAGCCUUCUAUUAGCUUAUUUACAUAAAAAAUAUCAUUCAACCUAUCUCUGCAUUUUCCUAAUCAAGUUAUGAUUAGUUCAUUGUUUUCCGCAUUCAUAAAUAUACAUGAGAAUGAAAUGUUCUUAUGAACUCAUCCAACCUUUUCAGCAAUGUUAUGUCUGACAUGAAGUACAAAAUUGGCUACAAGUUUACCUGAAAAAUAUUAUGCACGAAUUGUGUAUGUCUUGCAUUAAUUUGUCUAUCUCUCUUUGUGUAAGGUAAAGAUAAGAGUCUUGAUAAACUUCCCAUUGUAGAUUUUACAAAGCGAGGAUCAGUACCCUUCUUAGGAGAAGAUGAAUAAACAUUCCUGCUCAUAUUUGGAAGAGGAACCUCCCACCGGCAUUGCAUUGGUGUAAUCAGGACAUAGAAUCAACGAACAGUCAAUGAUAAACCAUAAUGAAACAUAUAACCAACGAAUUGCUAUAACCUAAUGGAAAAGUGGUUGAUAUGGAACUGACUUAAAAAUGAGAAACGGGGUAGCCGUCAUGGAAAGCUAAGAUUCAUAAUAGGUUAGGGAAAAAGGAUGCCUUUUAAAUGAUACAGCUGUCUAAUCUUUUAAUGUUUACUGCAGUAUUUUUUAUUUCUACAUUUCGAGUAUUUCACAAACACCUUCUACCCCUCUCUCAUGUACAUACAUCUUAUUCAUCCAAAUCUAUUUGCCAUAUUGCAGAACCGAAUUCUAAUCUUUCCAUAACAUUCUACUUAACUUCCAUCAUUUACUUCAGCGUUUUACAUUACAUGACUGUUAAUAUUAGAAAUAUUCCAAAUAUUUCCUGAUUGUUGAAACCUCAAAAUGACAUCCAAUAUCAACAUAAUUGUUCUUUGGAUUAUUAUCCAAUCCGCUGCUAGUGCAGUGCAAACGCUCCACAAGCAGGAUUGUUUGAUGCAAUGCUUCCGUUUAACAAAAUGGACAUAGAAUUAGGAAGUUAACCUAACCGCUAAGUAAGGCAUGAAAAUUGAACAACCCCUUGAAGAGCUUUUGUGUUCUAAUAUUGUUGUAUAAGAUAAUGAUGUAUAUUCUUUUAUGACUAAGUCCUAAAGGAUGAUAGGAAAAGAAUAACGAAGAAAAGUUUGAAUACAAAGUCUUGACAACUAAUGCAGAUGUCUUACACUUCCAAAGAUCCAUUUCCCAGUAAGACAGCCAGAUAGCCCAUCCGUUGGUUGCAUUUAGAAUCAUUUAUAUCAUAAGGCUUCCAUUUUACAUCCCAAGCAACUUUUCCAUUGUGAGCUAGAAAGAGGACAGCUCUUGGCAGUGCAAUGUCACCUGGAAUAGAAGAACCGGGGCUGAACUCGAACGAAUUACUAUCUAAAAGAUUAUUCGGCACAGUAGCAUCCUGCCAGAGUUGUAACAAAUUUGUUGGUUUAUUGUCAAUGAAGAUUCUGUUUCUUCAUUUUGAGUCAAUAAUGGGAGGCAUUUACCAUCACUAAUAGUUUUUUGCUCGUGCCUUACUUUUCAAUUUUCUACUUUCCACAGAUGUAUUAGGGGCUGCAUCAGAUGAAAAUGCUGCCUCUUUGUCACCUUUUUGUUUUUUAUGAUGAUUCUUAUCUGAAACAUUUUCUUGCGUAUUUCCAGGAGCGUUGUCUAUUGCAACUGGCUCAAAGGAACCUUCUGGGUACUGAACAGGAAGAGGUUGGAAAGGCUCGUCAUUCUAAUUGCUGUUAGGAGAUUCACCAAUUGAUUUGUUUGUAGGUCUACCUGUUGGCCUCUUAACCUGAUCUAGUUGAGAUUCAACUAUUGGUUUCUUUCCAGGUCUUCCUCUAGGCCUCUUUGACGAGCUCUCCCCCAUGGCCUUUGUAUUUUGAGAUCUCCGUUUUGGCUUUUUCUUUAACAGAGGAGCUUCUUCCUCAUUCACCCCAACAUUUAGCAUACACCAUAUUUGAAUGAUGCCUCUACCAGUAAGUGGGGUGCCCAUCUUGUGAUAAUAAGAUUCAGGAGGAUGAGCAGCGACAGCAAUGAACUGGGAAAAAGAAGGCAAAAAAAGAAAAAGACAAAACAAGGACAGCCUCGCAAGAUUGCAGCAUUAAGAUGGUGAUAAUUAUUAUUAAAAAUCCUACUUAUUAAGCAUGCAGGCAAUAUUUUAAACCACUGUUUCAGAACAAAUCUAGGCUUUUGUCUCUUUCAUUUGAAAUAACCAAGUAGAUAGAGGUUUGGGCUAUAAUGAUAAAUUGAAGGUGGAAUACACGAAAAAAAAAAAAAAAGAAUAAAAGGUUCCCAGAAGUGGGUUAGGGAUUUGGGAGGGGAGAAGUGGGGAAGUACCUCACAUUUGACAGGACUGUUAGGAUUCUCAUGAACUCUAGGACACCAUUAAUCUAAUGCCCAAACAGACCCUCCAACAUACAUCACGAAGUCCUUGCUGCAAGAUGAUUGUACUUUAAUCAUGUCAUUCAAUAAAUGUAUAAAACAUACCAUUUUGCAGCGGUGUUGGCUUCACAAAUAAAAAUAUUUGGGUGCCCAUACACAGAUCUUAAAUAAGAGGAGCAAUAAUAACACCAAGUUCUUAUCUUAUAACAUGUAUAUGCAUCACAGAUCAACAAGAGCAAACACCAUCCAUAACAUGUUGUUCAUAAGAGUUAAAAUUUUUUAAACAAAGGAGGAAUCCUGUAGGAUAGCAGAACUUUUAUGGUCAAGAAUAAAACUAAGACCUUUUCCAAACCCACAGUACACCAUCCUUUUACCACCUAAACCCAAUAACAUUGGAAACUGAAAUUGCUCCAACCAAAAUCCAAUCUAACAUGGAUUCUGGAGAUGCAUUACUUACUCGUAGUCCUUCCUGCUGCUUCCAUAAGAAAAAAAGAAAGAAAAAAAAGAAAAAAAAAACAACAAUGAGUAUUAACAGAAUAUUAUGCUAUAACAAGUAAAAACUAUUCCAGAAGAUUUAUGCAGUCAUUGAACAUUCCUCCAUGUGAGGGACCCAAAAUAAAAAGAUUUUCUUUCACCUUGGGAACAGUUGCUGAUGAAAACUGAGGCAAGUUUAUGCCACCAGAAACAUCUUUACCCGGUGAGUCUCCUAGUUCGCUAGCAAACCCAAUGAUCCUCGGUUCAUAAUUAAAAUGCCUCCAUUCCCUAAAAGCAUGUUUAAUAGUAAAUUAAGAACUUGUACAUGUCUAUAUUGGACAGAUAAAACUAACAUAAAAAAAAAAAAAUACCCGACGUACAUCAGCAAAGUCAAUUCAAUCGCAUUUGGAAGUUCUAAAUGCACAAAGAUGAGCAUAAAGUUACCUUAAGAAAGUGAUUGAAGAAGAGAAUCUCCGGAUAUCAGUUUCAUCGAGACCAUCAAUCUUGGGUUCUUCACAAAUCUAGAGAUUGUAUCCAUUACCCUAAAAUGUUUCUCGAUUGAAUAACCAAAUAUAGAGAACCUAACUCCAGAAUCACCAUUAAAUGGUGGUUCUUCCAUUUUUCUGUUUCUUUUUUCCUACAUGUAACACAUCUGUUCGUCAAUCACUCAAAUAUGAGACAUAUAAUGCUAGAGAAGUUUUUUUUUUUCUGUUAGUAGGAGAACAAACGUCCGUAUAAAGGAAAGAAAGACAGCGGAAUUAGAACCUACGUCCAUAAGUCUUUUUUAAAAUCUCUUAAUCAUUACAUCAAAAGAAAAGACAUAUAAUGUUAGAGAGUUGAUUAUAAGAAAUAAAACGUAAACUAUAACUGAAUGCUAAAUUUGAUACUUUAACUUAAAAAAAAAUUCAAUUCAAAAAAUUGUUGGAGCCUAACUCUGAGUUGCAAUCAACAAUAUAACUUAAUUUAAACAAAAUAAAUGUAAUAUGGAACAUCACAUUUAAUAAUAAUUACGACGCAUUAACUUGAAAUUCUUUCUAAACCUUUUUCAUCAGUAAACUUAAGUUUUUCCCUCUUAACCAAAAACAACAAAAAAUAAAAUAAAAUAAAAUCCAUGAAUUUCACAUAUUUUUCCUCUCAAAAUUUCGUGACCCAAACAUACCAGUAGGCAACGAUAAUUAGCUCAGAUGACCUGAUUUUAUUUCAAAGCAGACAGAUAAUAUAUGUGCCUCUAAAUGAUGAAAAUUAAAGGUAUUAUAUUUAAAGACAAAUAUGAUUUAUGCCUUAAAUCCAUUAUUUUAAAAAUUAAUAUUUAUGUGUAGCUUAUUCUUUGCCUUUAAUUAUUGGUUUUGUUGUAGUGUAUAAAAAAUAAUGUAUAUUAUAAUUUGAGUUAUAAUCGACUAAGUUUGGGCUUUGAAUGCUAGUCUCAAGUUUCAAUUUACAUUUUAAAAGAACUCGAAGACGUCAAAGGAUAGAGUAUGGGGCAGGUAGAAUAUUUUUCUUUUUUAUUCUCAAAUUUUUAUAUUAUAUUAAUUCUUAUAUCUAUAUUCAAUGAAAAUUUUAAAUUUAUUCACAUUUUUACCUACGAAAAUAUUUAAUUGAUGCAAAUAAUUCUUAUACUCUUAGCUUUUUUAAAAAAUAAAUUUUACCUUUUAAUUUAUUUUAAUUUUUAUCUUACAUAUUCAUAUAAUUUUUUUAUAAAUAUAUUAAUAUAUAUUUAAAAUAAAAUAUAUGUUAAUUUUAAUUAAUCAAAAAUAAAAUUUUAUAUUAUUUAAUAAUAAAUUUAUUUACUAAAUAUAUAGGCAACGGGUACAAAAUAUGUGCUAUAUUACUUGUCUCUAUCCUUGUAUCAAAUAAAAAAUUUUAAAUCAUAUUUAUGCCAUUCUUAAAAUUUAAUACCCAUUUUAAUCCCAUUGGGUAAAAAGUUAGAUUUUCUAUCUGAUAUGGAUAAAAUUAAUAUCCUUAAAUGAGUUUAAUGUUUUACACAAAUCUAUUUAAUGGGUUUAAUAUUUUUGUUUAAACCUUCAAAAAUAUUGAAUGAGCCCUCAAAACUUGAAUGGAUAACUUGACCAUUGGAUAAAUCUAUCAAAAUAUUUAACAUUUUUAUAAAUGUAAAACAAAACAAAAACAAAAAUAAUCGUAAAUAUAAUUUGAGUUUAAAUUUAUAAAUAAUAUGGAUGGUAGUACUUACAAGAGUAAGGAUACAGUUAUAAUGGUGUAAGUUUUACAUUUUUUUUAUAUCAAAAUUAAAUUUAUGUAUUAAAAUAAUAUUUAAUCUCAACCACUUUGAUCUAAUAAUAAAAAAAAAAAUGUAAAACUUAUAUUAACACAAGUGGAUCGCUCAUCUUACCUAUAAUGGUAUACAAUGAAAGACUCUCUCUAAAUUUUUAAUUAUCCACUUGAUAUUUUGCAAAUAAAUUUGUUGAACUUCAAAAUUCCUUCACUGAAUAAGGAAAUAAUCCAAUUGAAUUGCAUUCAAUUUACAUUCAUUGAAUAUGAAUGGUACAACAAAACCAAGUCCUAAUCCCCAUUUCUUAUCGAAUUAACCUAUUUACUUGCCGUCAAAGACUUUUUUUGUAUUAGAAAUUUUCGAAAAGAAGUUGACAAAUUUCACAAGUAAGACAUUAAAAGACAUUAAAUAAAGAUUUAAUUGAAAAAAAUAAAAAUAAAAAAUAGAAAGACAUGAUGAUUUGUUUGGAGUAAGAUGAUGGGUUUAUAGCAUUCAAAAAUUCAGUUUGAUAAUUACUCAUGAUGACGAGUAAAAAAAAUGUUUGGUAGGUUUCUCCUUUAUAUAGUUAUCUUAUAGAAAUGUCAAGUAAUCUGUAAGCUUCCAUAUAAAGUAGGCAGGUUUCUCUUUUAUCUAGUUAUCUUAUAGAAAUGUCAAGUAAUCUGUAAACUUCCAUAUAAAGUAGGUAGGUCUCCCUUUUAUCUAGUUAUCUUAUAGAAAUGUCAAGUAAUCUAUAAACUUGCAUAUAAGGUUUUGAUUGUGAGAUUGAUAUAAUAAAUUCAAAUAAAUAAUAUAAUCAAAAUAUUCUAUUUCUAAAAUGAACCUGCCCUGUUUUAAGAGAAAUGGCCAAUUAAUUGAACUAUAGAAGGCAACCAAAUCGACUUACUCUUUUCCUUUCAUGCAUGAAUCUAAGACUAUUGCUAUCUAUAUAAGAGACUUGUGAUCAGAUCACUAACAUGCAAGUAAAUUAUAACAAUCGCUUUUAUUUUUUUUUUAGUGAAUAUAUGAUAAGAAGUUCAUUAAAACUUCCAAUUAUUUACAAGAAGAAAUACAAAGAUAUGGCUAUGGAAAAGAGGUUUUCUCCUUUUGCAAUUUCUUAUUCAUAUUAUUGUUUCAGACAUAUAUAUAUUUCAUGAUGAUUUUACUGUUGGAUUUUCUUUUUUAGUAGUCAUCAACCUAAUUAAUAAAUAAAUAUGGAAUUGGACAGGUUCUUCUUCGGUCUUCUCAUUGCAGCUAUAGUAAGUGCAAUCAGAGCAGGUGAUGUUAGUUUUGAUAAGAAUUAUCACGUCACAUGGGGAAACUCUCAUGUGACUUCUCUAAACCAAGGAAGAGAAAUUCAUCUUUUAAUGGAUAAUACUUCAGGUUCGAUACAUGAAAACAACUAACUUAUACAUUUGCAUGCAUGUAUAAACGUAUUUAAAAAAGACACGUGCAUAUAUAUAAUCACUCGUAGCUAAACUUUUAAUAUAUGAAAAUGUAAAUUAAAAAACAAAGAAUCACUAAUGGUGGUUAUAUGAAUGCAGGGGCUGGGUUCCAGUCCAAUGUCGGGUAUGCUUCAGGGUUUUUCCAAAUGAAAAUAAAGACACCCAACAAGGAUUCUACUGGAGCUGUUACAACUUUUUAUGUACAUAUAUCUUUUUCUGUACUUUAAAAAAAAAUUCCUGUCUUCUCUAACAUGUAUUAGUUAAAGUAUAAUUUAAUGAACAUUUUGGUGGGUUGAUGGCAUGUAUGCAGUUGACCUCAAAUCCACAAAACACAGGAAACCAUGACGAGCUAGAUUUUGAGUUUUUGGGUAGCAAGGGUCCUCCUUUUACAUUGCAAACAAAUGUUUUCGCUAAUGAUAGAGGAGGCCGAGAGCAAAGGAUUCAUCUUUGGUUUGAUCCCACUGCUGAUUUUCAUACUUACGGAAUUCUUUGGAAUCAGCAUCAAAUAGUGUAAGCAAAAACUAUUCUCUUUAAACUAAUUUGAUUCUAAUUUAACUAGUUACAACAUUGCUUUGAAGUCCUUGGUUUUAUGUUUUGUGCAGGGUUCAUGCAUGGAAAUUAACAUUUCUAAUUUAAGUCUCUUAAAAAUAAUUUGAUUCUUUAACCCUAGUUUUCUUGCCUUUUCAGGUUUUAUGUGGAUAAUACACCCAUAAGAGUUUUCAAGAACAAUACAAAUAUCGGAGUAAAUUAUCCUUCACAACAAUUAGUGAUUCAAGGAAGCCUAUGGAAUGGAGAAGGUUGGGCAUCGGGUGGAAGAAAAAUUGAUUGGAGUCAAGCUCCAUUUAUAGCCAGUUUUCAAGGGUUCAACGUGGAUGGUUGUCAAUUCCACGACACUGCGACCAAAGCGCAAUGCUAUAAUUCUAACUUGUGGUGGAAUGGAAACAAAUAUUUGGAACUAGACCCUGCUCAGCACAAAGCAUUACAGUAUGCAAGAACCAAGUACAUGUUUCAAGACUACUGCACUUCUCCAAGUGGGAGGUACCAUAAAGAAUGCGGAAGUAAUAAAUAAAUGAAGAGAUAAAUAUGUAAAAAUUUCUGCUUAGUUGGAUUGUUUUAUAUGCAAUAUAUAGAUAGCAAAUAAAUUAGAAUAUUUUCAUUAAAAAAUUAUAAACAUUGGUAUUCUUAUCCUUGUACAAAAAUGGAAAUUAUCAUGUUUAUGCCCUUUAAAAAAAAAACAAAAUAAUAAAUAAACCAAACAAAUGUCAAAUUUGUUGGGUAUUUCAAUUUCAAAGUCAAUCCCAAAGUUGCUUUUCCAAUCACAAAUGAGAAUGACGUCAAGCCCAUCCUUCUGGGCCCACAAUGCGGUGCUAUAAAGGCACUUUCACGGAGUUGGGUAUCUUCUCCAUGAUGGUUGGAUCCGACAAGCCACAAUUUAUGAACUUUGUUAGAAGGAAAGGGUCGUUCAAUAAAUUGGUAAGUGAGGUAAACGAUCAAUUCAAAGCCUAUCCAAUAAAAGAUUUUAUAUUUCGUUCAAAAAAAUUUAUAAAAAUACUUAGAGCACCAAAACUAAAAAGCGCACAUGAACAUGUGGAGGUUAGAAAAGUUCUUUCUUGCACUGCUGUGCAACAUGUUUGUCUUUGUUUUCCCACGCUUCCAACUUUCUCUUCUGAAGCCCAACCCGUGUUUGUUAUUUUCCAAAGAUGAACCUUUAGGUACUCUCUCUCAGCCUUGCUGUUCCAAUGUAAAAGGAGUCUCCUCCUAUAUAUAAAAUGCUUAUUUGAUUUGGUUUGCGCAACCGUGUCACCCUCAAAAUGAUUUUAUAUUGAUUCGGUUGGCUUUAAUUUGAUGCCAUCGUCAUAGCACAUGGAAAUCGAUUUAUUUGUGUUUAGUCAUACAUUUACCAUUCGUGAAGAAUUCAACUUUCUUGGUUGUUUUUUUUAAUUUAAAGCCAAAUUAAUCUUGAGAUUGUUUCUGACGUCUGGAUUAAUUAGGCGCACACAAAUACAAUUUAUUGCGUUUGUUUGUUUCAAGAGUGAUAAAAUAGGUUUAUAUGCACCAAAAAUCAAAAUGUUUUUUUUAUAUACUCAACUUUUAUUCCUAAAGUAAAUAAUUGGUAAACAUGAUUCAAACUUUGAAAAACUGACUUAAUUCAUUAAAUUUAAAAUCGAACCUAAUUUAAUUUGAUUAAAAAAAUCAUCGACAUAAAUCUAUUUAACUCAAUUUUAAAAUAACUCUCAAGUUUAAAUUCAAAGUAACUUAAAAUUGAGAUGAUUUAAACUUAAAAAUAAAUCAAAAUGAUUUAUUUCAAACUCGCUUAAUUACCAUACCUCUUUAGGAUCUUUUGAACUUUGUGACUUCAAACUUGGGGGUUGUUAAUUCUUCAAGUUAAGGAAAAAGAAACAGAUUAAUGUGUUAGUCCUCCACAAUCAUUUGUAGUUUGAAGUUGCUUCCAAUUGUUCAAAGCAGUGCUAGAUAGAAUACGUGUAAGAGGUUUGUUGUAUGCGGAUAACAAUGAAGAAGUCAAUAGCGUGUAAGGAAGUUGGAUCAAAUGGUGAUACCUUAUACUUUUCUUUUCUUUUUUGGCUUUUUUCAUGGAUAGAUCUUAGUUGGGAAGCUGGCAGAUCAAAACAUCGAUCCCUAUAUAAACUCACUAAAUGAUAAUGCAGUCGUUACUAAAGAUAUGGAAAUGCAAUAUUUUUCCCUGCAGCUAUGUUUACUUUCAUCAAUAUUUUUCCUUCUUGGCUGCUGCAGCCUGUUUGCAAACACUACUGAUAUUGUUAGAUUUGAUGAAAACUAUGAAAUUACAUGGGGAAGUGAUCAUGUUUUGUCUUUAAAUCAAGGAAGUGAAAUUCAGCUCUCAAUGGAUAUCUCUUCCGGUUAUCUUCUUUCUCUCCUAACACUCACUUAAUAGCUAUAAAUACAAUAUAAUUUAUGGUACAGAACAUUAUGCAUGCUUUUUUUUUUUUUUACUUUUUAUUUUUUUUAAAGAAAAAAAGACAUAUUUUUCAUUUGACUUAGUUGAAAAUUAUGUCACAUGGUUUAUACCAUCUUAGAGAAUCUUUUCUUUUUCUUAAAAAAUCUUAAAUAUCAAUAUUUAUAUGAUACGUUUAUAGAGUACUAAAUUAUUAAUUUCAAUAAUCAAAAUUUAAUUUUUAAUAACUUUAAAUUAAUAUAUUAAAAAUAUUUAAACCCUAAUCAUUAAUAAGAAUCUAACACUAUAUGAAUAGAUACUAUCAUUGUUAUCACUUAUAGAGGAUUGAUUUAAUCCACUGUUCUAUCUUGAAGUGCGGAAUAUUGAGGUGUUUUAAAAUGUGGUGGAAUUAUUAAAAAAAAAAAACCAAUUACCAAAUAAAUCUUUGUGAUAUUCCCACUAUAUUUAACUUCUUCAUUUUUUUUUGUCACUAUUGUUUAUUGAAGAAAUUAAAAAUGAUCAAUUACAGGAGCUGGGUUUGGGUCGAAGCUGAGUUAUGUUAGUGGGUUUUUUCAUUUGAGGAUAAAGCUACCCAAUAAGGAUUCUGCUGGAGUUGUUACUGCUUUUUACGUAAAAUAUCUUUCAUUUCUGUUUAAUUUCCUCUUGAAUUUACCAAUAUUCUUAUUGAUUAUUUGUAAUGACAAUUAACAGCUGACAUCAAAAGGCAAGAGGCAUGACGAGCUGGAUUUUGAGUUCUUAGGUAAUAGAGAAGGCAAGCCGAUUAGCUUGCAAACCAAUGUGUUCGCAGAUGGUGUUGGGAAUAGAGAGCAAAGGUUUCUUCUCUGGUUUGAUCCUACUGCAGAUUUCCACGAUUACCAAAUUCUUUGGAACCAACACCAAAUUGUGUACGAAUAAUCUCCCCUUCUCCUUUUUCUGCAUUGCAUGCCUUAAUUAAUAUGAUUAUUUUCGCAUCAAUAAUUUUGUGAAAAUAUAUUUUUUUGAAUUUAAAAUUUAAUUAAAUUAAUUUAUGUACUCAUUUUUAAACCAUGAAAUCCAAUGAAUUUAAUAAUUAAAUAAAAACAUCUAUAAUUUUUUAUUUAUCAUCAAAUUACGCUUACGACUGAUUAUACCAUUAUAUUUGAAAUAUAUAUGGUUUUAAUUAAAUGUGAUGAGAACCUUUUCUCACUGCACUGAAUUGCCUAUCAAAAUGGACACUAUAUAUAUAUAACUAUAUGUAUAGGUAUAUUUAUGCAUAUGGAUGCCUGUGUUUACAGAUUCUACGUGGACGACAUCCCCAUCAGGGUGUUCAAGAACAACGACGAUAUUGGAGUUGGGUACCCAUCACAGCCGAUGAAAAUAGAAGUAAGUUUGUGGGAUGGAGAUAGCUGGGCAACCGAUGGAGGCCGAACAAAGACUAAUUGGAGCAUGGCACCUUUCAAAGCCCAUUUCCAAGGAUUUGAUAUAAGUGGUUGCCCAAUAAUUCAGAACUCGAGCAAUAUUCAACAAUGUUAUUCUCCCAAUUAUUGGUGGAAUUCAGAGAAAUAUUGGAAGUUAGACUCCAAGCAACAAGGAGAACUGCAAAAUGUAAGAAAGGAAUACAUGAACUAUGACUAUUGUUCGGAUAGGCCUAGAUACCCUGUUCCUCCUCCGGAGUGCCUUCAUCAAUAGCAGGCUAGAGUUCGUGGGGAUGGGUUAAUUUAAGUUGCUAUAUUAUUAAAUAACAAUGCAGCUGAUGUAAUAAAAGAAAAUGUUAAAUUGUUCGACUUUAUAAAAUUAUUAUAGUUAUUUUUUAAUACUUUUUAAUAAUACAUAUUUACCCAUUAUUAUUGUUACAUAUUCUACCAUGAAUUAGGAUCUAUUAUAGUUAGUAACAGCACAAGGUGACCAUUUCUCUCAUGGAAAACUCAUGCUUGAACCGAUCAAGUUACAAUAAAUUAACACAAAAAUACUUGAUUUUGGUUUUGAUUUGAUUGCUUCUUCUCUUUUACUAUAUUUUUCCCAUAAAACGAAAUUAAACAUAUCGAUGAAGAGAAAUGAUAAAAAGUUUAUUACAAUUAUCAAACAGUAAUAAAAAUUAAGGCAAUAUAAUAAAAUAAUAAAUUUUUAAAUUUUUAAUUUUUAAAUCGAUUAAUUCAUAUAAUUAUAUAAUAUUUUUUAUAUUCAAAUUCUAAGGUUUGUAAUUUCUUCUUAUACUCCUAUGCUAUCAUGUUACAAUCUCUUUAAAAAAUAAAUAAAUAAAUAAAUUUUCACCGGCCAAUUGCCUAAUUUAUAGAGUUGUCACAUGCUGAUUUGUUUUUAUUAUUCUAUAAUCGAACGGGCUUAUAAAGCCCAAUCCACGAUCCAAGAACUCCAUCUGUAAUUGGCCGAAAAAAGAGAAAUUGUAUAAUUAAAAAGAAAAAAGUCUUCACUGAUCAGGUAAUUUUUUUGAAAGCUACGGGGAAUGGGUAUUCCCAUGGCGGAUUUUCUAUAUCCAGUAGCAUAUUUUCAGUUUGCUACCCAGUAAUGGCCCUUCUUCAAAGACCCUUUUUUGUGCUACUUCUUAUACUAACUCAUCAAUUCAUGCAAUGUUGGAUUGCUUUUGGAUCGGUCAAUGAAGAAGGCAAAAAAACAAGAAGAAGAAUUCAAUGAGGAACUACUAUUGAAGCCGUUGCCAGAUCGCAAAGUGUUGGCCCAUUUCCAUUUUCGAAGCUCUGCCUCUCUUUCCACCUCUAAUGGCGGCCACCACCACUUAUUUCCCAAAGCCAUUUCUCAAUUGGUACUUUUUUAUUAUUUUAUUUUAUUUUUUCUUUUGGGUCACCGAGAAAUCUUAGGCUUUUUUUUUUUUUUUUGUAUUUAUGUUCUUUCAUGUUGCUUUUGUUUAAAUGGAGUUAGAGAAAAGUUAGCUUAGCCAAGUCAGGUGGCUUUCUUCAGUUUCUGAAUCUAUUAGUAACUUAGAAAGGUGGUAGGAAAGCCCAAGACUUAAAUCUUUCCUUUGCUCUUCAUACAUUUAUUAGCAAAAUAUUUAAUCAUUGUGUGGUGUAAAGAUGAUUUUGGGUUUACUUGCUUUUGAUCUGCUUUUGUGAAUGUUGAUUUUUUAAGUUUAACCUAAUGUUUGAAUAAAUAGUAAUAAAAUAAUAAAAAAAUAAUAUAUGUAUCAUUAUUUGGAUAAUUAAAAUUAAAAAAAAAAUUUUAUCAAUUAUUAUUUGGAUAAAUAAUAAUAAAAAAAUGAUUCAUUAUAAUAAUUUUUUUAUUUAUAACUUUUUAUUAUUUGUAAUUUUAAAAUAUUUUUGGAUUAUGAUACGUUUGUUAUCUUAUUUAACCUCAAAAUUACUGUUAUAUCAAUGAUUUUUAAUCAAGUGAGACAUAAAAUUAUUUUACAAAUAUGCAUUAAUGAAUUUUUUGAUCAUUGUCAAAAUUUCAACCACAAACAACAUUUCACAUAUUUUCCCUUUGAAAAUUUCGUGACCCAAACAUACCAGUAGGCAACGAUAAUUAGCAGACAGAUAAUAUAUGUGCCUCUAAAUGAUGAAAAUUAAAAGCAUAAUAAUAUUAUAACGUAACGUUUGAAUAAAUAUUAAUAAAAUAAUAAAAAAUAAUAUACAUAAUUAUUUGAAUAAUUAAAAUUAAUAAAAAAAUUCUAUUGAUUAUUAUUUGGAUAAAUAAUACAGAAGAAAAAAAAUGAUUCAUUAUAAUAAUUUUUUUAUUUAUUACUUUUUAUUAUUUGUAAUUUUAGAAUAUUUUUGGAUUAUGAUAUGUUUGUUAUUAUUCAGUCUCAAAAUUACUGUUAUAUCAAUAAUUUUUAAUCAAGUGAAACAUAAAGUUAUUUUAUAAACAUGCAUUAAUGAAUUUUUUAAUCAUUGUCAAAAUUUUAGCACAUUAUCACUUUGACGAUGUAUACAUAUAAAGCUAUUAAAUAUAAAAAAUACAAUCAUAUGAAAACAUUACAUACUAAUGAAUUAUAUGUCUUUUUUGCACCAAACAAAAAGUAAUAAUAUAUUACCAUAUAAUUAUCGAAUAUAAAUUUAUUUUACCAAAAAGAGAUAAUUUUAAAAAAAUUAUAAGAAAAUUGUGAUGUAGUUUUGUUUUUUUACUAAUUUUCUAGUAUUAAUAAAACAAUUAAAUAUAAUAAUCUUUUAAUAAAAAUAAAAUUUUUUCAAUUUUCAUUUUUUUAGCUUUUUUUUUUUUUAAAUUGGAGUAUUAAAAAAAUGAAGAUUACAAGAAAAAACAAAAGUUAUUGAGUUUUCACAUAUAUAUUUUUUAAAAUUAAAAAUUUAUCCAAACAAAAAUUUUUUUUCUGUUUUCAUCAUUAUUUUUUAUUUCUCUUUCUUUUUCUUUUCCUCUCCUUAAUCCAAUCAUACAGUAAGGAUCAGGUUAAGUAGGGAGUAAGGACUAUGGACUGGAGUUGUCAACUCAGGCUGAGUCAAUUUAAGUAGUUAGUGGACUGCAUCAAGUUACCAAAUAAUCGGGAUUUAAAAUUUUGAUUUAUUAGCUUUUGUUUCAUGAUGAAAAAUCGAUGCAUUAUAAGGUUAAAUCUUAUCAUUAUUGUCUUUGGAGCACUCAGUUUGGCCUGAGUCAAUUAAGGUAGGUCAUACAGGCUCUUUUUUUUCUUUAAAGCCUUCUAUUAGCUUAUUUACAUAAAAAAAUAUCAUUCAACCUAUCUCUGCAUUUUCCUAAUCAAGUUAUGAUUAGUUCAUUAUUUUCCGCAUUCAUAAAUAUACAUGAGAAUGAAAUGUUCUUAUGAACUCAUCCAACCCUUUCAGCAAUGUUAUGUCUGACAUGAAGUACAAAAUUGGCUACAAGUUUACCUGAAAAAUAUUAUGCACGAAUUGUGUAUGUCUUGCAUUAAUUUGUCUAUCUCUCUUUGUGUAAGGUAAAGAUAAGAGUCUUGAUAAACUUCCCAUUGUAGAUUUUACAAAGCGAGGAUCAGUACCCUUCUUAGGAGAAGAUGAAUAAACAUUCCUGCUCAUAUUUGGAAGAGGAACCUCCCACCGGCAUUGCAUUGGUGUAAUCAGGACAUAGAAUCAACGAACAGUCAAUGAUAAACCAUAAUGAAACAUAUAACCAACGAAUUGCUAUAACCUAAUGGAAAAGUGGAUGAUAUGGAACUGACUUAAAAAUGAGAAACGGGGUAGCCGUCAUGGAAAGCUAAGAUUCAUAAUAGGUUAGGGAAAAAGGAUGCCUUUUAAAUGAUACAGCUGUCUAAUCUUUUAAUGUUUACUGCAGUAUUUUUUAUUUCUACAUUUCGAGUAUUUGACAAACACCUUCUACCCCUCUCUCAUGUACAUACAUCUUAUUCAUCCAAAUCUAUUUGCCAUAUUGCAGAACCGAAUUCUAAUCUUUCCAUAACAUUCUACUUAACUUCCAUCAUUUACUUCAGCGUUUUACAUUACAUGACUGUUAAUAUUAGAAAUAUUCCAAAUAUUUCCUGAUUGUUGAAACCUCAAAAUGACAUCCAAUAUCAACAUAAUUGUUCUUUGGAUUAUUAUCCAAUCCGCUGCUAGUGCAGUGCAAACGCUCCACAAGCAGGAUUGUUUGAUGCAAUGCUUCCGUUUAACAAAAUGGACAUAGAAUUAGGAAGUUAACCUAACCGCUAAGUAAGGCAUGAAAAUUGAACAACCCCUUGAAGAGCUUUUGUGUUCUAAUAUUGUUGUAUAAGAUAAUGAUGUAUAUUCUUUUAUGACUAAGUCCUAAAGGAUGAUAGGAAAAGAAUAACGAAGAAAAGUUUGAAUACAAAGUCUUGACAACUAAUGCAGAUGUCUUACACUUCCAAAGAUCCAUUUCCCAGUAAGACAGCCAGAUAGCCCAUCCGUUGGUUGCAUUUAGAAUCAUUUAUAUCAUAAGGCUUCCAUUUUACAUCCCAAGCAACUUUUCCAUUGUGAGCUAGAAAGAGGACAGCUCUUGGCAGUGCAAUGUCACCUGGAAUAGAAGAACCGGGGCUGAACUCGAACGAAUUACUAUCUAAAAGAUUAUUCGGCACAGUAGCAUCCUGCCCAGAGUUGUAACAAAUUUGUUGGUUUAUUGUCAAUGAAGAUUCUGUUUCUUCAUUUUGAGUCAAUAAUGGGAGGCAUUUACCAUCACUAAUAGUUUUUGCUCGUGCCUUACUUUUCAAUUUUCUACUUUCCACAGAUGUAUUAGGGGCUGCAUCAGAUGAAAAUGCUGCCUCUUUGUCACCUUUUUGUUUUUUAUGAUGAUUCUUAUCUGAAACAUUUUCUUGCGUAUUUCCAGGAGCGUUGUCUAUUGCAACUGGCUCAAACGAACCUUCUGGGUACUGAACAGGAAGAGGUUGGAAAGGCUCGUCAUUCUAAUUGCUGUUAGGAGAUUCACCAAUUGAUUUGUUUGUAGGUCUAGCUGUUGGCCUCUUAACCUGAUCUAGUUGAGAUUCAACUAUUGGUUUCUUUCCAGGUCUUCCUCUAGGCCUCUUUGACGAGCUCUCCCCCAUGGCCUUUGUAUUUUGAGAUCUCCGUUUUGGCUUUUUCUUUAACAGAGGAGCUUCUUCCUCAUUCACCCCAACAUUUAGCAUACACCAUAUUUGAAUGAUGCCUCUACCAGUAAGUGGGGUGCCCAUCUUGUGAUAAUAAGAUUCAGGAGGAUGAGCAGCGACAGCAAUGAACUGGGAAAAAGAAGGCAAAAAAAGAAAAAGACAAAACAAGGACAGCCUCGCAAGAUUGCAGCAUUAAGAUGGUGAUAAUUAUUAUUAAAAAUCCUACUUAUUAAGCAUGCAGGCAAUAUUUUAAACCACUGUUUCAGAACAAAUCUAGGCUUUUGUCUCUUUCAUUUGAAAUAACCAAGUAGAUAGAGGUUUGGGCUAUAAUGAUAAAUUGAAGGUGGAAUACACGAAAAAAAAAAAAAAGAAUAAAAGGUUCCCAGAAGUGGGUUAGGGAUUUGGGAGGGGAGAAGUGGGGAAGUACCUCACAUUUGACAGGACUGUUAGGAUUCUCAUGAACUCUAGGACACCAUUAAUCUAAUGCCCAAACAGACCCUCCAACAUACAUCACGAAGUCCUUGCUGCAAGAUGAUUGUACUUUAAUCAUGUCAUUCAAUAAAUGUAUAAAACAUACCAUUUUGCAGCGGUGUUGGCUUCACAAAUAAAAAUAUUUGGGUGCCCAUACACAGAUCUUAAAUAAGAGGAGCAAUAAUAACACCAAGUUCUUAUCUUAUAACAUGUAUAUGCAUCACAGAUCAACAAGAGCAAACACCAUCCAUAACAUGUUGUUCAUAAGAGUUAAAAUUUUUUAAACAAAGGAGGAAUCCUGUAGGAUAGCAGAACUUUUAUGGUCAAGAAUAAAACUAAGACCUUUUCCAAACCCACAGUACACCAUCCUUUUACCACCUAAACCCAAUAACAUUGGAAACUGAAAUUGCUCAAACCAAAAUCCAAUCUAACAUGGAUUCUGGAGAUGCAUUACUUACUCGUAGUCCUUCCUGCUGCUUCCAUAAGAAAAAAAGAAAGAAAAAAAAGAAAAAAAAAACAACAAUGAGUAUUAACAGAAUAUUAUGCUAUAACAAGUAAAAACUAUUCCAGAAGAUUUAUGCAGUCAUUGAACAUUCCUCCAUGUGAGGGACCCAAAAUAAAAAGAUUUUCUUUCACCUUGGGAACAGUUGCUGAUGAAAACUGAGGCAAGUUUAUGCCACCAGAAACAUCUUUACCCGGUGAGUCUCCUAGUUCGCUAGCAAACCCAAUGAUCCUCGGUUCAUAAUUAAAAUGCCUCCAUUCCCUAAAAGCAUGUUUAAUAGUAAAUUAAGAACUUGUACAUAUCUAUAUUGGACAGAUAAAACUAACAUAAAAAAAAAAAAAAUACCCGACGUACAUCAGCAAAGUCAAUUCAAUCGCAUUUGGAAGUUCUAAAUGCACAAAGAUGAGCAUAAAGUUACCUUAAGAAAGUGAUUGAAGAAGAGAAUCUCCGGAUAUCAGUUUCAUCGAGACCAUCAAUCUUGGGUUCUUCACAAAUCUAGAGAUUGUAUCCAUUACCCUAAAAUGUUUCUCGAUUGAAUAACCAAAUAUAGAGAACCUAACUCCAGAAUCACCAUUAAAUGGUGGUUCUUCCAUUUUUCUGUUUCUUUUUUCCUACAUGUAACACAUCUGUUCGUCAAUCACUCAAAUAUGAGACAUAUAAUGCUAGAGAAGUUUUUUUUUUUUCUGUUAGUAGGAGAACAAACGUCCGUAUAAAGGAAAGAAAGACAGCGGAAUUAGAACCUACGUCCAUAAGUCUUUUUUAAAAUCUCUUAAUCAUUACAUCAAAAGAAAAGACAUAUAAUGUUAGAGAGUUGAUUAUAAGAAAUAAAACGUAAACUAUAACUGAAUGCUAAAUUUGAUACUUUAACUUAAAAAAAAAUUCAAUUCAAAAAAUUGUUGGAGCCUAACUCUGAGUUGCAAUCAACAAUAUAACUUAAUUUAAACAAAAUAAAUGUAAUAUGGAACAUCACAUUUAAUAAUAAUUACGACGCAUUAACUUGAAAUUCUUUCUAAACCUUUUUCAUCAGUAAACUUAAGUUUUUCCCUCUUAACCAAAAACAACAAAAAAUAAAAUAAAAUAAAAUCCAUGAAUUUCACAUAUUUUUCCUCUCAAAAUUUCGUGACCCAAACAUACCAGUAGGCAACGAUAAUUAGCUCAGAUGACCUGAUUUUAUUUCAAAGCAGACAGAUAAUAUAUGUGCCUCUAAAUGAUGAAAAUUAAAGGCAUAAUAAUAUUAUAUUUAAAGACAAAUAUGAUUUAUGCCUUAAAUCCAUUAUUUUAAAAAUUAAUAUUUAUGUGUAGCUUAUUCUUUGCCUUUAAUUAUUGGUUUUGUUGUAGUGUAUAAAAAAUAAUGUAUAUUAUAAUUUGAGUUAUAAUCGACUAAGUUUGGGCUUUGAAUGCUAGUCUCAAGUUUCAAUUUACAUUUUAAAAGAACUCGAAGACGUCAAAGGAUAGAGUAUGGGGCAGGUAGAAUAUUUUUCUUUUUUAUUCUCAAAUUUUUAUAUUAUAUUAAUUCUUAUAUCUAUAUUCAAUGAGAAUUUUAAAUUUAUUCACAUUUUUACCUACGAAAAUAUUUAAUUGAUGCAAAUAAUUCUUAUACUCUUAGCUUUUUUAAAAAAUAAAUUUUACCUUUUAAUUUAUUUUAAUUUUUAUCUUACAUAUUCAUAUAAUUUUUUUAUAAAUAUAUUAAUAUAUAUUUAAAAUAAAAUAUAUGUUAAUUUUAAUUAAUCUAAAAUAAAAUUUUAUAUUAUUUAAUAAUAAAUUUAUUUACUAAAUAUAUAGGCAACGGGUACAAAAUAUGUGCUAUAUUACUUGUCUCUAUCCUUGUAUCAAAUAAAAAAUUUAAAAUCAUAUUUAUCCCAUUCUUAGAAUUUAAUACCCAUUUUAAUCCCAUUGGGUAAAAAGUUGAAUUUUCUAUCUGAUAUGGAUAAAAUUAAUAUCCUUAAAUGAGUUUAAUGUUUUACACAAAUCUAUUUAAUGGGUUUAAUAUUUUUGUUUAAACCUUCAAAAAUAUUGAAUGAGCCCUCAAAACUUGAAUGGAUAACUUGACCAUUGGAUAAAUCUAUCAAAAUAUUUAACAUUUUUAUAAAUGUAAAACAAAACAAAAACAAAAAUAAUCGUAAAUAUAAUUUGAGUUUAAAUUUAUAAAUAAUAUGGAUGGUAGUACUUACAAGAGUAAGGAUACAGUUAUAAUGGUGUAAAUUUUACAUUUUUUUUAUAUCAAAAUUAAAUUUAUGUAUUAAAAUAAUAUUUAAUCUCAACCACUUUGAUCUAAUAAUAAAAAAAAAAAAAUGUAAAACUUAUAUUAACACAAGUGGAUCGCUCAUCUUACCUAUAAUGGUAUACAAUGAAAGACUCUCUCUAAAUUUUUAAUUAUCCACUUGAUAUUUUGCAAAUAAAUUUGUUGAACUUCAAAAUUCCUUCACUGAAUAAGGAAAUAAUCCAAUUGAAUUGCAUUCAAUUUACAUUCAUUGAAUAUGAAUGGUACAACAAAACCAAGUCCUAAUCCCCAUUUCUUAUCGAAUUAACCUAUUUACUUGCCGUCAAAGACUUUUUUUGUAUUAGAAAUUUUCGAAAAGAAGUUGACAAAUUUCACAAGUAAGACAUUAAAAGACAUUAAAUAAAGAUUUAAUUGAAAAAAAUAAAAAUAAAAAAUAGAAAGACAUGAUGAUUUGUUUGGAGUAAGAUGAUGGGUUUAUAGCAUUCAAAAAUUCAGUUUGAUAAUUACUCAUGAUGACGAGUAAAAAAAAUGUUUGGUAGGUUUCUCCUUUAUAUAGUUAUCUUAUAGAAAUGUCAAGUAAUCUGUAAGCUUCCAUAUAAAGUAGGCAGGUUUCUCUUUUAUCUAGUUAUCUUAUAGAAAUGUCAAGUAAUCUGUAACCUUCCAUAUAAAGUAGGUAGGUCUCCCUUUUAUCUAGUUAUCUUAUAGAAAUGUCAAGUAAUCUAUAAACUUGCAUAUAAGGUUUUGAUUGUGAGAUUGAUAUAAUAAAUUCAAAUAAAUAAUAUAAUCAAAAUAUUCUAUUUCUAAAAUGAACCUGCCCUGUUUUAAGAGAAAUGGCCAAUUAAUUGAACUAUAGAAGGCAACCAAAUCGACUUACUCUUUUCCUUUCAUGCAUGAAUCUAAGACUAUUGCUAUCUAUAUAAGAGACUUGUGAUCAGAUCACUAACAUGCAAGUAAAUUAUAACAAUCGCUUUUAUUAUUUUUUUUAGUGAAUAUAUGAUAAGAAGUUCAUUAAAACUUCCAAUUAUUUACAAGAAGAAAUACAAAGAUAUGGCUAUGGAAAAGAGGUUUUCUCCUUUUGCAAUUUCUUAUUCAUAUUAUUGUUUCAGACAUAUAUAUAUUUCAUGAUGAUUUUACUGUUGGAUUUUCUUUUUUAGUAGUCAUCAACCUAAUUAAUAAAUAAAUAUGGAAUUGGACAGGUUCUUCUUCGGUCUUCUCAUUGCAGCUAUAGUAAGUGCAAUCAGAGCAGGUGAUGUUAGUUUUGAUAAGAAUUAUCACGUCACAUGGGGAAACUCUCAUGUGACUUCUCUAAACCAAGGAAGAGAAAUUCAUCUUUUAAUGGAUAAUACUUCAGGUUCGAUACAUGAAAACAACUAACUUAUACAUUUGCAUGCAUGUAUAAACGUAUUUAAAAAAGACACGUGCAUAUAUAUAAUCACUCGUAGCUAAACUUUUAAUAUAUGAAAAUGUAAAUUAAAAAACAAAGAAUCACUAAUGGUGGUUAUAUGAAUGCAGGGGCUGGGUUCCAGUCCAAUGUCGGGUAUGCUUCAGGGUUUUUCCAAAUGAAAAUAAAGACACCCAACAAGGAUUCUACUGGAGCUGUUACAACUUUUUAUGUACAUAUAUCUUUUUCUGUACUUUAAAAAAAAAUUCCUGUCUUCUCUAACAUGUAUUAGUUAAAGUAUAAUUUAAUGAACAUUUUGGUGGGUUGAUGGCAUGUAUGCAGUUGACCUCAAAUCCACAAAACACAGGAAACCAUGACGAGCUAGAUUUUGAGUUUUUGGGUAGCAAGGGUCCUCCUUUUACAUUGCAAACAAAUGUUUUCGCUAAUGAUAGAGGAGGCCGAGAGCAAAGGAUUCAUCUUUGGUUUGAUCCCACUGCUGAUUUUCAUACUUACGGAAUUCUUUGGAAUCAGCAUCAAAUAGUGUAAGCAAAAACUAUUCUCUUUAAACUAAUUUGAUUCUAAUUUAACUAGUUACAACAUUGCUUUGAAGUCCUUGGUUUUAUGUUUUGUGCAGGGUUCAUGCAUGGAAAUUAACAUUUCUAAUUUAAGUCUCUUAAAAAUAAUUUGAUUCUUUAACCCUAGUUUUCUUGCCUUUUCAGGUUUUAUGUGGAUAAUACACCCAUAAGAGUUUUCAAGAACAAUACAAAUAUCGGAGUAAAUUAUCCUUCACAACAAUUAGUGAUUCAAGGAAGCCUAUGGAAUGGAGAAGGUUGGGCAUCGGGUGGAAGAAAAAUUGAUUGGAGUCAAGCUCCAUUUAUAGCCAGUUUUCAAGGGUUCAACGUGGAUGGUUGUCAAUUCCACGACACUGCGACCAAAGCGCAAUGCUAUAAUUCUAACUUGUGGUGGAAUGGAAACAAAUAUUUGGAACUAGACCCUGCUCAGCACAAAGCAUUACAGUAUGCAAGAACCAAGUACAUGUUUCAAGACUACUGCACUUCUCCAAGUGGGAGGUACCAUAAAGAAUGCGGAAGUAAUAAAUAAAUGAAGAGAUAAAUAUGUAAAAAUUUCUGCUUAGUUGGAUUGUUUUAUAUGCAAUAUAUAGAUAGCAAAUAAAUUAGAAUAUUUUAAUUAAAAAAUUAUAAACAUUGGUAUUCUUAUCCUUGUACAAAAAUGGAAAUUAUCAUGUUUAUGCCCUUUAAAAAAAAAACAAAAUAAUAAAUAAACCAAACAAAUGUCAAAUUUGUUGGGUAUUUCAAUUUCAAAGUCAAUCCCAAAGUUGCUUUUCCAAUCACAAAUGAGAAUGACGUCAAGCCCAUCCUUCUGGGCCCACAAUGCGGUGCUAUAAAGGCACUUUCACGGAGUUGGGUAUCUUCUCCAUGAUGGUUGGAUCCGACAAGCCACAAUUUAUGAACUUUGUUAGAAGGAAAGGGUCGUUCAAUAAAUUGGUAAAUGAGGUAAACGAUCAAUUCAAAGCCUAUCCAAUAAAAGAUUUUAUAUUUCGUACAAAAAAAUUUAUAAAAAUACUUAGAGCACCAAAACUAAAAAGCGCACAUGAACAUGUGGAGGUUAGAAAAGUUCUUUCUUGCACUGCUGUGCAACAUGUUUGUCUUUGUUUUCCCACGCUUCCAACUUUCUCUUCUGAAGCCCAACCCGUGUUUGUUAUUUUCCAAAGAUGAACCUUUAGGUACUCUCUCUCAGCCUUGCUGUUCCAAUGUAAAAGGAGUCUCCUCCUAUAUGUAAAACGCUUAUUUGAUUUGGUUUGCCCAACCGUGUCACCCUCAAAUGAUUUUAUAUUGGUUCGGUUGGCUUUAAUUUGAUGCCUUCGGCAUAGCACAUGGAAAUCGAUUUAUUUGUGUUUAGUCAUACAUUUACCAUUCGUGAAGAAUUCAACUUUCUUGGUUGUUAUUUUAAUUUAAAGCCAAAUUAAUCUUGAGAUUGUUUCUGACGUCUGGAUUAAUUAGACUCAUACAAAUACAAUUUAUUGCGUUUGUUUGUUUCAAGAGUGAUAAAAUAGGUUUAUAUGCACCAAAAAUCAAAAUGUUUUUUUUAUAUACUCAACUUUUAUUCCUAAAGUAAAUAAUCGGUAAACUUGAUUCAAACUUUGAAAAACUGAUUUAAUUCAUUAAAUUUAAAAUCCAACCUAAUUUAAUUUGAUUAAAAAAAUCAUCGAUAUAAAUCUAUUUAACUCAAUUUUAAAAUAACUCUCAAGUUUAAAUUCAAAGUAACUUAAAAUUGAGAUGAUUUAAACUUAAAAACAAAUCAAAAUGAUUCAAUCCAAACUCACUUAAUUACCAUACCUCUUUAGGAUCUUUUGAACUUUGUGACUUCAAACUUGGGGGUUGUUAAUUCUUCAAGUUAAGGAAAAAGAAACAGAUUAAUGUGUUAGUCCUCCACAAUCAUUUGUAGUUUGAAGUUGCUUCCAAUUGUUCAAAGCAGUGCUAGAUAGAAUACGUGUAAGAGGUUUGUUGUAUGCGGAUAACAAUGAAGAAGUCAAUAGCGUGUAAGGAAGUUGGAUCAAAUGGUGAUACCUUAUACUUUUCUUUUCUUUUUUGGCUUUUUUCAUGGAUAGAUCUUAGUUGGGAAGCUGGCAGAUCAAAACAUCGAUCCCUAUAUAAACUCACUAAAUGAUAAUGCAGUCGUUACUAAAGAUAUGGAAAUGCAAUAUUUUUCCCUUGCAGCUAUGUUUACUUUCAUCAAUAUUUUUCCUUCUUGGCUGCUGCAGCCUGUUUGCAAACACUACUGAUAUUGUUAGAUUUGAUGAAAACUAUGAAAUUACAUGGGGAAGUGAUCAUGUUUUGUCUUUAAAUCAAGGAAGUGAAAUUCAGCUCUCAAUGGAUAUCUCUUCCGGUUAUCUUCUUUCUCUUCUAACACUCGCUUUAAUAGCUAUAAAUAUACAUAACAUUAUGCAUGCCUUUUUUUUUUAAAAAAGAAAAAGAAAAACAGGCAUUUAUGUUUUAUUUUGACUUAGUUGAAAAUUUUGUUACAUGGUUUAUACCAUCUUAGAGAAUCUUUUAUUUUUCUUAGAAAUCUUAAACGUCAAUAUAAUAUUUAUAUGAUACGUUUGUAGAAUAUUGAAUUUUUAAUUUUAAUAAUCAAAAUUCAAUCUUUAAUAACUUUAAAUUAAUAUAUAAAUAAAUUUAAACCCUAAUCAUUAAAAAUAAGAAUAUAAUACUAUAUUAAUAGAUAAUAUCGUUGGUAUCACUUAUAAAGGAUUGAUUUAAUCCACCGUUCUAUCUUGACGUGUGGAAUAUUGAGGUGUUUUAAAAUGUGGUGGAAUUAUAAAAAAAAAAAACCAAUUACCAAAUAAAACUUUGUGAUAUUCUUACUAUAUUUAACUUCUUCAUUUUUUUUUAUCACUAUCGUUUAUUGAAGAAAUUAUAAACAAUCAAUUACAGGAGCUGGGUUUGAGUCGAAGCUGAGUUAUGGUAGUGGAUUUUUUCAUUUGAGGAUAAAGCUACCCAAUAAGGAUUCUGCUGGAGUUGUUACUGCUUUUUACGUAAAAUAUCUUUCAUUUCUGUUUAAUUUCCUCUUGAAUUUACCAAUAUUCUUAUUGAUUAUUUGUAAUGACAAUUAACAGCUGACAUCAAAAGGCAAGAGGCAUGACGAGCUGGAUUUUGAGUUCUUGGGUAAUAGAGAAGGCAAGCCGAUUAGCUUGCAAACCAAUGUGUUCGCAGAUGGUGUUGGGAAUAGAGAGCAAAGGUUUCUUCUCUGGUUUGAUCCUACUGCAGAUUUCCACAAUUACCAAAUUCUUUGGAACCAACACCAAAUUAUGUACGAAUAAUCUCCCCUUCCCCUUUUUCUGCAUUGCAUGCCUUAAUUACUAUGAUUAUUUUCGCACCAAUAAUUCUGCAAAAAUAUAUCUUUUUGAAUUCAAAAUUUAACUCAAUUAAUUCAUGUACUUAUUUUAAAAAAUAAAAUCUAAUAAAUUUAAUAUUCAACUUUGAACAUCUAUAAAUUUUAUUUAUCGUCAAAUUAUGCUUAUCACUUACUGUAUGAUCAUAUUUAAAGCAUAUGUAUCUUUUAGUUAAAUAUGACGAGAAUCUCUUCUCAUUGCACUGAAUUGCAGACACUAUAUAUAUAACUAUAUGUAUAGGUAUAUUUAUGCAUAUGGAUUCCUGUGUUUACAGAUUCUACGUGGACGACAUCCCGAUCAGGGUGUUCAAGAACAAUGAAGAUAUUGGAGUUGUGUACCCGUCAAAGCCGAUGAAAAUAGAAGCAAGCUUGUGGGAUGGAGAUAGCUGGGCAACCGAUGGAGGCCGAACAAAGACUAAUUGGAGCAUGGCACCCUUCAAAGCCCAUUUCCAAGGAUUUGAUAUAAGUGGUUGCUCAAUAAUUCAGAACUCAAGCAAUAUUCAACAGUGUUUUUCUCCCAAUUAUUGGUGGAAUUCAGAGAAAUAUAGGAAGUUAGAUUCCAAGCAACAAGGAGAACUGCAAAAUGUAAGAAAGGAAUACAUGAACUAUGACUAUUGUUCGGAUAGGCCUAGAUACCCUGUUCCUCCUCCGGAGUGCCUUCAUCAAUAGAGUUCAUGAUCAUGGGUUAAUUUAAGUUGCUAUAUUAAAUAAUAAUGCAGCUGAUGUAAUAAAAGAAAAUGUUAAAUUGUUCCACUUUAUAAAAUUAUUAUAGUUACUUUUUAAUACUUUUUGAGUGAUGAGUUAUUUAAAAAUCAAGUAAUAUAAAAUCUAAGGUGUAAUUUAGUUGAUUUGAAAUAACAUUCAAAUUAUAAUAUUUAUAAUUUUUUAAUAAUGUAUUUACCUCUUUUGAUUUAUAUAUGUAUUUAAUAAUGCAUAUUUACCCAUGAGUUAGGAAGUAGAUUUUUAUUACAUUAUCUUCCAUGAAUUAGGAACUAGAAUAGUUAGUAACAGCAUAAGGUGACCAUUUCUCUCUUCUAACACUCACGCUUGAAAUGAUCAAGUUCCAAUAAAUUAACACAAAAUACUUAAUUUUGGUUUUGAUUUGAUUGCUUAUUCUCUUUUAUUAUAUUUUUUCCAUAAAAUAAAAUUAGACAUAUUGAUGAAGAGAAAUGAUAAGAAAUUCAUUGCAAUUAUCAAGCAAUAAUAAAAAUUAAGGCAAUAUAAUAAAAUGAUAAAAUUUAAAAUUUCAGGCAUAUAAAUUUAAUUACAUUAAUUCAUAUAAUUAUAUAAUAUAUUUGAGAUUUAAAUUUUUAUAUUUAUAAAUUUUUAUUGUCGUUUAUAAAAAGAAAAAUAAAAUUUCACCGGCCAAUAUGUUUUUAUUAUCCUAAAAUCGAAUGGGCUUACAAAGCCCAAUCCACAAUCCAAGAUCUGCAUCUGUGAUUGGCCGAAGAAAAGAGAAUAAUUAAAAUGAAAAAAGUCUUCACUGAUCAGGUAUUUUAUUGAAAGUUCUGGGGACCGGUAGCUCACAUGGCGGAUUUCGUAUAUAAAGCAGCAUAGUUUCAGUUUGCUAAGAAAACCCAGUAAUGGCCCUUCUUCAAAGACCAUUUUUUGUGCUACUUCUUGUACUAACUCAUCAAUUCAUGCAAUAUUGGAUUGCUUUUGGAUCGGUCAAUGAGGAAGGCCAGAAACAAGAAGAAGAAUUCAAUGAGGAACUACUAUUGAAGCCGUUGCCAGAUCGCAAAGUAUUGGCCCAUUUCCAUUUUCAAAGCUCUGCCCCUCCUUCCACAUCUAAUGGCCGUCACCACCACAUAUUUCCUAAAGCCAUUUCUCAAUUGGUACUUUUUUAUUAUUUUAUUUUAUUUUUUCUUUUGGGUCACCGAGUUAUCUUGGGUUUUUUUUUUUUGGGUAUUUAUGUUCUUUCAUGUUGGUUUUGUUUAAAUGGAGUUAGAGAAAAGUUAGCUUAGCCAAGUCCAAGUGGCUUUCUUCAGUUUCUGAAUCUAUUGGUAACUUAGAAAGGUGGUAGAAAAACCCAAGACUUGAAAUCUUUCCUUUACUCUUCAUACAUUUAUAAGCAAAAUAUUUAAUCAUUGCGUGGUGUAAAGAGGAUUUUGGGUUUACUUGCUUUUGGUCUGCUUUUGUCUGUAUGUUGAUUUUUUAGGCUUAAGGAUCAGGUUAAGUAAGGAGUAAGGGCUAUGGACUGGAGUUGUCAACUCAGGUUGAGUCAAUUUAAGUAGUUAGUAGACUGCAUCAAGUUACCAAAUAAUCGGGAUUUAAAAUUUCGAUUUAUUAGCUUUUGUUUCAUGAUGAAAGAUCGAUGCAUUAUAUUUGAGGUUAAAUCUUAUCAUUAUUAUCUUUGGAGCACUCAGUUUGGCCUGAGUCAAUUAAGGUAGGUCAUACUGGUUCUCUCCUUUUUUUAAAGCCUUCUAUUAGCUUAUAUACUUAAAAAAUAUCAUUCAGCCUAUAUCUGCAUUUUCCUAAUCAAGUUAUGAUUAAUUCAUUAUUUUCUGCAUUCAUAAAUAUACAUGAGAAUGAAAUGUUCUUAUGAACUCAUCCAACCUUUUCAGCAAUGUUAUGGCUGACAUGAAGUACUAAAUUGGCUAGAAGUUUACCUGAAAAAUAUUACGCACGAAUUGUGUAUGUCUUGCAUUAAUUUGUCUAUCUCUCUUUGUGUAAGGUAAAGAUAAGAGUCUUGAUAAACUUCCUUUUGUAGAUUUUAAGAAAUUAACAACAAAGAUAAGUAGCUUUGUUGUAGGUAUUAAAAGAUUAACAAUUACUCUAGUUGUUUUUAUAUAGGGACACUGGCCCUCCCUUGUACCCAAAAAAAAUUAACAAUUAAGGUAAGUCUUUGCAGUAUUUGAAAACAGUGCAUGACGAUGAAUAUAUUUGAACAGGUUCAGAAAUUUCGAGUUAAGGAAAUGGAGCUGUCUUUCACACAAGGUCGCUGGAACUAUGAAAGCUGGGGUGGAUUUGAUCCCAUACCAAGCAGCAAUGCAAAGCCCCCUGGAGUUGAGUUAUGGGCUGUCUUUGAUGUCCCACAACAUCAGAUUGAUGCUUCCUGGCAGAAUUUAACACACACUCUCUCAGGUCUUUUUUGUGCCUCAAUCAACUUCCUAGAGUCUACUACAACUUAUUCUGCCCCAGAAUGGAGUUUUCCACCCGCUUCAGGCAAUCUGAGGUAUGGUACAUUGCCCCGUGAAGCUGUUUGCACAGAGAAUUUAACUCCAUGGCUGAAGUUGCUUCCUUGUCGGGACAAAGCUGGGAUUGCUGUGUUACUGGAUAGGCCAUCAAUUUACCGAGGAUUUUAUCAUUCUCAGCGGUUGCAUUUGACCUCAACUGGAUCUGGUUCAGAGGGGAUGGUUUCGGGCAUCAUAUUAGAACAGACACUUACAGUUGUACUCCAGCCUAAUAGUCAAAGGGCCGGUAUGGCCUAUGCUAGUGAAAGACAUAUUCAACCAAGCUGGUCUCUUACUUCAAUUUUUGGGAAACAAGUUAGUGGAACAUGUGUUCUUGCCAAGUCUAGUAAUGUGUAUCUUCUGCUUGACAGGGGCUUAGUUGCCGAACUAGAGCAUCUACAUAAAGAAAAUGAAAAGUCUGCAGAAAAUGGUUUUACCUCACAGAAUUUUUGGACUAAGCCCAGCUUUGAGUUGUCUGCUGAUCCAGACAGGAUAUUUAUAGAAGAAAACAGUUUGCAUAGCAAGGGCUCAUCUGUUCUGUACAAGUUCCAAGUUGAGAAAUACAGUGAAUCUGAGCCAUUUGAUUUGAGCCUUACUUGGAAGAUUCCUGUAGUUUGGUUGAGUCAACAAGCACCGUUACAUGCUAGUAGGUUUUUGAUGGGAAGUGGGAAUGAGAGGGGUGCCAUUGCCAUUUCCUUAAAAUCUACACAAUUGAGUGAGGGAUUCAUGGGUGCUAAUGCUGAUGAUGAAAGGUGUGACUUGCAAGUCAAUGUUUUUCAAGUUGUGCCUUGGUAUGUCAAGGUCUAUUUCCAUUCUCUGCAAGUGUUUGUUAAUCAACAACCUAAGGCUAUUUCAGAUAUUAUUGAGAAGAUACAUGUUUCACCUUCCAAAGACAAAGUGUCUCCUGGCGUGAUGGAGAUGGUUCUGAAACUUCCUUGCAAAGUGAACUCAGCUGCUUUAACCAUAGAGUUUGAUAAGGUAUGCUUUUCAUUAUGUCUAUUUAGCUAUUAGUUGAUAGUUUUAUAAAUUCUAUUCAAUCAACACAAGUUAUUUGUUUUACAUGAGAAGUGAAUUUGUUAUUAAGGAUUUGUUAAAACUUCUACUGUGGUCUGUAAAGGUAAGAUGUUAGGCUAAGUAAUAUCAGCACUAAGUAUUGGUGAGUUCUGCUGCUGCGUUGUAGUCCAAUUUUUUUGCUUAAGACAGAAAAUCUGUUUGUGUAAAAGCUACAUCUGAUAAAGUAGCCAUAUAAGAUAGCAAAUUGAAUACCCUGAGUAUACCUAAUACUGACAGUCAGUGUAUCUGAAUUCAGACUUUGUCCAUAAAUGUUUGGAAGUUUGAACAAAAACCAAUUAACUAAUUCCAUUUGAUACAGGCAAUCCUGAAACUUCUACCUAUCCCAAUCUAUAGAUUCUCAACCCACUGUUUAGUCCUUGAGCUGGAUGCAUAGGAUGAAUCCCACCGAUACCUUCAAAUUAUAUAAUCUUUGCCUAUGAAAAAAAAGGAUAAAUAUUGCAGAAACUGCUGCUUCAUUAUAAAAUGGAAAAGUAGCUGCUAUCCUGAUAUACCACUAUCAAUCUAAGACAUUCUCUGCUUUUGGAUAAUGACUAUCUGUUUUGAUGAAAUUAAUUAUUUUGAACUGAAACAAAAAUAGCAUGCUUCUUGCUUGAUGAAUGAUGACUUUAGUAUGAUUUCUGCUUCUUGGGGUAUUGUUGAUUAGUUGAUCCUCUAUUUUGAUAUGUCUGAAUAGGGUUUUUUACAUAUUGAUGAAUACCCCCCUGAUGCUAAUCAAGGAUUUGACAUACCAUCAGCUAUUAUAAGCUUUCCCAACUUCCAUGCAAGCAUGAUUUUUCUCAAAGAUGACUCUGUGAACAAGUCACCCUUGUUGUCAAAGUUUCAGGUAUUAACCUCUUGAUAUUUCUAGUUCUAAACAUGAUCAAUUUGUAUUCUUCUUCUCAUUUGAUAUUGACUUGAUUUGUCAUGCAGGAAAAGAGUCCUGUAAUGUCUUACACAGAAGCAUUACUGGUACCUUUGACAACUCCUGAUUUUAGCAUGCCUUACAAUGUUAUCACAAUCACGUGUACAGUGUUUGCAUUGUAUUUUGGAUCAUUGCUUAAUGUACUCCGAAGGCGUGUUGCUGAGGAGGAGAGAUUUCUUAAAGAAAAAGGUAAAUUUAUUUCAUGAAAUAGGUCAUUAUCAGUUCUCUUGAGAAUGUGGUUUUUUUAAUUAUGGUUUUAAAUCGUAACAUUAAUCUCUUAUAUUAUCAUGGCAAUAGCCCUUUUUGUGUAGUUAGUCAAUACCACACAAGUCCAAUUUGUCAAGUUCAAUGCAAACUUUGGUAACAUCUAGUAACAGCCAUGUCUAUCAGUAUAUCUAAGUACUUAACCUCAUGGUCAGAUGAGCAGGUUUGGAGGUGAACCUGAAAUGAAAGGUGUUAUACUUCACUUGUAGCUAAUCGAUCUUGAAUAUUUGGUCCUUUUAAUAGUACUAGCUUCUAGUUUCUUGUUCUGAUCUGGGAUCUCUCUCUAUCUUUCUGGUUGGCAAUAGGGAUAUUCUCUCUCUCUCUCUCUCUCUCUCUCUCUCUCUCUCUCUUCUUUGUUUUGAUUUUUCUUUAACAGGCUUUCAUAUUUGUUGGGAGAAUGCAGGUUUAUUACAUAAUUUGUAGUUCCUCAGAACAUCAAUAAAAGGUCUUUAAGGAUUGCAUACUUGGUAGUGUACAAAGAUUGGACUUUAUUAAAAAUCUGAAGUAAAAGUAGAAAACCACAAUUUUUAAUUUUUGCAGCUGAGUUCAGCUUUACUUUGUAUGCUCUUGAUUUGCUUUAAGAUGAAAUAGGCAGUUGAGGUCUGAUAUCUUCUAAACGUCCAUCUUCAUUAAUUUUCCUCUCCCUGUCAUUUCUAAAGAAUAUUGGUUGGAAAGGUAAAUAUUGGUUGGAAAGGUAAAGGAAGAUCAGGAGCAGCCACCAGAAACCAAAAUUUAUGUGGUUUGGUUAUUUAAUUACAUUAUAUAUGGUCUGGCAAACCAGUGCUCAUGUUUUGAUUGCAGCUUUUGAUGAUUUAACUAUCUCAUCUUCCCUCAAACUGAUAUUUACCUUUUAUUGUUCUGCUUGCAGCUGCCAAGAAAACUGGUCGGCUAUCUCUGCUGCUAUCGAAGUUGUCUGCCAAGCUUAGAGGUAGACAAUGGGAACCUCCUUCUUCACCCCCAGCUUCAUCAUCCUUCAUUAACGCUAAAUUAGUAUUCAAAGUCAUACUGGUAGCUGGACUUGCUGUAGGUUGGCAAUACUUUUUUUCAUGAAGUUAAAAAUAUAGAGUUUUUCAGUACACAAUAUGAGCAGAACGACAGAAUACUGAACCUCAGAAUUUGUGAAAAGAUCAUGUUCUUCCAAAAUCCUAUGUGACUCAAUUUUGUAUCAUUUUGAGCUACUCAUAAUAUUCUUUUACUUUUUGAAAUUUGACUAACCUUUGUUUCACAUAUCUAUUCUCAUCUGCAUAAGGUCAUUGAAUUUCGAGCUCCUUUGGUUUAAAGGCUUGUAUAAAGAUAUACUGGUACGAAAAGGAAAAUUGAUCAAUUGUCAUUUUUAGCAUGUCUGCUAUGGUUAUUUCUUGAGGCUGUUCCUCACAUUGCUGAAGUUUAACCCCUAAUAAUUUCUUUUCUCAUCAUUCAUAAAGUGGCCAUUAAGCUCAACCGUUGUGGGUCUAGCCCGAAUGCUCGAGUAUCGAACCAAGGUCCUGUUUCUGGCCAUCCCAUGCCACGAAUCGAACUAACUUCGAUACCGAAGGACAGAAAAGCUUGAUUGAUCUUGGCUUGUCUCUGCUAUCACCAGACAUCCAUUUCAAUCUCUCUUUUUAGCGUUUCUUCCUUUAGCUCUAGAAGCUUUGUUGCAUGGGUACAGAUUUUUUCUUUUUCAUUUUGUAUUUGAUAAUCUUACGCUAGUUUGCUUCUAACUUCCGCCGACUUCUGGAGCUUAACCACUUAAGGCUGUGACAUGGCCCAGUUUACUUGCCUUACACAUGGAUCAUGAAAAACGAAGGGAUUAAAAAUAGAGGUCUCAAACUAUUGCGGGUAUGUUUGUGUCACAGUCCUCACAUGAAAUCAAAAAUCUCACAUCGGUUAAGUAUUAAAAUUAGUCUUGAGAUAUAAAAAUAAGUUAUGAAAUAUUUUUUAUGAAAUAAAAUUAUAAAAUCAAAUAGAUUAAAGCGGAUAAUAUUUUACAAAAGUAUGAAUUGUGACAAGUAAAUUGAUUUAAAAUAUUGAAUGUGUGCAUAUUCAAGUCUUAGAGUCGGACGAGUCUAGAGGUUGAGUUUCGGCUUGUGACAAGUGAUAUCAGAAUUAAUUUUGAGAGUACUAACAAUGUACCAUCAAGGACGAUGAAUCCUCAUUAGAGUGAAAGAAGAUGUCACAGUUCUGAAAUGAAGUCAGAAAUCUCAAAUAGAUUGAGUAUUAAAAUUGAUUUUGAGAUAUUACGAAUUUGAACAGAUAAUAUAUACAUUCAAAUCAUUAUCAACAGAAAAAUAACUUUUUUUAUUAACAGAAACAUAAGAUGAAUAAUAGAUACAUUCAAAUCAUUAUCAACAGAAAAAGAAUUUUCUUUAUUGACAGAAACAGAAGAUGAACAGGAAAAUAUCGAUUCUGAUGAUUGAGUCAAAAUUUUGAAAUUUUUAUUCAAUAUAGUUAUAACUAAUCCCGACAAUCAAACAAUUAUAAAAAAAUCUAAUGAAAUAAAAGAAAUAAGUAAAGAAAUUCCUCGAUGGUCAUACAAACUACUCGACAUUUUCGAACAACACCAUAGAGAAGGCGAGGAACACAGGGCAACAGAUUAUACAAUUCGUUCAAGAAUCUUUCGGUACGCAAUAAUUUUUUCUAAGAAGGAGUUAAAUGAUGAUUUUAUUAUACUAAACGAUAUACUUGUGACAAGUGAUAUCAAAAUCAAUUCUGAUAGUACUAACGAUGUACCACCGAGGACGAUGAACCUUCAUUAAAGUGAAAGAGGAUGUCACAAUUCUAAAGUGAAAUUAGAAAUCUCAAAUGGAUUGAGUAUUUGAAUUGGUUUUGAGAUAUAAGGGUUUAUAUUUUUUUUUUUUUAAGAUAAAAUUGUGAGGUUAGAUAAGUCAAAAUGGAUAAUAUUAGGAUUGGCAUCAGGUCGGAUUCGAGGCGGAUUUUGCUCACCCCGAACUCGAUCUUACCCGAAAUUUUUUUUUUUUUUUCAUACCCGAACUCGAACUCAACCCGAUAUUAUAUAAAUCGUACCUAACCUGACCCAAAAUUAAUAAAAUAUUAUUUUUUAAAUAUAAAUAUUUAAAAAUAUCAUUAUAUAAAUAUAUAUAUAUAAUUUUAAAAAUAAUUAAAAAAUUAUUUUUAUAUAUAUCGGGUCGGGUAGGGUCGGGUUUGCCUAAAAUUCGACCCCGACUUUUUCUUCAUGCCACCCGACCCGACCCUACACGAUACCCGAUUUUCAAAAAAAAAAAACCGACCCUAAAAGGUCGGGUCAAACAGGAUUCUCGUCGGAUAUGAAUUUUUUUAACUUUUUUAGACAAUAUCUUAUAAAAAUAUAAAUCAUAACAAAUAAAUUAAUUUAAAAUAUCAAAUAAAUACAUGUUCAGAUCUUAAAAUUACAUUAGUUUGGAGGUUAAAGUUUCGGCCGUAACAUUUGUAGGUGCUUGGAACGAAGGUUCUUUGCGUGUGAGCUAAUACCGAGGGCGACCCAAAGAUAUAUAAAGAGAGGGAAUCAAAUUAUUGCCAAAGAAAAAGGCAAGAAGCAAAGGGAAUGAUCCAAACCCGAAAUUGCCAUGGCUUUCCAAUGCUUGGAAUACUUAUAGAAUCCUCAUUCACAAACCAAUUUCUGCACUUUUCAACGGUUAAAUUGUUGGGUUUUCUUCCAAGAAUCCCUUUUUUCAUAUAAACCCCAUUUCUUGUCAUUUUUCCCUUCAUAUCACGAUCCUAACCUUUCUUGGAUCUUGUCUUCGAUGCAGCCCCAACAAGGUAUGUUUCAUUCAUGCAGUUUAAUUUAAUUUUUGGAAUUUAUCAUUUACUACUCUUUUCAUUAUACAAUAGAAAUUCCUGUUAUGGUAGUAAAAAUGAAAUCGCUUGAAGAACUUGAACCAUUGGGAUUCCCACGGGACCGAGCAGUUCGGGCACUUCAUUAUUCAGGUGAGCUUUUGAAUGCAAAAUGUGAUGCAUUUACAAUAUUUAUUCAAAAAAUAUGUGCUUUACUUUCCCAUGUAAUUUAUUUUCAAGGUUAAGGAUAUAGUUUGUCUGAUGUCUUCUUCUAGAGCUAUUGUGAACCUAUAUGUAUAUUUUAUUAACAUGAAUCUUUCUGAACUGCGCAGGUAAUACUACCAUUAAGGCUGCUGUAAAUUGGCUCAUUGAUCAUGAGAACGAUGCAGAAAUUGACCAGAUGCCCUUGGUAGGGUUUUCACCUUCUUGAUAGUGUUUCCUUCGUACCAUUUUAUUGGACUUUUCAUAGGUAACACAUCCCAUUAGAUGAGUACUUGGUUUUAGGUUUUCAAUCUUAAUCUUAUAAAAUGCAGUUGUUUUACGCCUUUUUUAAAAAAGUAACAUAGGAAUGUUCAUUUACAUAAAUCAUGACUCAGAGCAAGCUGAGAAAAAGUUUAGCCUAUUGAAGGAUGAAACCGACUCUCUUUGAAAGUUUUAAAAAUUGUUAAAAACAAUUUGUUGCUUUGUAGUGUAUGCAUUAGGCAAAGAUGUAUGGUUCCCAUCCAAACCAGCCUCUCUUCCCACACCAUAAUCAGCUAUUUAGUUUAUUUUUCUUUUCUCUAGUUUCUCCUUGCCAUGUUACUAGGUUCUAGGUUCCAGAUAUAUUCUUGAAAUUUUUACUAGUAUCUUUUAGCUUCAAUUUCAUAGGUCUCAUUGCUACAUUUCAUGAAAGAAGUAUCCGAUUUGGUUCAUAUAUCGAUAUAUUUUGCAUGGAAGGGCUUGAAAAUCUUCAGUUUUUAUUUUGAAUCCUUUGUCACAAGAAUUUCUUCUCACAAGAAUUUCUUCUCUUUGUUCAAUUAAAUCCAGGUGGCUCUAAACAUGGAUAUCGAGUCCCCUCAGCCAUCUGAUAUCACAGAAGCAAUACAAAUUAAAGAACAGGAACUAAGGUUUGACUUCAACAAUCCCUUCGUGAAGAAAGCUCUUACACCCUUUCAUGACUGUUAAGCUUUCCUAUUUGAUUGUCUUCCCUCAGCAUCUAUAACUACCCCUUUAUGUUUUGAUGCUUUAUUCUAUCUUGAUUUUGACUUUGUUAAGACUCAUACUACCCUUUUCAACCUGUUCCUUUUCAUGCUCAUUAAGCUGCUCACUCUUAGGGACUGAGUUCGCAAAAAGAAAGAAGAAGAAGAAAAGAAAAGUGAAAGUGAAAGGGAGAAGGUGUUGUUUAAUCAUUGAUUUUGUUGGUUUUACCACUGUUUGCAUCUAAGGCAUUUUAGUUAGUAUAACCUACCUUCUACACCUUUUGCAGGAAAGAAUUCGGGCAGGUAAAGAACUGCUUGAAGCAAAGAGAAUUGCAGAGGAAAAUGAACGACAACGGUUUGUUUUAAUACUCCAUACAUAUGAUCUUUCUAUGCAGAAAUUUUGUGCCUUAUAUCUCCUCUACUUUCUUAAAGCAAUGACACCAUUCCUUAUCAAUUUCUCGAUGCAUAUUUAUCAGCCUUUUAGCCUUGCGAAAAGCAGAGAAGGAGGAAGAGAAAAGGGUAAGGGAAAAAGUGCUUCAGCAGUUAGAAGUGGAUAAGGUCUUUUCUAAUUCUUACUAUUUUCUGACCAAAAAGGGGUACAUAAAUUCUUACUAUGUUAUUUUGAAUCUCAUUAUGUUCUUGAAACUGCAUGUGAUUCUAACAGUUCUUAUAACUUCACAGUUAGAAAGAAAACGAGCACUUGGAUUGCCACUUGAAAGCUGAGCUGUGAAACCAUCUGGACCUAUUAUACAAGAAAAAAAGGUUAUAUAUAUCUUUCAAAUAGUAUCUCAAAACACAAGGAAACUGUAUUUUAUGGAGAAUAUAAGAGAUCUUAUUGGGCUUGAUCCUGUUAAAGUUGCAGAAUUCCUUGCCUGUCGAGUCUGUUAAAAAGGCUGACCGCAUGAGAGAAUGUCUAAGGUCUCUGAAGCGCACUUACAGGGUAAGCAAUUUCUUAACUCAUUGUUUUCAUAGCUAAUUGAACAGAACAACUAAUAGCCUAUAUAUGUUAGAAUUGUCUUCAUGUGUAUGAAAAUGUAAAUCUGGAAACCAGAUUAUGUCAUUGAAUUUAGUAAAUUACGGAUAAUCCUUCUAGACAACACUGAUGCAACUAGAAUUUUUAGAAACCUUUAAUGAGGUGAAUUGUCUUUAUCCACACCUGCUUAACUAGUGUCACUGCUUGGUUUGAAAGCAAUUUUAAAUCCAUUUUCUUAUUAACUCACAGAACUUUAAUCUUGAAAAUAUCCAUACUAAUUGCAGGUACACAUAUUUUAAGCUCUACAAUCCCCCCCCCCCCCCAAGAGUCUGAUAGAAUUCCUACUUCCAUUUUUAUAUUUUGCAGGCUUAAACAACAUUGUCCGUUUUAUGUACUCUGUCUAGUAAAUUUUACUUUAAUCAACAUGAUUCUCUGGUUAAUUUUAUUCCAGGGUGAUAAUGCCAGAGUUAAAAGGGCAUUCCAAACCCUGUUGAUUUAUGUCGGAAAUGUUGCAAGGAGUCCGGAUGAGGAAAAGUUCAGGAAGAUUCGACUUAGUAAUUCCAGGUAAGGUGCCUUUUUAAUUGGUGUCAUUAUCUGAUUGAAGUGUGCGGAGACCUUCUCUAUGUAUGUAUCAGUAUUUUUUUGAUGAUGAUGCACUUUUCUUCUGAUCAGGAAAGGGUUGGAAGCCUGAAAGGAGGGAUUGAGUUUCUUGAGCUUUGUGGGUUUGAGAGAAGUGAAGGGAACGACUUCUUGGUUUUUCCUCGUGACAAUGUUGAUAUAGAAUUGCUUAACUCAGCUGGUUCUCUGUUAAAAUCUGCAAUUACAAAUCCCUUCUUUGGUCUUCUUGAACAGAUAAUAGAAGACUAGCGUUGUAAUAUCAGGUUUAAUGGACAUUAGUUGAGUGUGAAUGCUGAGAGGGUGACCAUAAAUGAAUAAAAGAUUGGAAUGUAUAGCAAAACUUCUAGUAACUUUCAUGUGUCUCAGUGUUUGCUAAUGUUGCACAAAGCAAUUGCUCUGCACAAUCUUUAGAGUUUGGAAGUAAGUGUUUGAUGUAUUUUCUUUAUCUUUUCACGUCGAGAAAGUUAAAAUUUCAGCAAAUAAGGAAUCAUGAGAGGAACUUCUGGAAAACAGAACAAAUAACAGUGACGAAGAAAGUUAAAAAGGCUUGCCUAUCAGGACCUUCUCGACCACAAAAGUGGACUGUAAAAUUAUAUUCACUAAUGUUACAUCCUUCUAACACCGAAACUCAACUAGCCUCCAAUUUCCCUAAACUUAUUAAAUGCAGUUCACACUAACCAACGCGGAUUCUCUUCGAGCUCUACAUAAAACUCUUAUCAUCUGUCACCUAGUCUAACCCUGUCACCUUCCUGGCACCUUCCUAUCACUGUCUAAACACCGUCAUGCAGUCCUUAUAUAAGGUAAACAGGUGGUCCACGUAUGCUCAUGAAUAAUCCUUACAAGUUCUUUACUUUUAGGCUUUUCGUACACUCCAUCUUCUUUCUCCUCCGACCCUCAUAUAUUUACGUGUAUCAAUUAGUUCGUUUUUGUGUAGUUAAAACCUAAAAAAUAUACUUUUCUCCUUCCGAUCUUCAGCAUGCAGCUUGGAUCCAGUUCUAAUUGAGACUACAUAACUGUUACUUUGAAUGUUCAGUUCCAUUUGAAGCCACAUAAAUGUUACUUUGAAUGAACAUUCAAGCCGAACCAAAAGGGCAGGUUGCGGCUAAAGAAGAAAAUUCCGAAAAUGCUGACUGUGGAACAGUUUGGUUGAAUUGAUACUUUCCAAUUUUGUAUGUUAAAGUUUUCACAUUCCUUUCAAUACUUUUCAAGAGAAGUAUUAGUUUCACCCAAAGGGGAAGAGCUCAACUUUUAGAAAAAUCAAUUCAAAGGGCAAAAGAACAGGUCAAAGAUAAUUCCGUGUAUGUAAUUGGCUUUAGAAAGACCAGUCAAUUCAAAUGUCACCAUAGUUUUUCUGACAGGUAUAUAAUCUCAUAGCACAAACAUCAAUCAGAUGUUUUUGUCUACAAUUUCAUGGUGGUCAUGAAAGCCAGAGGAUUUAGCACUGUGGUUUUCUUCCUCAUCCUAUCAUGUUUAUGGAUGGAAGGGCCUUGCACAUCUCAUGCACAGACUGACACCCUUAGACCUGGGGAAUUCAUCGGGUUCUUGGACUCACUUGUUUCAGCUAAUGGGAGAUUCAGGUUAGGUUUCAAUCGUUUUGUCGACUCCAGCAACAAUGAUUACCGUUAUUUGCGAAUAUCGUAUGAUGAAGAUGGCGCAACAGUGUGGGUGGCUAACCGAACCACUCCUGUUUUUGGUAGUGGUGGCAAUUUCACGAUGGAUGCAGAUGGCUUUUUGAAGAUUAUGCACGACCAAGGGAGUCCAAUAGUCUUGAAUCCAAAUCGAGCUUCGAGAAACUCAUCAGCUCUCCUACAAAACGAUGGCAAUUUUGUAUUGACAGAAUUGAACCCGGACGGCUCCACCAGGCAAAUCCUGUGGGAAAGCUUUGAUUUCCCAACAGACACCUUGCUGCCUGGGAUGAAGCUAGGUGUGAACUUACGAACUGGGCAAAGGUGGGUACUUACUUCUUCCAUAAGUAAUAAUGUUGCUACCCCCGGAGCUUUUUCUCUUGAGUGGGGUAACAACGGGAGUGGCAUAGAGCAACUAAUUGCAAGACGUCGAGGAGAGGUCUAUUGGACAAGCGGGGCCUUGAACUUGAAUGAUCGCAGCUUUGAAAACAUUUUAUGGAUGACAUUUUUUCCAAGCAACUAUAAUUUUAGCUAUAUUUCUAACGAGAACGAGAGCUACUUAAGCUAUUCUGUUCUGGAUGGGGCUCUUUCAAGAUGGCGCUUGAACCCGGAAGGGGGGAUUUCUGAUAUCCUGAAUCCAGUCUUUUUGUCUAGUGCUGCAUGCUACAGGAGUCCGGGUUGUCAACUCCAAGAACCAGCAUGCAAAAGUGAAACAGAUGCGUUUUUGCAGCGACCAGGUUUAUUUAGGGGUUUUCCAUUAUCAUCUGAGGGGAAUUUAAGCAUUGGUUUAGGAGACUGUUCGGCUCAAUGUUGGAACACGUGUUCUUGCGUCGGUUAUGCCACUCUUCAUACAAAUGGAACUGGGUGCGAGUUGUGGAGCAGAGAUUUGAACUUUUCAGUAAUUGAAACAGGAAAUAGCCGAAUUGUCUACGUGUUAAAUUCGACGUUAGCAGAAGGUGGAUCAGAUGCAGUAAAUGGUAAUGGUAAUGGUAAGUCUCUCCUGAAAAACAUAAUUUAUCUUGCUUGAUCUGGUUGCACUUUUUGUUUUAAUCUCUUCUCUGUGUUCUCUUUUUUUGUUUAGAAAACAAUUGGUGGAUCUGGAUCAUCAUUGCAUUUGCAGCCGUGCUGAUAAUACUUGCCUUGGGCUUCUUGUGUUAUCAGAGGAGGAAGAAACUCCAAGGUAAAAUCCUCCCCUUUCCCGCAGACUCAGAGGCAAUAUGUUUGUUGAUACAAAAAUUGAUUCUAACUCUAACCGUGCAUCCAAAUUUGAACAGAAGAUAAGGAAAGGGAGGACGAAGAUAUAUUACUCGAAUUAACUACCUCAAAUGAGAUUGGCAAUGAUGGGAGGAAAGGUCAUGAUUUGAAGGUCUUCACUUUUGCUUCUAUAAUGGCUGCUACAAAUGACUUUUCAUCUGAAAACAAGCUUGGAGAGGGUGGUUUUGGCCCUGUGUACAAGGUAAAUUCUAACAAGGACUAUCAAGAAACUAAGUUAUGUUCUAAUUGACAUCGACAUUUGAGGCUUAAGUACUUUAUUUCUAUACAAUCUUAUCAGGGAAAAUUACCCGAUGGCCAAGAAAUAGCAGUGAAGAGGCUGUCAAGGAGUUCGGGACAAGGACUAGUGGAAUUUAAGAACGAACUCAUUCUUAUUGCCAAACUUCAGCAUAUGAAUCUUGUCAGACUUUUGGGUUGUUGUGUUAAGGGAGGAGAAAAGAUGUUGAUCUAUGAAUUCAUGCCCAACAAAAGCUUGGACUUCUUCCUUUUUGGUUUGUAUUACUUUCCCACUUUCCACUCGUAUCUUCUCCAUUGCUAGUGUUUGAUUCGAUCAUUAUGAAUCAAAAAGGGACACGUACAAAAUUUGCAGAUCCAACUAGAAGAGAGCUACUGAACUGGACGACACGGUAUAGCAUCAUUGAGGGAAUUGCUCAAGGACUUCUUUAUCUCCAUAGACACUCUAGAUUAAGAGUCAUCCAUCGAGAUUUAAAAGCAAGUAAUGUUUUGCUUGAUGGUGAUAUGAAUCCAAAGAUUUCAGAUUUUGGAAUGGCUAGAAUUUUCGGCCGAAAAGAAACUGAAGCAAAUACGAACAGAGUUGUCGGAACAUAGUAAGUAGAUGCUAAAAUGAUGAUACAUUUUCUUAUUUGUAUUCAAAAGGCCAAAACAUUUUUAUUUUCACUAUUGCAGCGGUUACAUGUCACCUGAGUAUGCUAUGGAAGGCAAUUUCUCGGAAAAGUCAGAUGUUUAUAGUUUUGGAGUCUUGUUAUUGGAGCUUGUCAGUGGCCAAAAGAACAAUAGCACUUUUCAUCAUCUUGAUCGGCCCAUGAAUUUAGUUGGAUAUGUUGGUUUUCUGAAUCUCAACUAUUUUUCUUUGUUGUUAAUAAAGCUUCUGAUCUUUCAGGCUAACCCAUUAGUCCUUGGCUGGUUUCUACUUGCAGGCUUGGGAGCUUUGGAAAAGAGAAAGAAGCAUUGAACUACUUGACUCCAAAAUAGGUGACAAAAAUUUUAGAUCUCAGGCAUUGAGAUGCAUCCAUGUGGGUCUCUUAUGCGUGCAAGAGUCUGCAAUAGACAGGCCAAACAUGUCUGAUGUCAUAUCUAUGCUUGCAAACGAAACCGUGCCACUUCCAGCUCCUAAACAAAAUGCAUUUUCCACUCAUCAAAAAUUGGUGGAAAUAUCACUGUCUAGAUCUGUACAAGAAAGUUGUUCAAUCAGUGCAUCAGUUUCAGAUAUAGAAUCUCGGUGAAGAUGCAUAUAUUCUUACAACAGGGAAGUUAUACAGAAGUAGUAGCAGAAGAGCUCGUUCGUUCUGCUCUACAGAGAUUUCAAGUUUCCCCUAUUUUCUUUUAUUUAUUUCUGUACACUAGGAAAAUGAUCCCAUCAAUCUUUUAUACGAGGUAAAAUUAUGUAAUAGAUCUUUAUAUUUUAUUUAAAUAGCGAAAUAAUUUUUUUAAUCUUUUCGAAUUAAAAUUUUAUAUUUUAAUAAAUUAUUAAAUUUAAUCAAAUUAUUAAUGAUUCAAAAUUUUUGUAUUAAAAUUAGUGACCUGACCUAUUAAAUGUUUUACGUUGCAUGUUGAUUUUUUAACAUUUUUCUUUGUGACUGUUAGCUUUAUUAAAUGUGUUAAGUCCACGUAAAAAAAAUCAUGACAUGGCAAAAAUUUUUGUCUAAUAGAUACAAACAUUUAAAAUAUUGACUUGUUCGGCGUAUCACUGGGAUUAAGGACGAGACAAGACAAACCCAAUUUAUGGAAUUUAGAUUGAUGGGCUUCUAAGGGGCAUUACCGACUCUUUAUCCUUUGUUUUUGGUUUUUUAACGAAACGCCACGUUUUGGUUCAUCAUUCUAGUCGGUUUUGUUAGAGGAACUAAUUCCCAAACACUCUUUAUAAAAGGAGAAAAAUUAAAUUCCCAAACAGUCCCUUCGCUUCAAUCAUUCACCAAAUUCGAAAGCCAAACAAGUGAAAAGAAAAUUUUAGCUAAUCUACAAACUGGGGGAGUGAGAAACUCCGCUUUUAAAACAAAUAUCUUCAAAUUCCUAAUAAGAAGAAAUCAAUGUAUUUUUUUAUGCAUUUAUAUUUACUCAAUACAAAAUAAGGGCGAGGGGGUUUUUGAUUUUUUUUCUUUUUUUUUCCCUUAUGCUAAGCUAGAAUUUUUUUUCUUAGUUUUAAAGUCCUCAGGAAGGGCAGUUUUUCUUUCUUAGUUUUUGAUUUCGUCGGCUCUUUCUCUCGUGAUUUAUAAAGAUUAGGGUUAGGGUUAGGGUUAGGGUUAGGUUUUUUAAUUGGCUGAUAGAGAUGUAUGCUGAUCGAGUGGAUGAGGGUUCUGGCAAAAGGUCGGUAAAGGAGAGACUCAAUGGCAACUCCUCCGACAACUCUAUUUGGCGGCGUCAAGUCACUGGCAAGAGGUUUCGUUUUGUCUUUAUUUCUGUUUGUUUCCACGGAGUAUAAUUGGUGAAACAAAACUGGGUUUAUUUGCCUUAAUAGGAAUUUUCCUUUUUUACUUAUUUAUUUUAGUGUAAUGCAGUAAUUUAACUGUUUUCCAUUGUGCUUGGCCAAAAAAAAAAAAAAAAAAGACCUGUUUACCAUUGUGUUGGUAUUUUUGGAUGAUGAAUCAAUUUCGCUUUUGACUUUGCCUUGAAUAUUUUAGUUUAAUAUGCUGUGAAAGAUUUUAGAUAGAGUUGAUGAGUGCAUUGGAGUUAAAGACUAUUUAAAUAAAAUAAACAUGGUUUUUAUUUAAAGUAACUAAAUUCAGGAGUCAGAUUUGUGUUGUCCGUUUCCUAAAUCCUUGAAAUUAAGUAUGAUGCAUAGAAAGAAGGGAGGGGUUGGGGGCAGAGCCUUUGAAAUUUUAGCUUUCAAAGUAUGUUGGUUGCAAUGAACGUAAUGAGUUAUUUCCUUUUUACUAUAAAGUAUUAAGUAUUUUGCAUUCGGUGCUCAAUAAGCGGUCUACUCGCUUCUCCUAGGGGUAAAGAAAGAAAACGGAGGAAAGUCCAAGGCACUGUCAGUUUACUGAUGUGGUUUUUAUCUUUUGAUCUACUUCAUUCUUUUGACCCGCUCCAAUUUUCUUAUUUGUGCUUCUUGCUUAUGAACUUAGGCAUUUGUGGUUUGAGUUUGUAAGGGUUGAUUUUGCCUCUUGGGCAUCAAUAUUGCUAAAAUAUAUAUCCUUUUCAUUUAAUGGUGAUAGAUUUCAUCUGAUAUUAGCUGGCAUCAGUCGAAUUUGGUUUAUGUUCCCUUAUGUCCACCCAAAAGAAAGAAGUUGAAUUUGGUUUAUUUGCACUUUGUGCCUUAAUUCUCCUAAUCUGUGAACAUCUUCAUGCCAUAUCUUUUGCAGGCAGAGGCAAGAUGAAAAGUGGGAACAUGAUCUUUACCAAGACGAUGUACCUCAAGUUUCAAGUAUGGAUUGCCUGACACAAUCACAUGAACUAAAAUAUUGCUGCUAUAGUUGGAUGCAACUAAAUUAUCUCUAUUUGGUUUUGACUUUAUGUUAAUGGUUUGUGAAGAUCGUAAAGUCGAUGCUCGAGAUCUUCGUUUGAAGCUCCAAAGGAAAAGUCUCCAACAUGUGGCUCAAAGUGGAAGGGGAACUCUCUCAAGUGUACAUGAUCUUCGUGAAAAAUUAUCUGGAACAAUGAAUACACAGCCAAUAAAUGUUGAUCCAUCAAAACUGAAAGUGGAAGUUGCCAAACCAGCCAGGAAAAGUGUUGCAGUUGAAACUCCUGAACCAGAGCCCAAAAGGGUUGCACAUACAACAGCAAGAAUGAAGUCUCAGCAAAAGGCAUAGAACUUCUGCUCUUUUUGCUUAUUAUCUUCCCUUACCAUUUUAGCUGUUAGGAACACCCCCCAUCUUCUCCCUCUUCCCUAAGUUAACACAAGACAAUGGAAUUGCUAGCAUUUUUGUUUGCAUUUUAUCAUAAUAUAUGUCAUGAUAUUUUUAUACCUUGACAUGCAAUAUUUUUUAGUGCUUUAUGUUUGUUGGACAAGCAUGAUACAUCAAAGUUCUGUUUUAUCUUCUUCUCUGUUUUCCUCAUGUCAGAGGUGUAUGCAUAUGUGUUUAGGUGGGUGGAUGGGCAGGUGGGUGGGAGAGGGGGAUUUUAAAAACCUGCUAUGUAAUGGCAUGUGUAUCCCUAGGGCUUGUUUACAAUGGUUUGUAAUGCUUGAUAAAGUGAACUCAGUAAACUUGACCUGUCAACUUUGGAUUGCGGGGGGAAGGGUUCAAAAACCUGCUAUGUAAUGGGAUGUAUAUCCCUAGGGGUUGUUUACAAUGGUUUGCAAUUCAUGAUGAAGUGAACCGAGUGAACUUGACGUUGUCAAACUUGGAUUGCAGAGGGGAUGGGGAAAAGUUGACCUGUCAACUCUGGAUUUUAACCCAUCAUUAACUGAAAUUGGAAUGUGCUGCAUAGUGUUGGCAGUUUGAAAGUCCGAUAGGUGGGGCAAUGAACCAUGUUAUGACGCUUUAAUGCUAAGUUAUGGAUUUUGUGGAAUAUUGAAAAAGAAGUUAAUAAGUGUUCUCGUAAAUGGAAUUAUAACUGUCCCUGAGUUUGCACUUUUAUAUCUUUUUUUUUUUUUUGGUUCCCUUCUAUUCUUAUUUAAUCCAAAAUGGUUAUUUUGUACCCAUUCUGCUCUUGCUGUCUGAUGACUUUUUAGGUUCUGAACCCCAAAUAAAAAGGAUUAAAUGGAUAGCCUAUGUUAGCUGUUUAAGGUGCAAUUCAAGAGCCAUUCCCCCAUUAUGUUUUCAAGUCCUGAGUCUUACCAAUAUGUGCUGUUGUAGUUAUAUUUUCGUGUCUAAGCCAUGUGGUUUCUUAUGCAGGCUGAUACAUCAGUUGAGGGCUUCCUCCAGUCUUUGGGUCUUGAAAAAUAUGCAAUUACUUUUCAAGCAGAGGAAGUAUGUGGUUUUAUGCUUUCUUCUGUAUAUUGUAAAUUUGCCCCUUUUAUUUUAAAUCAUACGGUAAAGGAAUUUAUGCGCCCAUUAUAAGACAUAAACCUCGUUCUGCAGGUUGAUAUGACUGCUCUUGUACACAUGACUGAUGAGGAUCUGAAAACUUUAGGCAUACCAAUGGUAACUUCGAACUUUAGACACAUGGAUGCAAUUACGUUACUCUUCCACUUUGUUUUGUCCAGUUUUUAAAUUUGAGAUUCUCCAAAUGUUUUUCUCUUUUAAAGAGCCAAGGCAUACCUUCUUAACUUUAUGAGGAUGUCCCUUUUUCACCUAGAAAAUCCCUUUAUUUUGCUUGCUUUUCUUCUACUUGCAUAUGAUCAUUUGGGAGUGUUAUUGGAAUUAAUAGUUUAAAUGCAAUUAAAUUCAAUUGGAAUUCUUGGAAUGUACAGAUAAUUAAUGAUGAAAGCAGUCUUAGAAAAUCCUUUUAUCAAGGUAAUUUGAAAAUAUGUCACUUUACUUCUUUAGUCCAAUAUAAUGCACGUCCUUUCAGCUUACAGGCUUUAAAGAAUUUCCUUCACGAAGCAAACUUUUACUGUUUAUCUUUCUCUUUUUCUGUUAUAUGCAUGUAUCGUGAGUAUUCUAUUUUCCCUAUUUUCUACUUGUUUUCUCUUCCCUACACUUUGGUUUCAGGAAGUGUUUGGGUUUACUUCCAGGGCCCGAGAAAGAAGAUAAUUCUCGCGAUGGAAUCUAGAGGCUGAUAUUUGGAGUUUUAGCAAGUGGUUGUUGAGGGCUUGUGUUUUGGCUGAUAAGACCUUGCAUGUAGCAAUUGGUUUUGGUAUUUAUUUUUUCUCAGCAUUAUUGACAAAAAUAUAGCUUCGUCAGCUUGUUAUUGAAAUCAAAGGAUGGAGUUUUGUUAGAUUACAAGUGGGUGGGAGUUCCUUUUUUCUUUUUUUUUUUCAUUAGUGGCUUCAGUUAGAAACUUUAAAGAAAUGUAUGUGCCGCAUUGUCUUAAUAUUUUAGGAAGCUUUCUGAAAUCUAAAUCAGUGUAAAGGGUGAUUUUGAGCUGAAAUAAUGUGUCACGUAAUGAGAACCCCGCUUCUUUAUAUAUCAUGGGGCCAGCAACUGUGUUAUAAGCCACUCGAAUAUACAGUCUGUGUUUUAUUUUUACCCCCUAGAUGAAAGAUAAAAGUUUUAACUUCUGCAUCUUUCAUUGUUAAGUAAAUGUAGUUUUCUUUUCCUAUGGUUUUUGUCGUCAAAAGGCUUUAAUAAAAGGAAGGGGCCUCAAGAAUACGCUACACUUCUGUUGAUUUUCAUCGCUAACCAAUAACAGUCUGCAUAUAUCCAAGACUUCUACCCAUCAAAAUAGUCUCAAAUUCUUGAUUUUUCAUGGCUAACCAAUAAAAGUCUGAAUAUAUCCAAGACAUACUACUCAUCAAAAUAGUCUCAAAUUCUAACAUUUUUUCUUAAUAAAUUUUCUAUGGUAUAUGACAUCAGGUAAAUUGCUACAGAUACAAGCACGCAUAACGUGUUUCAAAAAUCGUGUUUCUCCCAAGGCUAAAUUGUUUUUUGAACUUCUCCCGUGGCUAGUUAUCUUCCUAUCUAGCUGUUGCAGCCUUUGCUUGAUGUCAAUCUUCGAUCCAGGGAAACACUUAAGAUGCUGUGUUUGAUUUAGCCUUCCAAGCUAGAUACUUGGCCUUUUCUUUCUUAUAUCUUCUCAAUUCUCUUAAAGCUGCAAGCCCAAUAUGCAUAGAAACGGGCAAAAAGAACGGCUGUACAAAUAGAAGAAAUGUCAUUGAGAUUUGUAAUCCAAGUCCAAUAGAUCAAUACAACUAAUGGUAACCUUGUAAAUAAUUUGCUUUAAUGAACAUAGAUACUAGUUCAGAAACCAGAGGUGACAAGAAUGCAGACUAAGAAGAAAAACUUGCAGAAUGCUAUGUUGUAAAGGAAAGGAAAAAUAAUUCACAGGAUUUUGUAUGUAAUUUCCAGCUUUAGAUCAUUUGGAAGAUAAUUUUCCCUCCCUUCCAUGGCCAAUGAAUACUUCAUAUAUUCUUCUUUACAUACCUUCAAUUGAGUAUUUAACUGUCAGAGACCACUUAAUGCCAAUAGCACUCAAACGAAAUCUCAUGAUAAGAAGCAAUAAAGAGCAUGCUUCGGUAAGAAAAUCUCAAUUUCUGAUUAAUCAUUAUCAAGAGAGGCAUGAAAGUUUCAUUUAACUAACCGAGUAGACAGCAAAACAGUGCUCAAAGGAAUAGUAGCUGACAGACAUAAUAGAUGGGUGGAAAAAGGAAUCCUCUGCCAGAGACCUUGCUUUUCUUGAGGAAGCUGACAAAAAAGUGUAAAAUGUUUGUUGAAGUGGACUAGCUGAUAAUAGAUUUCGAUUUUAAGACACAAUUGAACAAUAAUCUAAAGGUAAGUUUAGGAACAUACCAGCUGAAGAUUCAUAUACUCCACUAGAAGCAUUACUUUGUGCCAGCUUUGCUGCCUCAAGAGAAAGCUUUACCUACUCAAAGACACCACCAUAAAAUUAAAUACUGGUAGUUCAAUGAUUAUUUUCAAACAGAUGCUUACAUAUGCAAGUGCUCCUAUAAAUACACUUAUAGUCCAGCUUAAUAUCUUACCUGUUUUCCGAUCUCAUCCAUAAUAAUCAUCCUCGGCAGUGAUUGAACCUGCAUUAAAAUUUGUCAUAUGUAGCAAAAAUUCUUAUCCAAAUCAGACAGUCCUUUUUCUAACACCAACACAUACCAAUCUUGAAAGAGAUCCAAGGGUUGUAGCACAUGAAUGAAGAUUAAAACAUGUGUGCUGCCGUGACAAGACAUCCACUUCCCUGGCCAAGAAUUGAAAGCAAGAAACUCUCAACAGACAGUAUGAACAACUAAAUGAGACAAUACUAUAUUUCAAUUUUAAGAAAAUUUUGAUUUAAAUUAAGGCUUAAGCAAGCAUCAAGACGCAGAUAAAAAAACUGCGAAAUUGAGUUCAGUUCUCUCAGAUAAAUACUAUUAAUCCAUUAUCUGUCUGGCACUAGACAUAUAACUAUCAGUCAUAGCCUGGUAGUCACAUAGGAUUUUAUUUUACCACACAGUAAAACCUCUUUCGCUAGGUAGAAGGUUCCAAACGCCUGAUGCACCGGCAUAAACAUUGACAGACUUGAAACCAAAAAUUUGCCGGAACUGCCCAAUGAAUACUUCAAACAUGUUCUCAAGAUCCUGUUUAAGAAAGUUCAUGCGUCAAACUAGAGAAAACUAAAUUGAAGCCACCUGUGAUAAUAGAACAUUUACUUCUACUCAUUCAAUUAUUCUCUUCUUUUCCAUAGUCCAAGAUGGAUGGCAAUAAAUCCACAAACUAUAUGGUUUGAAACUGAUAUCUGAACUUCAGUCUCAAACAACAAUAAUUGCUCUGGAACUUUACAGCAUCUACAUGGUAAUGCAAGCAUGUAUGUGGGGGAGAGAGAGAGGAGAAUGGGAGGGGGGACCAUACAGUUUUUUGUUGAAUUUGUUAUUUAUCAUCUAACCUGCAUGGGAAUUCUGUGCCCGGCAGUGGGCUUGUUUUCUGAGUCCUUUAAACAGCCUUGGGGAUUCCAAACAAUAACACCUCCCCACAUCUAAAAGGUUUCAACGGAAGUAUUAAGGUAAUGUGUCUGACAAGAAUAAUAGGUUGGUGAAAGGCAUAUAAAUAAUAAAGGCUUGAUAACUAACUGGAGAUAUAAAGCCAUUUGUCUUGGAAAUCUCUCCAUUUGGCAGCUGGAGAAGAAGAGGGCAUUCCUUUGCAGAUGGUACAUAUCUGACAACAGAGAGAAAAACGAACAGCUUGAGAAAAUGAAACAGGCAUGCAAGCAAAUCACAAAUAUGAGAGUGAACAAGAGAGAUUAUUAAGAAAGGCAGAUCAAAGUUGGCUAACAAUCCUGAAUCAACAUUUUCUCCAAAAGUAGCAUCAAAAUAAAAAAUACAUUGACUAGGAUGGAAAUUGGAAUCGUAUGGUUAUUAGGUUGCUACACCCUAUACCUCAAUAAAUGCAAUCAUUACAAUUAGGAAAUAAAAGAAAAUUUGAGUACAAGAAUAUACACCACAAAUUGCAAUAUCUUUGAUCGCCCACCAGCUGCAAUUGAAGUAUCUAAGUGCCAUUCAUUAGAAUUUACCUGUUAAAACCAUGAGAUAAUAUUACUAGUACAUAAAAUAAGUUCCCUUGUUUUCCAUAUAAAAGCUACAAUAACUCAUGUCUAAACAACAAAUAGAAAGAAUGAUUGACAUAUCUUGUGGCCAAAAAGCACUAAAUGCAAAAACAUACAUAAAUCCAAUUACUAAGACAUAUUUCCAACAGCAUUCUUUUAUCAGUAACCUACAGAAUCAGAAGAAGAAAAAUCUUAAAGAAACAUACGAAGAAAGGAAGAUCUUUAUUACUAAAGACAUGGCUCUCCAACUUUUGAUUCCAAUAGGAGAAAGAGGCCUUUGGUGUGUGGUACAAAACCUAGACAUGAGAACAAUUAAAUCCCAAUCAGACGAAAAAAAAUAGAAUAUAAGUUAUGCCCGAAAUGAAGAAGGAAGAUGAUCCUUGACCUGACUCUCUACACUGAUGUUAGCCACAGGUCCCAAAGCGUCAAUCAUAGUGGCCAACAAACCGUCAUCAAUCUUUCGGAAAUCCCUGCACCAGAUACAAGGAAAUAUAAGAUGAGCAAAAUUCAACACCACCAUAACAUUCUAAUCAUAACAUGUUUCGUUUAGCAUACAAAAUCAAAACAAAACCAACAAACGUUUAAAAAUUAAUCAAAUUCAUAAAAAAAAAAAAAAAAAAAGCAAAAGUUAACAGCAAAGGCCUCAUACCAAUCAUAAACCCAAUCACGUGGAUCCGCAUUGAGUAAAUUGAAGGAAAGAACGAUCUUCCCAUCAGCUCCCACGGGCAUAAACUCAUUCCGAAUCGACCCUUCCUCUCUUCCACCAUUCACAAACACCUUGACCAACACCUCCGCAACCUUCACCGCUGCUAUCUCCAUCUCCCAGCCACCACCAACAACCAUCCACGCGUGCCUAUACUUUCCCACAACAGCUUUCUCACUCUCACCCUUCACCACCACCACACUGUACUCCUUAGUUUUCCCGCUAAAAACUGACUCCAACUUCUCAUCGACCGCCACGUCAUCGUUCUGAACAAAAUCAGUGGCGGUGAUCGAUCCGCACUGGUAAGAAAUCGAAUGUGGAGACGAAAUUGGGAACCGAAGGCAACGGGGGCCGAAGUCCACGGUGACGGAGAGAGUGUAAUUGUUGGAGCAUUUAGGGUUUUGAGAGGUUACUUUGGUAAUUUCGGAGAGGAUUGACAGACGGAUACGAUCGGGAUCUGAAUCGAAGCCGAUGAAAAGGGCGUGGAAAUGGAGCGGGAAGAGUAAAGUAUCGGACCGAAGCUGAGUCAAGAGCGAGUCGAUUUCGCGAAACGGCAGAGGAGAACGGUAGAUUUCGACGGAUUUCCAUAAGAACGGGAAACCUGAAAUUCAAUUUUAAAAAAAUAUUAAGAAGAAGAAAUUUUAUUUGUUUAUUUAUUUAGGAAAAAAAAAAAGAAGAACUAUAAUUAAAGAAGCGUCAGAGAUUUAGAGGCAGACCAAGGAGGAAGGAGAAGAGGACGGUCAAGGUCAGAAAAAGGCGCUUCAAUCCGGGUUUGGUUUCGCGCAUUAAUUUCGGGUCGAAGUCGGGUUGGGAUUGGGGUUGAGGUGGUACUUUACUAGCAUUGUCCGGUAAUUUGGAGGAAUCGGAGUCUGAGAUUUCGGGCAUUGCUGGAGAAGCUGGAGUUUCUUCUGCUCUGCACACUGCGGUGAUAGACUGACUGCUCUAAAUCUUGAGGUUGAUCUUGUUUUACUUUAUAGACGAGAAAAAAAAGAUAGUGUGAUCCGAUAUGAGGCCGUCUUAGCUCAGCCGGUAGAGCGCCUGGCUUUUAACCAUGUGGUCGUGGGUUCGAUUCCCACAGACGGCGAGCGUGUUGCCCUUUUUCUCUUUUCAUGUUAUCCAAAGACCAGUCGACUAUGAAAUCAUUGCAAAUGAAUCCUUUCCUUUUUAUUUUUUUUAAAUGAAAGUGGCAAUGAAAUAUUUAUAUUAAUUUCCAUAUGGGUUCUUUCCGUUCCAGCAAAUCUUCAUCUUUCUCAUGUACGAAGAAGUAGAUAAUGGCUUGUUAGAUGAGCAAAAUACAAAGAACUCAAUGUACCAUGCUACUACCAAUAUUGACGGAAAUGGAAAAGUUUGAGGGAAUUAACAUUUUCUUGAACAAUAAAUAUGGUUCCCAAUUUUAUGACCAACACUAACAGCAAGUCUCCCAGCGUCUUCUUUCUCUAUUAAAAUUUUCUUCACAAAGUGAAAAAUUCUGCUUUCGGGUGGCAAAUGAAGCUGCUUGCCUACCUUUGAACAUUAAAGAAAAAUAACUGUAAUGAUUGGAGCAGAAAACCAAAUAACCAUCCCGUGCAGACUCUGAUUGCAUAUAUACCUAUACUAGUAACUCUAUUUUGUACUACCAUAUCUUUAUGGGUGCUUGGAACCGAGUAUGAAUUCUUAAGCAUUUCUAGCUACUUUUCACAAAGGCAGGCAGGGUCCAUGUGGGUGGCAUGGGUGAAUGCCUGCAUCUUCUGAAGAAUGUUAGUUUUUAGCAGCAAGCUCAGCCAAAAUCUAAUUUUAGUAGGGUGAAUCCCUCCUUUUCCAGUUGGUCUUUUUUGCAACGUCUAUAACUUUCUUGCUAAAAAAAAGCAGACAAAUGCAGGCUCUUAAAUGGCAAAAGCAUCUUAAACCUCUCCUCUUAGCCUGCAAAGACAAAAAAUCCGUAGCUAAAAUUCACGCUUUCGUGAUUCUAACUGGCGUUUACAUACAUAAAACCUCCGUUGGCAAUCUUAUCGCAUCUUAUGUACGAGUUGGUGAUAUCUUGUCCGCUCGUAAAGUGUUUGAUAAAUUGUCUACCAGAGGUGUAGAUGCAUGGAAUGCAAUGAUCGUUGCCUAUUCUCGUAAUAGUUUUCCAAAACAAGUUCUGGGUUUUUAUCAUCAGAUGAUUCUUGAAGGCAUCAGGCCUGACAGCUCCACUUUUACCGUGGCUAUUAAGGCGUGUGUUAGUUUGAUGGACUUGGAAAUGGGGGAGGAGAUUUGGCGUAAAGCGGUAGAUUUUGGAUAUCAGAAUGAUGUGUUUGUAGCGUCUUCUGUUUUAAAUUUGUAUGUGAAGUGUGGAAAAAUGGAUGACGCAAUGAUGGUGUUUAACAAGAUGCCAAGAAGGGAUCUUGUCUGUUGGACUACUCUGGUAACAGGGUUUGCGCAGAGUGGAUGGGCUAGUGAGGCGAUUGAUUUGUAUAGAAAGAUGCAAAUGGAAGGGGUGGAAGGAGAUAGUGUUGUGAUGUUGGGGUUGAUUCAGGCUUCUGUAAAUCUUGGGGACUCAAAGUUGGGACUUACAAUUCAUGGAUAUAUGAUUAGGAAAGGUCUUUCGAUGGAUGUUGUGGUUCAGACUAGCCUUCUCGAUAUGUAUGCUAAGAAUGGAUAUUUGGAAUAUGCUUCGCGUGUCUUGAAGAAGAUGCCAAGUAUGAAUAAUAUUUCUUGGGGUGCAUUGAUUUCUGGCUUUGCUCAAAAUGGUUUUGCUAGAAAUGCAUUGGAGUUAUUGGUAGAGAUGCAGGGUUAUGGAUUUAAACCAGACUUGGUGUCCCUUGUGGGUGGUCUUCUGGCAUGUUCACAAGGUGGGUUGUUGAAAUUGGGUAAAUCCAUACAUGGAUAUAUCACUAGAAGGCUUGAUUUGGAUCAAGUUUCUGGCACUGCUGUGAUUGACAUGUAUGCAAAAUGUGGAGUGCUUUCUUAUGCCCGUGCACUCUUUGAUCGGAUAGAUUCUAGAGAUAGAAUCUCUUGGAAUGCAAUGAUUGCCGGCUAUGGAGUACAUGGGCAUGGAAAGGAAGCUCUAUCACUCUUCCUCCAGAUGACAAACAUGAGCAUAAAACCAGAUCAUGCAACUUUUGCUGCACUUCUCUCAGCUCUCGGCCACUCGGGACUGGUUGAAGAAGGUCAAUACUGGUUUAAUCUCAUGGUUAAUGUAUAUAAUAUCCAACCAACUGAGAAGCAUUAUGCUUGUAUGGUUGAUCUUUUAGCUCGUGCAGGACUUGUAGAAGAAGCUUAUAAACUAAUAGAUUCUAUGGACAAUGAACCUGGGGCAGCUGUUUGGGUUGCUCUCCUAUCUGGCUGCUGUAAUCAUGGGAAGUCGUCUAUUGGGGAGAUGGCAGCAAAGAAGGUACUUGAGUUAAAUCCAGAUGACUUGGGAAUUCAUGCAUUGGUCUCAAACUUCUUUGCCAUGGGAAACAUGUGGGAUGAAGUAGCUGCUGUAAGGAAACUCAUGAAAGAAACAGGAUUGAAGAAAGUACCUGGUUACAGUGUACUGGAUGUGAAUGGACAGCUCCAUGCUUUCCUUAUGGCAGAUAAAAGCCACAAUAAAUAUGAAGCUAUAGCAUCUGCAUUGGAUAAAUUGGACCAUGAGAUGAGAUUGCAUGAUCAAAAUGAAGGGCUUCCUGUUGCUUUUGGCCUCUAAAACUCGGUUAGGAUCCUUACUGCUGAUCAUGAGAAACCUUAAGAUGGGAGAGAAUGACCAUUUUAACCAAGUUUUAGUGCAAGGACUGUGGGAAGAGGAUCGUUUUGGGAACCAUGAAGCAGGCUCUUCACUCCCAAGUCCCAACUGUAAAAACAGCCUAUACCUGGCAGCUUCUAUGAUACAGUGAAGAACACCAGCUUGUCAUAAAUUCUGUAAUUCCUAUUCUUCCAUAUGUAAGUCCUCCUUUCUAUCUUCACUUGACAGGAAGUACAGCCUGGCCUCUUUUUCACAUCAUUUUUUUAUAUUUUAGAAAAAUUAAAGCAUGACGUUGGCAACUUUUUAUCUACUCCUUUUUGUGUUUAUUAUAACCGUUUAGCUCAGUAAAGUUAAUUUGGCACUAAUAGCAGGGUUGUUGGAAGAUGUUGAGGUACUAAUAGCACGGUUGUUGGAAAAUGUUGAGGCUAGAACAAUCCCGUCAAUGUGCCACACUAACAAGGAUUGUGUUGGCAAAUGCUAUCCUAGUUGUGAUACUGGUACGUGCAAUUUUGUUCAAUGUGUUUGUGGACACUUCCGACAAAAGGUCACUGCAGAAGGCAUCUUGGGUCCAUCUCAGCACAAAAUUGCCUCUGUAUGUGAACAGACCUCCAUACUCUUUUUUGUUGCAUGCUUGAUAUGAUAAUAUUGAUGAUCGCCCCUUAAGUGGCUUCUUUUUGUUACUGUUUAUUUCCUUGCCGCUCAAAAUUUUCCUUCUUUUGCGAGAAAGGAUGUAAUAAAAAGAUCUAUUGUUAAGCACGGGCAGAAUUAGAAACACAAAACAUAAAAGGAUGAGAAAAACUGAUCAAUUCUAGUCCUAGAUUCAAGAGAAUUACAAAAUUUUUCAACAGUGCAGAGGCAAAGCUACUUUCCACCAUUGCACAUAUCCCUUUUACCUCCUUAAGAAACACCAAUCAGUACCCCGAACACAAAUUUCUCUGAGCCCUUCAAAAUUUCCUCAACUCUUGUAUCCUAGAGCUUUAUUCUGAAGAUUUUGGUUAUCUUCUAAUAAGCGAUCAUACUCAAGUAGCAAUUCCGCAGAUUGUUUUUGGAGGGAAGCAACAUGUGCUUCAGCAGUUUCAAUAUUUUUGUCUUUUUCUUCAGAUUCCAAUUUCAGCUUCUUCAAAUUCUCUGAUAGAGUGGAAAUUUCCUCUUUCAGUUGCUUUAUCUCCUUGGAAGCUUUUUCUUCCUUCUCUUUAAGCUGCAUUCUCUCUUUCUGAAGACGUUCCAAUUCCUCUUUUGAAGAUCUCACACUACUCCUCAACCCAAUAAGUUUUCUAAGAUAAUGGUGCAUACGAUCAAUUACGAACCCGAGAAAUAGGGAAAAACCUACAAGAUCAAGUUCAGACAGUCAAAUAUGUAUGAUACCACCAAAAGAAGGGAUAGAAAUAGAAUAAUCAUUCACUCAAUAUUUAAAGGCAUGAAGCUUAUUCAGUUUAUGUUCAAUGAUUGAGCAAUUCUCUUCACUGUCAGAUCAGCAAUAGCAUAGAACCAAAAUUCACAGCUGGCAAUGGAAAAGAUUCAACUUUUAGAAAUCCUCAAUUUUAAUGUACCAUUCUGUAAACUGGUGACGCGUAACAACAGAGAACUGAGAAGAAGCCCAAAUUAGAUAACAGCAACACCCCGCAAGAGGCCAGAAGCUAUAAAGGGUUAUCCAUUGAAACAUCUUUAUAUUUCCAAAUUCUGGACAAGUCAAAAUGAUGCACCCGCCUGCAUCAUUUGACAACUCAACCUGGACCUAAAGGAGUGUAAAAGUAACAAGAAACAAGGUAUCUCUACACCUCAGAACAAUGUACAUAUUUGGAUUGUUUAGUGAGAGUCCAGUCAGAGACAGCCUCUUCACUGAAGUUCCAUGAACUUGAAUAGAGAUUUGGAAGAACCAGAUGCCUUCAGCAUUUGGCCUCAUUAUUGCAAUGGACCUGUAUAAGAUUCUAUUCCACUCCAAGCCCUUAUAUUGGCAGACGUAGUAGUGCUAUUCUUGCCCUAGAUUUCAUUCCCAUAUAAAUUUGAACCUUUCAAAAGCUAAACAGUAGCUUUUGGAAUAGCGAUUUGGCCACAAACUCACAAUUUAAUGAAAUACAAUUCAUCUUAUCAUCAAUGUCACACUGAAUAACUUAUCAGCUGUAUGCAUAUGUGAAAGAUAAACUAGAAUAUGUUUGUUUACCAUAUGUAGCAUACAACUAUUGCAUAUAUAUUGAGAAAAGAGUUACCUAUUUUUCAACAAAAAAAAAAAAAUGAGUUAAAUUUGAGAAUACUCUUGCAAAUCCUUGCUAGCAAAAACCUUGAACUAAGCACAUUGCAUGCUAAUAACUUUGAACUGUUUAAUUUCAAGCAAGGGUUUUAUUACGGGACAUCCUAAACUUUAAUCUGGUGUCCACUGUAACUACAACCUUUGCAUGGUUAAUCAUGAAUUAACAACUAGUUUACAAAAGGGCUUAUGAAAUGAGACCAUACUAGUUACAAGACCCUGUUACAGUUCAUAGGGAGAAUAGUCCUGUCAGCUUUGUUACAUACAUAAGCUUAUUUAAGCCAACUGCUUCUAAUUCUAUAAGCUUCACAAAGAAGAAACACAAAUGCAGCAAUGCUAGAUUAUAUAUCUUGUGUUAUUUGUAGAAUGUACCAACUGAUAAUGGUGUGAAGUCUAUAAUUGCAGAGUUUUGUUUACUCCAUUUUUCCAUCGGAAAGCCAACAAUUAUCAGUCCAUAAAUAUCUCAAAUUCUAGAUAGAUCAAUUAAAUCUAGACAACAGCAAAUUGGAUAAAAAGAUCCACCACGAGAUUCUUGGUAUAGAAGUAUGAAGUAAAACACUAGGGUAAAUAACAGAAAAGAUAUAUACUCCAUAACUGUUGGUGCGUAUGUGGGUGCAGGGGAACUGCAUAAGACUGAAAUAACCAAACAUUUGCAAGAACAAGAGACAAAAUAUAAGAAUGAAAGAGGCAAAGGCAAUGGCCUGAUGCUAACCACACCUAACCUCCAAAAGAAGGUCUUGAGCUCAAAUCCACAUCGCCAACUAUUGCAUACAAAAUCUAUUUCAUUUGCCAAAAUGCCCUAAUCACUUAUCAGGCAAAUAGACAAUUUACCACAAUCUUCAAAAGGCUAUAUAACUUAAUACUUGCACAUCAUAUGAUACAUCAUGCAUCAAUAUCUAAAGCAUUUUACCAUCACUUAGUGAUCCAUGUAGGCUAAAAUCAUGAUCAUCACACGGUGCCUUGAUAUCCUUGUUAAGCUGCUUAAUAGAAAAUUUAUCUAAAUUUAUUAUUACAUUAACAUAGGCAAGGUGCCUGACUAGGGAAAUUUGUUAACGCUGCAGCAAACCUAUAUAUACCUUCAAACAUGAAACCCCACUUGAGAAACUCCCCAUACAGUGUCGAGUUAAGACUACUAACUCUUCCUUAAGUGCCAUUGACCAAAUUCACAUUAAAAGAUUAAAGCACGACUAAUUUCUCUAGGGAGAAAUUCACUUGAUAAUGAGUCAAUAGGUAAAUGGGAAAUAUGAUUUUAUAGCAUACAUACCAGAUUCAUGAUACCUAAUAUAUUAACAUGGCUUUCCUCUGAUACAGAAUGUUUUUCCCAAUGGAGACUCAAACUACUCAAAAACCAUGUGAGGUUAGUCUCGCCUAUAUGCCCUGCAGUUGUCUUCAGCUGAGAAGUUUGUUCUCUUAGUUUUAACACCUACAUCUCAGGGUUUUUGAGUCUUUUUUCUGUAUUUCAUUAGAUUUUAGGAGUUAUUUCCUAUUGUUUCAGUUUUCAGUUUUGUCAAUUGCCUAUGUAAAGUUAAUAAUAUAUUCUAGGUUAGGCCAAUCUAAAACUUAGGAAAUUCAUAGAAAACAUAAACUAAAUGAUUAUGGUUGAUAUUUUAAAACUCUUAAAACCAAAGGUACCCAACAAAAACCUGAUUUUCUCUGUGCUGCAGCAACUAGACCUAUUAGUCACAAAGCACUUUUCUUGCCCUCUAUGACAACAAUGAUCCAAGAAACAUUGUGGAGGCUAAACACGGCAGUAAUUUAAAACUCAGCAGAAAUACCCAAGUUACUAACAGAUAGAUGCAUAAACCAAAUGACCCAUGAAAAGUAGCAGAAUCAUACCCAUGAGUGAAGCCUCAAGCAAGUGGGUUCUCCACAGAACCUGAUCCAUAGGUGACAUAGUACCAAGCUUUGCACCCUUGUUCUGGAUCUUGACAAUGCUCAUGAGACUUGAUAAAAGAAUCACAGACAUGGUACCAGCAAUAGUUUUCAUAGUAGCUGGACCUUUCCCCGCCUUCAAUUGAUCUAAACUCUUUAUGACAAGCUCUCUGAGAGGCCCAAUCUUUACCAAUAGAAGGAAUGCCACAACUCCCUCAGCAAAAAGAACCAAAAACAAUAACUGAAUCAUCUUACCUCCCAGCUCUCACAAAGAUUUGAUUUUGACUCAAUACAGAAAAAAAUGAAAUUUUCAGCAAGGAACUACCAAGAAUCUUUGAUUCUGAUUGCUGGCUUUUAGUUUUUCAACUAAAACUCAAAAACCCACAUAAGAAAGUAGGUUUUAUCUUCGGAAAAAGAGGAUUUAAGGCUAAAGAUCUGUACAUUUAGCCCUAAUGUAGAAAGCAAGAAGCUCUUUCGAAGAAACUUACUAUUCACAAGAUGAGUUCACUAAUGCAAGUUAAAAUGUGAAAGCUUGGGGAUUAGUGGUGUGUAAUCUGCUAAUGGGCUUGCUUUUGUAGGCAAAAAAAAAGAGGGGGGCACAGGCACAAGUCAAAAGUUAGAAACAAAAAAAAAAAAAAAAAGUGGAUGUACAAAAAAAAAAAUCCUACAAGCAGACAUGAAAAGAAAAUAAUUUUUUUAGGUUAAACAGAAAUUAUGGUAAGGCCGUGUUUGGUCGUGGGUAAGAUGAUGGCCCCUUUGUCUGGUAACGUGUAAUAACAUGAAUGGAGUGUUUGAUUGGAUGAAACAGUUGCUGUACUCUUUUCUUCUACAGUAAAUAUACAGAAUACAUAGUAGAUAAUAUGUGCGGAUGGACUUGCUAUCUGGAGAAGAGAAGAACUUCUUGCAAAAGCCUGCACGCUUCCCUAUAUUCACGCAUGACAAAGCUACCAAUGGCAGUACAUUGAGAGUGAAUUACGCAAAUGCCAUUCCGAGAAUCCAAGUGGACUGUGUCUGUCUGAAUGUCUGUCUUUCCCAUCUUUUUCGGCUUCCUUGUCAUUUCCCUGCCUUGAUUGUGAAAAAGAGAACAAAAUCUAGACAAUGAUAGCCCAAUAGGCCUCUGCCUACUGGGCCAAAUGACACACACAGUAUUGGACCAGAGCAGCUGCUGCCUUGUAUGCAGGUUAUAAGUCCAAUUCAAAGAAAAUGUGGCUAAGCUUUAUUUAUUUAUUUAUUUGAAAAAAAAAAGAUCGGAACUCUUUUAAUGUUUUAAUCCGACAUGUAAUUUUUUAUGUAAUGGAUAAUUUUUUUUCAAAAAAAUUAUAUUUAUAUAAAAAUAUAAGACCACUAAUGGGAUUAUUUUAUUAUUUUUUUAAUUAAAUGGAUUAUUUGACUCAUAGUAUUAAACUCGAUUAAAAAUAAUAUAAAUAAAUAUAUAUUACUAAAUGAUUAAAUUUUUUCAAAUAUAGUAAUAAAAAAUAAAUAAUUUGAGAUAAUGUAUAGUUGUACCAAUGAUGAAGCUUGAAAAUUGCCAUGGUACUAUGCAAGGAGGGGUGCAAAAUAAAUUGUAGGAUACAUGUGGCUCAUCCAAAAACACUUGAAAUACCGGCAGCUUUUGAAAGAUUAAAAUCUUUACUUGUAUCGUGGGCAAGAGAAUCCUAAAACCACGGUCCCAUUGAGAAAAUAACAGUAACAAACCAAAAGAGCAAUUAGAAACAAAUAGAAAAUAACAUGGCACCAUCAAAAUUUUGUAGUAAUUAGUAAUUUUUUUUUUUAAAGAGUAGAGAUUUGUUUCAAAUUGCAAAUAUUAUUCGUUUUUAUUUAAAAACUUUAUGAUUUUAUUUUAUAAAAAUUAUCUGAUGAAUAUAAAUUUAAAUUUAUAUAUAUCAUAACAAUUUUUAAAAUAUUCUUAUAAAAUUAAAAGCGUUAAAAAUAUUUUGCAUCUUCUCUUUGUGACAAGCAAAGACUCCUAUCCUUAAUUACUAAUCUAAUAAUUUAUACAAAAAAAUUUCACAUCAUUCAAAAUUUAUAAUCACAAAACUCUUUUUAACUAAUAAUUAUGAAUUGAUUUUUAAUUUUAUUUACUCUACCAGUUUUCUGAAUUAUGACAUUAGUUUUUUUUUUGGCUAAAAUAAGAUGAAUAUUUAUAUAUAUAUAUUUUAAGUUUUUAAUUUAUCUUUAACAUUUUUUAUUCAAUUAUAUAAAUAAUUAAUAUUAUGCAUUUAAAUUUUUUUCAACCGAUAAAUUUUAAAUAUAAAUUGAUUCAAAAAAAAUCAAAUAUAUAUAUAUAUUUAUGUAUUUAUUUAUUCAUAUAUUCUUACAGUUGGUGCAUAAUUGCCACCCCUUUAGGCGGUUCUGAGAAUUAUAAAAAUCUGGACCUAAACCUGACACGACAAUCUUUAUAGGUAGGUCGUAAGUACGGACAAGAGUCUUAAAUUCAUUAAUCAUGAAAUAAAAGUGGUUAGAAGCAUUAAUUUAAUUUUGUCUGAAUAUGAUUUUUUUAUAAAAUAUUAAAUAUAAAUUUAAAAUGUUUUGAUUUGUUAAUUUAAAAUAAUAUAUAAUGAUAAUAUCAAAAUAAUUAAAAAUAUAAUAUAAUAUAAAAUUUAUAAAAAUUGUAUAUAAAUAUAAUAAAAAAUUUUAUACAUUUAAUAUUUAUAUGAAUUAUAAUAUAUAAUUUUUAUAAAAAAUAUAAUAUAAAUAUAUCAAUUAUUAAUUCUCCCUUUUUUUUAUACCGUUUGAAAUAUAUGUUAUUGCAUUUUAUUUGGCCAUUAACUUUUAAAAGGUAGUAUAUAAUAAAAUUAAUUUUUUUUUUGUAGAAAUUAGUAGCACUAACCUGUUUUUACAAAGAAUGAUUAGUUCAAAGGUAGAGCGUUUCAAAUAUUAGCAUAUAAAAGUUUUUAUAAACUUUUGGCUUCAAAAUGGUCGUAAUACUGCUUUCUUUCUUUCUUUCUUUCUUUUUUGGUACAAAUUAAUAAUUUUUUACAAAAAAAAAAAGAUAUUUAUGCACUUUAUAUAUAUAUAUAUAUACAAUAUUAUGUGUAAGUGAAAAUGAUAAUAAUGAAAAAAAAAGAAUAAUAAUAAAAAUUAAAAAAUUAAAAAUGGCAAUGGAUUUUACAUGAACCAAAUGUUUCAGAUACAGAUUAUGAUUUUUUCAAAUAAUUUUAUAAAAUAAUCAUAAUAAGUAGUUCAAUUGGUAAAAAAAUUUAUUUUUAAUCAAUCAAAAUUUAAUUUUUAUGAAAAAUUCUUUGAUUUAUAAUAAAAUCAUGAAUGCAUCAAAGUCGAUAUAUGAAUAAAUGUGUCUUAAAAAUCGUUCAAUUAAAAAAAUAAAUCUAAAUAAAUUAUAAUGAUAUCGUGAUAAAAUAAAUCAUUAAAAUAAAAUUAGACAUUUAACUAAAGAAAAUAAUUCAUGCAAAGUUAGGAUUCAAUUUUCAACAUUUACGAAUUAUUUUUCUCGAAAUUUUUUCAAACCUUGGUUUCUUGUAUAUAAAAAAUAUUUAUUAAAAUUAAACUAACUUAUUACUAAAUUAACUUGUGACAUCAACAUGCCAAAGUUGACAAAACCCCAAAGUUGUUCAUAAAUGUAGACACUUCUUACUUAUUUUCCAACCAUUCCAGAACCACAUGUAUAUAUUUUAUAUAGAACGUGGAAAAUAUGUUUUGUCUUACUAAAAUCAUCCACCGGUUCUAAUGGCGGUUUUGAAUAAUUCUCCAUCCCGGCCGCGCGUAUGUCAAAAUUCAAACAUCCUUUUGCCCUUUUUACCGACAACUUGUUAAGAAAAUUCAUUGACCUUUUUUGGGUUCUCGUUUUUUUUUUUUUUUUUAUCGACGUAGAAUAGAAAAAACCAUUGAAGGAUUAUUUCUUUGAUUUUAAUAAUGAAGUGCACGACAAGAAUGUAUGGAUGUAAAGCCAGGGCACGUGGCAUUUUGGUCCGUCAAAGAAGCCGGCCACAUAUUAAAAAAUAUAUAUAUAUUUUUAUUUUACGUAGUCAUAAAAUUUUUAAUUAUUGAUAAAAAAAAAUUCCAUUCUCUUAAGCGUAAUUUGGAGGAUAAUAUUUGAAAGGCACGUGAGCCACUAUAGCAUUCAAAUAAUUAGAAUUAGAAAUAUUAUAUUAAAAAUUAAUAUUCAAUUUGAUAGUACGUGAAUUAAUAUCAAAGGUGUUCAUACUUUAGAUCAAAUCUAUAUUUUUAAAGUCAAGUUCCAGUUUAGUUUAGAUGACUUUUAUGCGUAAUAUUUUUAUUAUUAAAAUAAGUAAAAUAUUAUCUUAUAUUAAUAUUUUAAAAUUAUUAUUAUUAUUAUUAUUAAAAAUAUAUAUUAAUCAAGUUGAACUAGCUUAAAACUAAAUUUCUAUGCAAAACUUUACCCUAAUCACGUCGGGUUCAAGGGUCUCAAUAAAUAAUCAUUCGCCUUAUUUGUGAACACUUUUAAUUUAUAAGAUACCAAAAAAUUAUAUUAUUUUUUACAUAAUUCAAAUUCCUCAUCUUCAAAUGAAAUUGAAGGAGUACAAUAUUAUAAUGAGAUUAUAGAGCAUUCAUGAACGGAACUAGGAGCAGGGGGCGAUCACCCCCAAAAUUCCUAAAAUUUUUUAAUUAUUUAUAAAGAAAUUUAUAUUAUAUAUUUUUAGAUAAAAAAACAAAAAUGAUUGUUUCGUCUUCAAAAUAUUAAAUAUAAAAUUUGUACCAAAUUGGAAAUUCUGGUUAAAAUAUUAGAGUUGACAAUAAAUUAACAAUUAAAAGCCAAAUUAACUCUAGGUUUUACCAUAACAAUGUUUUAAGGGCCUUUGGCAACCAUCAUAGGUAAAAAGUUAGAGAAAAUAAUUGAAUAAUUAUCACAACAUAAUUUAAUGAAACAUCGCCAGCCUCUGCCAUGUUGGCAAGUCACAUCACCAGUCCUCUCAAAAAAGCUGGAAACAUAAAUGCAAAUUAAUAAAAACAUUGAAUAUGAAUAACAAUAGCUUAAUUGUUGUGUACCAGAACAACCUUAAAAAAAAAGCUCAAUAAUAUUAAAUUUGUGAUUUGUAGAUAUUUAUAUUAUAUAAAAUAUAAAAUAUUUAUAUUAUAUUUAAUAUAAAAAUUAUGUGUCAUAAGUUAUAAUAAUAUAAAAAUAUAAAAUAUAUUUUUUAUUAAAUUAAUAUAUAAUUAUUAAUAAAAUUUUAAAUCAUAUUAUUUUUAUAUUAUUUUUUUAUAUCAUAUUUACAUUAUAUAAAUAUAUAAUAUUUUAGAUUAUUGAAUCUGAAUAAUACCACUUUAAAUAAUUUAAUAAGAUUAGAUAUUAAAAUCAAAAGAGAUUUCAAAUGACAUUAUUCAAUUUCUCACUCCAAGAAAAUUGAAACUUUACCAAUAAAUAGGUGUAUUUGACAAUUGUCUUUAGUAGUUUAACUUCUAUGAUUCCCCGAUUUCAAAGAAAUUUUAUCAGAACAAGAAAAGUAAGUUUCAUUGCUUAUUUCUUUUUUCAAACUCUAUAAUUAACUUCCAAUUGCAAAGAAAUUAGUAUUUGUUUUUUGAAUUUACAUUAGUUCAUAUAUUUAUAUUUUAUUACAAUUAUAGUUAAAAAAGACAAGAUAAAUAUGCAGCAUGUUAAAUUUUAAUUUUAAUUCAAUUGAUACUUAAUAAAUUUAAAAUUCAAAAUGUAACAUGUACUUUUUUUAAAUUGUGAUUUUUUUUAUAAAAAUAUGCAUUUUCCUUUAUAAUUAUGAUUAGAUAAUUAAAAAGAAUUAAUUUAAUCAUUAUAAUAUAUUGGAAAAGCCACAUAAAUUUGAUAAACAAAAUAUUAUCUACAAAACAAACCAUCAAAAUUUUCCAAAAAUACCAUAAUAAGAAUAUUACCGAAAAGGAAAAUUCCAAAAAUGGACAACAUGUGCUUAUUUGUUUCCUUUUAAAUUUUAUAAAAACCAAAUGUUAAAUUAAAAUUCUAGUUUGGGAAAAAAAAUUUAGCAAUAUUUAAAAAAGUUUUGAAUAGUUGGAAUGGAACCAGAGAGGUCUGCAUAGAAGCCGACAAAGAAAAAAAUAAAAAAAUAUUAAUAUUAACCGUGGAAAAAGACAGACUCUCAGCUUUUAGGACAAGUCAGCCGCCAUUAACAGUAACGGCGUUAAAUUUUUGACUCUUAACAGUUUGCCAGCAGAGCCUUAAGAGUUAAGACCACUAUCCUCUGCACCAAACUUAUUCCUUCCAAUCGCCAAUGACAGCUGCGAAUGGAUGGGGAGCGGCUGUACACUGGUGUGGAAGGAGUGGAAAUUUACCCGCUACCAAGUUAUUAGAAAAAAAAAAAAGCCAAAACAUACGGAAACAUACGGCGACUUGGUUGAGACUUGAGAAAGACAUCUGAAAUUGAGAAGAAACGGAGAUUUUUACAGAGAGAAAGAGAGGGCGAGAGAAUGGUCAAACAUAACCGGUGGCGCCGGUCCAUGGUUGAUAAACCUCUCUCUCUCUCUAUUUUUUCUCCUUUCUAAAUUCUCUCUUUCUCUCACUAAAGUUCGCUUCAUCUCUCUCCCUUAUUUAUCUCCUUUUCUCUUCUUAUCUUUGAAUUUGGGUUGGAUGGUUCUUUAAAAAGUUUUUUGUUGUUUUUUAUUUUUUCCGGGUUUUGUUUGUAAUUGUUUGAUUGCAAAAGAAGCUGAUUUUUUUUUUUUUGUUCUUUUGUGGAUUCUGGGUCUUGUUCUUUGUCAAGUUUGCUGAAGAGAGAAAUGGCAGUAAGCUUUUAUCUUUUAUCUUUUUCUUUUUUUUCUGGUUCUUUUGUAGUUUUUGCUUUGGUUUAGUUUACAUUAUUCUUCUGUUUGUUUCCUGAGAAACUUGCAAAAGACGAAAGAAAGAUGGAAAUUGUGAAUUUUUUUGCUUUGUUGUGUUAUGUCAUUUUUAUUUUAUCAGGUAAGCUAAGCAAGAUUGUUGCUUUUUAUUUUUUUAGUUCUUUAAUUGAGUUUUUAUAUGAUCUAUUUGAGAUUCUUUAUAAUGAAUUUUGUUUUUGUUUUUUUUUUGACGUAAUUGAUUUAUAGAAAUAAGCUUAGAAUGGUUGAGACUAUGGUCUUUUAUGUUGUUGAUUCUUUAUUGAUGUAUUUUAGGAUGAACUUAUAUAAAACAUGAAUGAUUAUUUUGUUGAUCUGGUUUUAUGAUGUAUAGUUUCCAAAAUAUGGAUCAAAUUACCUUAUAAAAUUUUGUUUUUUUUUUUUUUUAAAUUGAUAAAUAAUAAUGCAAAAAUUAAAGCAUCUGACAAUGUGGAUUAAAAAGGAUAAAGAAGAUGAAGAAAAUUCACAAUUUAAAAUUUAAGUUUCCUCUUGAUUGCUAGAGGGGUUUGCUUGUGGAGAAGGUUGUAGAAUGACUAUGAAUCCAGAAAGAAUAUGAAAAAAUAGAGAACAGGAAUAAUUUGGUUUAGAUUUUUUUUUUUUUUUGGAUGUACGAUGGAUUAUGUUGAUUAUGUGAGCCCAUUGAUUAGGACCAUUAUUUCCUGUCAGUUACUUAUUGGAUGACACAUGUGUUGAUUAAUAUUGCACCGAUGGACUUCAUGUGACAAAUAUUAGGUAAGUUUUACUGAUAGCUAUGUGCCUAUCUCCACUAGUUUCUUAUGAUCACAAAAGAAGGAUGUGAGUCAAAGCACCUUAAACAGGAAAAUACCUCAAUAUUGUUGUCAAAAUUCAGAACCAAUAAUGAUCAUUAUCUAAUGUUCAUAUAGAGGGACCACUUCAGGACUUGAUUGAAAAUUUUUCAUUAUAUUUACAUAAUACUAAAGUGUUUAUCUUCUACUCGAGUUCAUUGUUUUUAUUUGAACAAACUUAGUGUUGUGAAUUAAGAGGGUUCAAGCAGAUUUGUUUGAUUUCUGAGUUGUUUCCAUUGAUUAAACAUGUGCUGUUUACAAAGUCGCAUUUAGUUGAUAGUAUAUUACUUGCAUUUCUAAUAUCUUGAUAGGGUGUUCUAUUGUUUAGUGAUGUAGUGCAAUGACCUCUUAGGAGCCCUUUUGCCUGAGACCUGAAUUUGUCUUCUUAGCUAGUUUGAUAAGAUGAAAUUGAUGUUCAAAAUUAAGAGUUAUUCUUUAAUCUUUUUUGAGAGGUACUUUCUUGUUUUAGAGUUUAGCUUUAACAGUGGAAGGAUUUUUUUUUUUUGCCGGAGGAGCUUGAAUAUCAUUUUUUUACCACUGGUGUGCUGUAUGACCUGCAAAAAGGGAUUAGUAACACAUUAUAUGCAUAUUUGUCCCUCUUGUUCAUCGUUUUUUACCUAAUUUAUGAACAAUCCUUUUCACUUGUUUUGAUAAAAGUAAUCAAAACAGCUAAAUAAGCCUUUGGAUUUGGUCAAUGGCCAAAUGCAUUUCCUGGUCAGUUAUUUUUAUCACCUCCUAUCCAAGCAGAAUAAAACUUUAUUGGAAGUUUCAUAGUUAGAAAUUUUAGAUUUGUGUUCAGUUUCUGAAUCAAAUGAAAGUGAUUUUAAGCUAUCUUCUGUUCACUUGCAUAUUCUUAUCUUCCCGAUCUAUGUAAUUUUGUUGUAACUAAAAAUCUUUUGGAACCAUAUAAACAUCAUUUAUACAUCUAUGACAAGAAGCAUAAUUAGAUUACUUCUUCUCCUGCCUGACUGUCCCUUAUUUCAUCCUUAUUUAAGUUCAUACUAGAAUGGUAACUUUCUGUGGUGCUCAUUUGGUUUUCUGAAUCUUCCGAAUGAAUUAUCCAAUGGAAGAUGAAUUGGUCGAACUUGUAUUCUAUUCAACCUUAGGUUCCAUGAAAAGAAUGGGCUAGGUAGAUUCAACAUUGAUUGAAUAAAAUAAAAACAAUAAUUAUAUUGAUCACACUCUGCAAUACAGAAAACCUUUUUGUCUGAUUUACUUCUAGCAAGAAUAAUAUCUUUCCAGCCUUACUCUUCAAUUGAUAUUUAAAAUGUUGAAACAACUUUGAACAAUUUGAUGGAGGCAAGCUUUUAAGCAGUGUGAAGACAGAAAGCUUAAGAGUUAUGCCACUUUUGAACAUGUAUUAGCCAAAAUUAAUUCUUGGUGAACAUUAAAUUAUAUACAUGCUCGUCUUUUUGUUUGUUGACAAUAAGACAUGUAUUGUCUAUUAUCACAAAUUCAUUGCGUGUUUGAUUUCUUUUGAGGUGAUAAAAUAUAGUGUUUUACCCUGAAAUUUGAACUUUGUGGAAAAUCUUCUGGCUUUCCUAUUUUGAGCCAUCUUUAGGUGUAAGGAUCUUGGAAUUAUUUUUGCUCCAUCUCUGAUCUGCUAAUCUUUGUCCUCAUUGAUGAUAAAGGAGAAUUUUGCUUUUGUCUUAUCUAAUAACAAGCUUUUGUUGCCGUUGCAGCAACGUUCUCAUGUACCCAAGUUUGGCAAUUGGGAGAAUGAAGAGAACGUUCCCUACACAACUUUUUUCGAUAAGGCCCGUCAGGGUCGCAGUGGAGGAAAGAUUGUAAACCCGAACGAUCCCCAAGAGAGCCCAGACUUACAUCACGAUUAUGUAGCUCCAUCUAGUGCUCCUCCUGCUUCAAGAGCAAAACCAGAAUUGGAUGAACAGGUAGGACAUGGACCUGCUAGAAGGGCACAUGAGCGUGGAAGGAGCAGGGAAGAAGGUGAACUCAGACUCUAUGCUGACUCUCCAGCACGUCAUGACAAUGUCAACCGUAGAGCUUCUGGGGACUCUACAGCUUCACGUUAUGGUCGUGGAGUAAGUUCUGGUGAAGCCACAAAACGACCUACAAGACCAAGUAUUGGAUCUGAAAACAGCAUAGAUAAAUCACCACUCCAUCACCGGGCACGGAUCACAGGGAGUGGUAGCAUGGCAUCACCUGCAUGGGAAGGAAAGACUUCAUAUGAUAGUAGCCAUGGUACUCCUGGGAGAUCCAGAUUGAGGCCAAGUACUAGAGGCGAUGAAAGCGUAAAUUAUCGUUCUUCUUCCUGUCAUUUUAUUCUGUCAUAAAUAGCAUAAAAAUAAUUGUUGUGGAUCUACUGGUUGGCUUGAAAAAGCCAUUCCAUUUCCUUCUUAUUACAUGUUGCUUAAUAAUUUUCUUCAUUUUCUUUUUCUUCUUUUCCUAAAAGGGUCAAACGUAAAGCAUAGCAUAUGCAUAGCUUAUCAACAACUUGAAGUCUUCAGGAUUGGCAGCCUACACGGCACUUGCCUCAUGAAAACCUUCUCUAUCUUAGAUCAUGUUCUCAUCCAGGAGGAAAUUUUUUUCUUUUACUUGAAUAUUUUUGUACAACUUGAUAAAGCAUCAUAAUUGUAAUGCAUUAUGCCUGUCUUAUUCGGCUUGGGAUUGAUUUUGUGAACCUUUGCUUUUAUAUCUCCUCUUUGCCCUUUCCCCAGAUGAUGACUCCUUUUGAGACAAAUUGAUCCAAAUGUAAAAAAUGUCACUUUAUUUAAGUUUGUUAUUUUCAUAAAGCUUGUCACUAAUAAUCUGGUAUCUGAUGUCACAGCCUGAAAAAGGUGCUGCUGUUCCAAAAUUUGGUGACUGGGAUGAGAACAACCCAGCAUCAGCUGAUGGUUAUACUCACAUUUUUAAUAAGGUGCGAGAAGAGAGGAACAACGUGGGCAGGGUACCAGGCAUGCCGGGUGAGCAAUCUCCAUACAACACUGAUCGGAAUCGGAAGCCAACUAAUAGCAGUGCUAAGGUAUGUUGUUUGGGAACCUCACCAAACACUUUGAUUGCUGUGCCUCUAGUCUCUGAAAAUCUUAUAAACACAAUUCCUAAUUUUGUAUUUCUUCAUUUCCCCCAGAGUUGCUGCCUUCCAUGGUGCAGGAAAUGAGGCCCUGUGAAUUUGUGGUUUUGUUAUAAGUUGUGUGCAAUAUUGUAAAUACAUUGAAGGCUCCUUCAACACAGUAAUUUCAGUGAAGUCGCGGUUGCUAUCUCUACGUAUGUGUGCUUUUUUUGUUAUGAUGAACAUAGUAUUCUGUUUGGUAAACAUGUAUUUUUCGCCUUUCUCUCUGUCAUCAUCUAUUUUUCACUCUUAGCUUGUCUUUUGUGUACCUAUACCACUUUACAUUGCAGUUAUCUUUGGUUAGAAAACACCAGAUGCAGAUUCUUUAAUUGUAUUCUAAAUGUAUGGUGUCCAUAUUUGCGCUUCCAAACUGAGAGUGCUGUGAUUGAAGUUUUUAACUAGGUUAUCCGCUCAUAUAAUUGUUUCAACUCUAGGCUGUUUGCCAAUUGCCACAGACACAUCAAUUCCUGUUUUAAAACCUACUCAGUGCUCAUCAUAUUUUUUAAGUGUGUUUGGAUUGAUGGGAGAGUAAGAAAAAGAAAGUAAGUAAAGUAAAGGAAACAAAACCUCCUUUUGGAUAAAUAUUUAAUUUUAAAAAAAUGAAAAUCAAAUAAUUUUUGUUUUCGUUAUAAACUCAAAUUUUUUAAUAUUCAAUUUGGAGAAAAAGCUAAAGAAAGUAAAGUUGAAAAUUUUUUUUUUAUAAAAAUAUUAUAUGUUUAUAUUUUUAUUAAUACUAAAAGUUUAGUAAAAAAAUUUAAGUAGAUCAUAAUAAUCUUAAAAUUUUUUUCAAAGUUAUAUAUUUUUUAAGUAAGUUUCAUAUAUAUCUUUCAAUAUAAAAUUUUUUUAUAAUUUUUGAUGAUUUGAUUUUGAUGAAUGAUUAAAUAUAAAUAAAUAUAUUUUUUAGGUUUAUGAAAUAUCAGAUUAACUCAAAAUUUAUUAAUAUAUAUUUGUAAAAUAUCUUUUUGUUUCAUUUGAUUAAAAAUUAUUGAUAUAAUAAUAACUGUACAAAAUAAUAAAUAUAUUAUGAUUCAUGAGUGUUUUAAAAUUACAAGCAAUAAAAAAUUAUAAUUGAAAAGAAUUAUUAUAAUUGAUUUUUUUUUCAUUAUCUAUCCAAACAAUAAUUAUUAAAUUUUUUUAUUAAUUUUAAUUAUCUAAAUAAGAGUUACAUGUAUCAUCUUAUUAUUUUUUAAAAUUUUUUUAAAUUUUUUUUAUUAAUAUUUAUUCAAAUGUAGAAUUAAAGGAGCUUCGAUAAGCUACCAUUGUUUUGUUUUUACUAUUAACCAGGCAUGGAUAAUGGAUGAAUAGAAUUAGGAUGUAAGGAAUCAGGUAUCAGUGCAUCAGGCUCACGGCAUGUAUUUUUUCUUUAAGCUUCGAAUCAGGUUGGCAAUCCAAUCCAAAUUCAUCAGAUUUUAACCCAAUCCGAUCCUAUUGAGUUUUUUUUUUUUUUUUAAUCUGAUUUCAGAUUAGGUUUUAUAUAUAUAUAUAUAUAUAACAUUUUUUUUAUUUGUUUAAUUUUAUGUUUAUAUUUAAAAAAUAAUAUUUUAUUAAUUUUAAAUUAAAACGUUUAAGAUUUUAAUUUAUGCACAUAGAAGUUGAAUUGAAUAUAAAAAUAAUAUUUUAAUAUUAAAUCAGAUUAAAUUCAAAUAUUUAUUAUUUAAAGUUGAGAUCAGUUCUCAUCUGAUCCAUUACAAUCUACAUUUAAUCUCAUUUUUCAAAGCUUUGACCUGUCAAUAGAUGAUUAAUUAUGUAUUUUUUUGAUAUAAUUGUUAGGAGUUUGAAAUUAUUGAUUUGAUUAAAUUCAAAUUUUAAUGUAAUUGAUUUAUUCGAUCAUUAUUUUUAAAAGAUACCAUUAUAUAAGUAUGAGGUCGUAAUUUAAAUAUAAGAGAAAGUUACAGAUGCUACAAUUUGAAUCAGACUUGCUUAAUGUUGCUUGAAUCAAAGUCAAUUUUCUAAUUCAAAUUUUGAGAUGCAGUUAUUAAAUUGGAAAAGAAAAAAAGUCAAAAUUGACCGGGCCCUCUAAAAUCUACAAUGUUACAAGUUGUAGACAAGCGAAACUUAACACGUUAGGCAGUCGGCAGUACCAUUUGUCCUUUAUUUCAUUUUCUACGCAAAAGCAAUUCAAUCCUGACCGUUGAUUUUUAAAGCAAGCAAACGGAUAACAAAGAACAACAAUCUGACGGCGUCAGUCAAACUUAAGAGCGCCAAAAUUUCGCGGUCGCUCAAAACAAUUCAAAUUUCAACAAAAUCCCCAAAAUUCAAAAACCAACAUAACGUCACGAUUAAACAAAAUAUAGCUUCCUCCAUUUCUCUCUUUCUUUUGCUCUCAGAUCUGAUAUUCAAAAUAAGAUAAGAAAAAAAAAAGGGCAGAGAAAUUUCACCAUUAUUUUUCUUCAAUCCCAGGUACUUAAACCAAUCUUAUAUUCCAGAUUUCAAGUGAACUGUUCCUCUUCUUGGAUUGUUCUUCUCUAUUUUUAUUGUAUCACAAAUUUGCAAUUUGUUUUUUCUUGGUUUCAUUUUAUUGUACGUUUGGAAUUGCCUCAAUUUUAUGAAUUUUUGUGUACCCAAUUGAACUUAAUAUGUAUCAAAUUAUACUAUGAGCUGCUUCUUUUAGAUCUUAGAUUUGGGGUGCAAUCUAGAGAAAUUAUGUGAAAAAAAAGAGGGCAAUUUUCUUGCUGGGUCUUAAGCUUUUUCCCAAAACCCCCCGUUUUUGUUACUUGCCCAAGAAAAACUUCCAAUUUUCUAUCUAUUUUGAGUACCCAAUUAAGGGAAAAGAGAGAAAAUGGUGAGGGAGGGAACAGUGGAAUCAUUUUACGCAAGGCUUAGAGAAUCGGUUAGGGCAUCAUCUCUCUCUCCAUUACUCAUAUUCCCAUCAACCUCUGACGUGGACUCUCUCUGUGCUCUCAAAAUCAUUUUCCACAUUCUUGAAUCUGAUUCUGUCCGGUACUCGUGUUAUCCGGUGUCUUCUUUUCAAGAAAUCCAAGAAUACGCUGCUUCUGAAUUGAGUUCUUCCUCUGAGGGCCCUGUUACCAUACUUUUGACAAAUUGGGGAUGCCACCGUGACCUCCAGAAGGAUCUUAAGUUAGGGUCAGCUGCGCGGGUUUUCGUUGUUGAUAGUCAUAGGCCGAUUCAUUUGCAUAACUUGAGUGACCAGAAUGAUCAGGUGGUUGUUCUCUAUGCUAAUGAUGAUGAGCGAUUAGCUGAUCUGGCGUAUGAUUUCGAAGUUAUGGAGUUGGCAAAUGCUAGCUAUUGUUUGCAUAAUUCAGAGUUGGAUAGUGAAGAAGAUGAAGAUAGUGAAAGCGAGGAUGAAGAUGAGGAUGAUGAGGAGGAAAGAGGACCCAGGGAUGGCUCUAGGAAACGAAGAAGAAUGUCUUCGGAAGGUGAAGAAGAGCCAGCAUCUCGGCGUUUUAAGAGAUUGAAAAGGGAUUAUUAUCGGAUGGGAACUUUCCAUGGCAAGCCAUCGGGGUGUUUGAUGUAUGAUUUGUCGCAUUCUUUAAGGAAAAACACAAAUGAGUUGCUUUGGCUGGCUUGUGUUUCACUUACUGAUCAGUUUGUUCAUGAGAGGCUAACAGACGAGAGGUAUGAAGCUGGGGUUAUGGAGCUUCAGCAGCAUAUUAACAGUUUAGGGAAUUUAGAUGCAGUUACUUCAGUGACUCUUAAAGAUGGGACCAAGGUUCGAGCACCUGAUUCCUCAAGAAUUGCCUAUGAAGAAGAACCAAGACUUAUGUUGUUAAGAGAGUGGAAUUUAUUUGAUUCAAUGCUGUGCUCCUCGUACAUUGCCCCUAAGUUGAAGACUUGGAGUGAUAAUGGUAUGAAAAAGCUUAAGCUUCUUCUUGCACGGAUGGGAUUUGCCCUUGUGGAUUGCCAGCAGAAGUUUCAGUACAUGAAUUGUGAAGUAAAACAAAAGAUGAAAGAUCAAUUUGAACAAAUUUUGCCUGAAUAUGGACUUAAUGAUUUCUACUACAAAAGUUUCUUGCGUCUUCAUGGUUAUACUUCAAGGAUUUCAGCUGCAGACAUGGUAUAUGGGGUUACCGCACUGCUUGAAUCAUUUGUGCAAUCAGAUGGCUCUUGUGCUUCGAAGCAGUUUGGUGAGGCACAUGAUGCACUGUCCCUCAGUAAUCUUGAUAAGCUGAAAGCUGGAAUGGAGCAAGCAAUCAAGAUACAAAGAGCUAUUCUUAGGCAAGGAAGUGCCUCAAUAACAAAGAGUGGCUGUGUCAGGAGUGGGAGAAAGUUUAGGUGGGUGAAGCUUGAAGAUUCAGAAGAUACAAAGCUGUUGGGUCACCCCCAGGCUCUGACUAAGUUCUGCUACUUUCUAAUGGAUGCCUUGAAGGAGAAAGGAGCUAGGUUGAAGCCUUUGCUUUGUGCCUGCAUACAAGAGCCAGCUAAGGUGUUGAUUGUUGGGGUCUGUGGAAAGCCUCGUCUUGGAGCACUUCAAGGGAAUGCGUUUGGUCUUGCAUUCAGGAAUGCCGCCGAGGAAACUGGAGCUGAAUUCUUUCAUGAGCUCUUUGAAUCUUCAUGGAUUGUGUUGGAUGCAGGUGCUGUUAAUUCCUUCAUGGUCAGACUAACUGAAAAGCUUUGAUGUAAAGCUUUCAAUAUGUGCGCAAUAUGUAACUUUGUUGUGUUCGGUGUUCUCAAAAGGAAAACAUUUGUUCAUUACUUUAAGUGAGUAAUUUUUAGAUUGUUUGAAAUUAUUCAUAAAUAAAAAUCUAACUUGACUUCCUCAAGAAUGGUUACAUACUUUCUUCCUUUAUCUCGUUUUUCUUCUGAUCACUAACCAAUCAACAGAAGUUGAUCAUUGAAGGGAAGCUGCAUAUGCACAUGAUAUGAUAAUACUAGCACUUAUCAGUACCAAGAUUUUUGCAUUUAAAAUGUCGAGUGUUCAUGUGAUAUUGAAAAACUUUUACAUCAUCAAGAAGCAGACGUUUCAGUAAAUCGUGAUAAGGUAUGAAAACCUUUUCAAGCUCCGGCCAGUAGAUGGGGGCUUGAAAAGAGUUCAGCAAUGAAAGUGAUAGGUAACCAGCAGAAAAAAAAAAAAAAAAAAAACGCAAUCUUGGCCAAAAUCUUUCCUGGUUCGUUUACAAGCACUCUUGGAUUCUUCUUCACAACCUGGGCGAUUUAAGCAUUGUUGAGCCCAUACAUUUUGAGAAGGUUAAGGGCUGAAUCUGGCUUCUCGGAACUUCUAAACUUUUUAACUUCUGGGAGACAGAUUCUAAAGACAACCCACGUGAGUUUAUGAGGUAAGAGACUGUAAAAGAGUGAACCCAAUUAUCUAAUUUUUAUCUCCAAAGAUGGAGAAACUGGUCUGACAAUAAACAAGGCAAUAAUUUGAAGAAAACCCAGAUUAGGAACCAUCGGUUGCAAUCUUUUACCAAGGAAACCAAACAUGAUUGACUCACCAGGUUAAAACUGAAACUAAGCCAGCUUUUCCAAAUGCAUCUAUAGUUACUGAAUCAUCCUUUUUCCAAUAAUGAAGGAACUUCGCCUUUUCUUUUUGAUCUUAAGGACACCAACUGGCAAACAGCAGUAGAGAGAAAACCUUAGGCCAGGGUUUGGUCCUGUUGAAAACUUGGGCCACGAUAUUAAAUAUCCUUGAAAUUGUUUUUAGUAGUAAUUUAUAAUUAGUAGAAAUCAGUAGUUAAUUUCAGAUUUAAUUUAAUUUAUAUAAUUAUAUUUUUUAAAAAUAUUUAUAAACUUUCAUUUGAUUACGGUCUUUUUUUAUAUAUAUAAAAUAUGACAUCAGUAGUAUAUUUUAAACUGAUAGUAUCUUGCAACUUAUAUUAAAGAUGAAAUGUAAUUCUUCAACUUUAAUUUUUACUAAUCAAAGUUACGCAAAGUAAUUAGAGGAUGUAAGUUAAAUUAUUAAAUUUUUAUUCAUAAUUAUCAUUUGAAGCAAAAACAAUAAGUUUUAAUUGGAUGAUGAAUGAAAUAUUUGAAUUCAAACUCCAUUUAGAACAAAUGCCAAAGAUGGUGAUUUUACUACCAUAUAUAAAUUAUUUAUAACAAAUGCCAAAUAUAGAGAUUUUACUACCAUAUAUAAAUUAUGAGUUUAUAUUUGAUAUAUUAUUGGUAUAUAAAUUUUAUAUAUUAUCGAUAAUAUUAUCUUAUUAAUGAAUAAAAUUUAAAAAAAAAUUAAUUUUUGAUAUAAUUAUUUUAAAAAUUAAUAUUUACUCAUUAAUGAAAUGAUAUUAUUUUAUUUACUGAUAAUAUAUAAAAUUAAUACUAAUAUAUCAAAUAUAAACUCAUAAAUUAUUACCAAUAUUUUAUAUAUCUAAUGUCUAAUUUAUUUUUGAAAUUAUAUAUAAUUUUUAAUAUAUGUGAAAAACAUAUAUAGUAUCAAAAUAAUUGAUAAUAAUGUAAUAAAAAAGGUUUAAUAGCUUUCUCAUCUCAUAAAUUUUAUUUUAUUUUUUCAAAAUUUUGAUUUUCACUUCAUAAUUUUUUUAUGUUAACAAUUAAUCUAAAGUAUUAUAAAAAUAAAUAGUAAAAUAAUUUUUUAUUUACUUUUAAAUUAUAUAAUUGAUAUUUAAAAAUUAUAAAUUUAAAAUAAUUUAUAUACGUAAUUUUUUUCAAUAAUGUAAAUAUAAUAAUAAAAAUUAGAGUCGACGGAGAAUUUAAAAGAAAAUAGUAAAAUAAAUAAGAAUAUAUUAUAAAAUAUUACUCUACGAUUAUUGUACUGUUCACAGUCAAACAAAUGUUGUUUGUACCAAAAAAAGCGUAAAAAAAAUUGGACGCGCGUUGAAACAGCAUUGGAAAAUCACGCGUUGCAUAUGGAAGCAAAUACGUAAUAAGUAUAAUAAUCGAAAAAGAUCACGCUACGUGGAGCUGUCAAGCUCACACCGACCGCGCGUGUGUAAGAGGACAAACAAUUUCCAUGUUUGUGCGUCGCAGUUUCUCUCCAUCUUCUCAUACUAAUUGAAAAUCUUUUCCCUGUUUAAAAACCCUAGACAGGGAAGAUUUUCAUAAGGUCUCUUGGCUUAGCUCGUUUUCUUCGAUUCUUCUUUAUCUUUUUGAGGGAAAACUUUUGAAUUCUCGAAGCGCUUCGAUUUCGCUAGGAUUUCAAGGUAAGAUUUUGAUCUCUCAUACUCUGUCUCUCUCUCUUGUCAAAUUGUUUUCUUAUCCCAAUCCGUCUGGAUUCAAUGGAUCGGUGUUGUGAUUGAUGUUCCAUUGUUAAGGUUUUGGGAUUUUUAAGGCUACAUUUUGUUGCGAUUGAUGUGUGUUCCUAAAUUUAAUCGGUUAAAUUUCUUAAAUUUUAAUUUUUUUAUUCGAUCAUCGCUUGAUCAUAGUUAAUUGCUUGUGGGUUUUUUUAAAAAAUCUUGCCAGUGGUUCGAAUUUGAAUUUUGAUUAAAUUUAUCCCAUUUUUAUAAUAAUGGUUUUAUGGCAAGUGAUUGUUCAUUAUGCUGUAGCUUUUCAUAAAUUUUCUUAAUAAACAAAUCGUCCUGGAAAUUUGACAAUCAUUGGUUAAACUGAUUUGCUGCUAUUUAGACUUUGAAGGAAGCAAAGUUUGUGAAAAAGGUCACUUUUUUGCUAAAAUAUUAUUCUAAUUAAUAUUCACAUAUAUAUCUUUCACUGUUUUUAAUUUAAAAAAAGUUUUCAGAGAAUAAAUUGUCUGUCUGUGCAUUUUCUAGACUUUUUUCGUAACGAGGCUUGUUUGCUUCGGAGGUGUUACGAUCCAGAUUGAACUCGUUAUGUUUUAGCAAGUUUCUUAAAACUUUCCAGUGUUAUUUUUCUCGAGAAGCUAAUUUAAUCUUUUAGCUCUCAAAUCAAGUAAAAGAAUUGAUUGCUUUUAGUGAAAAGUUGAUAUUAUAUUUACGGUGAACAUAUCUGUGAAAGGUGUUUUUUUAGUCUUUUAGGUUUUUUUGAGGCUGCUAUAUUUGGAUAGUGCAUAGAAUAAUCAUAAGCAGAGCAUGAGCACUCUUGAAGUUAGGGGCCCUCCUCUUAGAGGGUAUCGACGGAGGAAGGCAGUGUUGGAUCUAAAUGUUCCUCCCAGUGAAUUAAGGGAACAGGAGGGUACUUCGCAACAGGCUGGCCCUGAGGAAGUCUCUAGCCAGCCUGUACAGCCUGCGCCACCUGCCACUAUUGAUGUUGAGGCUAUUGAUGAUGAUGUAAUUGAAUCUUCUGCUAGAGCAUUCGCUGAGGUAUGCUUCUCUUGUUCAAUAAUUUUUUAUUUUCACUUUAACUGUAUAUGAAAUCUGUUUUUAUGGAUUCAUUUGAACCAUGAGUGUUUCUAAUUUUCUUGGGAUUUUAUGUCAGGCUAAAAAAAAUUCAAGGAGGAUCUAUGGAAGGACUGUUGUUGAUGUAGAUUCAGGUAGUUAAACUUGUGAGGGAAGGACGGUUAUAAUAUUUCCUUUUCCAUCAUGUGCUACUUGUCAUAUGCUUGUUGCAUAGCAAAGCUUAUUUUGAUGCACCACCUUGUAAAUUCAUUCUAUUUAUCUGCAUGAGGUCAAAAUAUUCCUUGUUAAUUACAUUGUUGAGGCCCCGUUAAUGUAAGAAUCUGAAGGUACAUAUCCUGUAGAUUUCAAUAUCUGUCUUGGUUUAGGUGCUUCGGUAUUUUUUUUUAUUUAUUUUUUUGAGUUCAGGGUCCUUAUGACAAAUGAACCUACCCUUAAAUUGUUCAAUUAUCUUGAGUUAUAGUUCAUUUUUUCAUAUUUGAUAAAUAUAAAAUUAUUAACUAGAGUAGGAAAGGAACCUGGAUUUAUUCUCUGCAAAUGAAGUUUCUGAAAGGGGACAAAUUGGAAACAAAACAAUCAUGCUUCAGUUAACCAAACACAAUGUAAUCCAAGUGAAAAUCUAGGUGACAUUAAGCUGAUGGAUCAAAUUUUUUUUUUUGUACUUUUGAAAAUUGCAUUAAAAUGGAAAUAAAACUGCUGGUACUGUUGUAAUUUUACUUUGCUUUACGAUGUCCAUAUUUUCUCAGAAUAUCUAGUUGGUUUGGUUGUUUUGUAUUAAGAAUUAGUGAGCACUGAGCCGCAAACUCCUAUUGUCUACUAAUGUAUUUGAUGACUCUGUAGUCUAUACUAGUUUGUUGAAGGGAUUGUAGAUAUACUGUUUUUAAAGCUAGCUGUUUGUCUGGUUUGUUGAGCCAUAAAUUCUCUGGUUUUUAAAGCUAGCUUCGGGGCCAGUGGCUUGUGAAGUGGGGUUUACUGUUUGUCAAUGGCUCAAACACUAGAAUAAAACAAAUCCAACCUCAAUUGACGUAGAUGUUAUUGCUUGGCAACUCUCUGGUCCAGUCCAAUCUUAUGUUACUUAUGUGACUGGGAAGGUCAACCAAUUUAGAGAUUUGUGGAUCUUCUUUUACUUCAUUUAUCUUUGUAGUUGAACCCCUAGAUUACUUUGUCUGAAGUUGGUGUGGCUUACAUUUCUCUCCUUCCAGGACGGCUGGCUAGGUCAACUAAUAAUAAUCAGAACAAGCGCAGAAGACUUCCUCCGAGCCCAACAGUUAUCAAUUGUGAUCAUUAUAUCAAUUUGGAAAGCACGCCACAGUCUAUUGUAAGAGCUCUUUUCUUAGUGCUUUAUUCAAAAGAUGUAACUUAAAUAACUUAAAAUAUUUUCAAGGACAAGAAUAUACAUAUUUGGCUGGUCAUUAGAUCUAAGACAUUGUGAUUGGACAUCUCUCUUUAUUUUUGUCCAUGCACGUGUUCUCAUGUAGGUGCAUCCCUUCUUUUUAUUAAAUUUAUGAAUGUUUAAGACUCAUUAACUAAUUUAUUGUCAGGUUGAGGAAACUAUAAAGCCGCAACCACCUCCAAAGGAACCAACCUUCAAUUGUCCAAUUUGCAUGGGUUCAUUAACCGAGGAGAUGUCAACAAGGUGUGGGCACAUUUUCUGCAAGGCAUGCAUUAAAGCUGCAAUAGCUGCACAGGGAAAAUGCCCAACCUGUAGGAAAAGAGUCACUGUGAAGGAACUAAUUAGGGUCUUCCUUCCAUCAGCCAGUUGAAUAUGAGCUUCAUGCCAACUAGUAACGUAAGUUUCCUAUUCUAUCUUUUUUUAAGGUUAAAUUUCCAUAAGGAAAGAAAAUGAAUUCAUAGAUUGUGAAAGUGAAUUAUAUAUGGUGAAUAUUCAUUGUGGAAGACAUGCAUAUCUUUCUCAUGCGCUUGGAUGCUGUAUUUUCAUGGAUGAGGGCUUUAUCUAAAUCUAUAUCUGAUAUGUUACUCUGCUAUUUUUCCAAAGCAUUUUGUUUACUGUAGUGGUGCCGGGCUUGAAGAUGUUGUUUUAACUUUGUUGAUAUGUGGCAGCUUUCUAAAUGCUAUUAUUUAUUCUUUUAAAUUAUGUUGUGAUGAUGAUUGUUGUUUUAUUUCAGGGAUAAUACAAACUGCCCUUGAAAAGAGAAAGAAUCAACAGAUUUGGUGUCAGUGGAACUAUUUUUUGAAUUUUGGAAUUUCUAACGUGCAUGUUUAAAACAAUGUUUCCAUGGACUAUCUUUUUGAUUAGUUAUCUGAGCGGGCUUUUUUGCUUUCAAAUAUGUAUGCAAAUCUGCCAGUUGAUAACUUGUUCAGCUCAGCUUCAUUGUUAUUUGAACUAAACUUGGACUUGACAACUUUUUUAUAUGUACAGUAAAAGAAAUUAAAAUCAAUGAUUUAUUAGGUUACCUGUGUUUGGUCCCUUGUAUUGCUAAGGUUCAUGAGCCGAUUGGUCUUGGUCGACUGCCUGUUUUUGCGGAGCAGGCAACCAUCAGCCUUAGGCUUGAGUUAGGCUGAAUUAGCUCUGUUAACUGUAUUCUUGAUGAACAUGGAGGGUGUUACAGUUCACACUAAUUUGUGAGUUAUUGUUUGUUUUGGUCUGUUAGUGUCACGAUUUUAUUUUAUAAAAGUCGUUACACAAGUUGAAGAGUUGUGAAUUUUUAUAUUUUAAGAUUAACUUUAUUACACAGUCGAUAUAAUAUUUAUAAUUCUUUUUUAGGAUCAUGAUAUUUUCUCUCACUUCAAUAGAAGUUUACCAUCUUCAAUGGCAUAUCGUUAGUACCUUUAGAAUCAGUUCUAAUAUCAAAUGUUAUGGUUUACAUUAACUUGUGAGAUAUUAUUCGGUCUGGUUUGUUAUUUUUAUGAUUUUGUCUCACAAAAAGUUUUUCAUAAGUUGAAGAUGUGUAAAUUUUUAUAUUUUAAGAUCAAUUUUAAUAUACAGUAUAUGUCAUAUUCAUAAUUCUUCUUUAAGAUCAUAUUAGAGGGCCUGAGGAUGAUUGUUGGUAGGCUGUUUGUUUUAAAUCUAUUAAAAUACAUUUUUGAAGAACGCUUUUAAUUAAUUGUCGAGAGAUGGUCAUAAAAAGGAACAAGAGCAGCUUGUUAACUAAUUUAUUCAAGUGCAAAGACACUUGAGAUAGCCAUUGCUCAUGUAGGUGGUACAAUAACUACAACGAGCCAAUCCCCUAGUUGACUCUCUUUAUUAAGAUCUAUAGACCAUGAUGGCAAGCUCUCUCUCUGGUCAUGGGGAUUGGUCGAUGGCAUUGCCUUCACCUUCAGUCACUUCUGUUCGCUUUUCAUCAGCCUUACUCAGCGCUGCCCUAGCUUUAGGUGCCCCAAGGAAUGCCAACAGACCUCCGCAGCAUCCUCCAAGCCAAGGUGGCUUGACCAAGGGAAGUGGCCACCCAAAUAAAGGAAGACCCCAAGGACCAAGGAGACUUUGCGGACUGUAAACUUCGUCUUUCGCCGGUAUAUCCCUCGCCCCUUCAGUCAGAAGAAUCGCCAAAAGAAAGAGAAGGAGAACGGAUGUUGCCUUGGCCAUUUUCCUCUCCAUACUGGACUUUUGCUUCUGUCUCUCACUCUUUUGCUUGGCGAGUCUACUUCCAUUCCACCCUCGUUUUAUAGUGCGAUUCUGAUGGUUUAGUAGCUUGACUUGGGGAGAUUGUAAUUACUGCAUCAUGCAAUGGGGAGCUUGGUUCUUUUAGAAACCUUAAAAUAACCAACCACCCAUUGGCCAUGGCAGGUGAUGGUGGUGCUUAACGCUGCAGACCCCAUCAUUUGCUAUCAAUGUUUUACGUCUUAGGUUGUUCGGAUCGUCGUAGAUGAAAAUUUUAAGCAGCUUCAUUGGCGGCUAUGGCCCCCCCAAAAGAUUAUAUUGGUGUAAAUAGGAUUUGCUUUGGGAGUAAAGCCUUACCAUUUCCAUGGAGCUUUCUGAUGGCUAAAAUUCGUAUAGUAGUUACUUUUGGAAGUGAAGAUAAAGUGGUUGGAUAUCUACCUCAUCUCCCAGUGAGGAGCUAGCGGUGCCUUCAAUUCAUGGAAGAAAUUGAUGCUUUUUCUCAUUUCAUAUGGAAGAUUGGCUUGUUUAACAAACGAAAAAAAAAUUAUUUUUCAAUCAAGUCGACUGGUAGAAAUCAGAACUAUAGGUAGAUUCCUUGACGAAAAUUUUUGUUUUUGUCAUCAAUUUAAAAUAAAUUAAACAAAAAUUAAGAUGAAAAACCUGAAUGAAAACAAUUUUAUGAUAAAUCAUGUUGAAAUAAAGUUAUUGAUACUGUACAUGUAUCGGCCUGUACAUAUAAGUAAUGAGAAAAAUUGAUAGAAUAUUUAAAUUUAUGUAUGGUUUUAUUUUUUGUAUUGAUUAGCAUAAGAUUUUAUCUAUUAUUUUUUUAAAAAAAUUAUUUAUUUUAUUCUUUUAAUCCAUCCCUAACCUUUCAUGAUCAUUGUUAUUUUUUCGUAAAUUCAUUCAAAAAUAAUACAUGUUAAUUAAGUUCAUUAAGUUAUUGAACAAUAAUUUAUUAUAUUUUAUAUUUUUAAAAUCUAUUUUGUGUAUACAUAAUGAAAAUGUAUUUAUAUGUAUAUAUAUAUAUAUAUUUUAUGGCUAAAAUAUUAGAUAAUACCACUAAAAUAAUAUAUAUAUAUAUAUAUUUAUAUAUCAAUCGAUUCAACACUGGCUACUUCGACUGGCUGAAAUAUAUAAUAGUUCAAAAAAUUGAAAUGGGCCGACUCUUGUAAAAAUAGACCGAGCUUUAUACAGGCUGAGUCAAACCUCAUAGCCCCUAAGAGAAUUUCAAAUGCCUGCUAAACCUAAUAGGCCAUCAGUUCGUGAUGGGCCGAAUUAUCUUAUCAAAAAUUCAGAAUACAUGAAAAAGGCACAUCUUUAAUCUUCCACUUCCAAGGGAAAGAAAAAGGGGUGAAAAACGUGGAGUAACUGAAUAAGCCCUUCAAAACUCCUUCACUCCGUCGAAAAGAGAAGAGCCCUAUGGCUGCAGACAGCAACAAGAGGAAGAGGCCGAACAUUUUGGUAACGGGCACCCCUGGAACGGGUAAAACGACGACGUCUUCUGCUCUGGUGGAAGCCACCCAGCUCCACCAUAUCAAUAUUGGGGAUUUGGUCAGGGAGAAAAACUUGCACGACGGAUGGGACGACGACCUCCAGUGCCACGUCAUCAACGAAGAUCUCGUAAUUCCACUAUUUUCCUUACGCUCUAACCGUUUAAUUUCUUGAUUUAUUGUUGUUGUUGUUCAACAAUGAAUUAGUUCAUUAAGUAGUAUGAAUUUGAUUUUAAUGUGUCGAAUUCUGAAGGUCUGUGAUGAGCUUGAGGAUAUGAUGGAAGAAGGGGGAAACAUAGUGGAUUAUCACGGUUGUGAUUUCUUUCCUGAGCGAUGGUUUGAUCUUGUGGUGGUGCUUCAAACGGACAACACUGUGUUGUAUGAUCGGUUGAGUAAGAGGUGCCAAUGUUCUGUCCAUAUGAUUAGAGUUUCCAGUUAAUUUACUUGAGUUUUUUUUUUUUUUUUUGGUCUCAAAAACUCUUUUUCUGGCCAGAGGUUAUGAGGGUUCCAAGCUUUCAAACAAUAUAGAGAGUGAAAUCUUUCAAGUUCUGCUGGAGGAGGCAAAAGAAAGUUACCCAGAGGAUAUUGUUAUAGCUUUAAAGAGUGAUAAUAUUGAGGAUAUCACUAGAAAUGUUGCGACUAUUACAGAUUGGAUCCGGAGUUGGCCCCUAAGAUCUUGAUCGAAUACAGUUUUCGUAAUUUGCCCUGCCAAUGCCUGCUGCUUCACCUUAUGAAAGAAGCUGCAAUGAGGGCUUUAGUCAAGUAUGUCUUUGUUUAAGUUUUAGCUCUAAUAUGAAAUCAGUUAAUUUUCGUAGUUUUGUUAUUUUCAUGGAUUAGUCUCAGGGUUCAGACCGUGCGGGAUCUUAAUUUUUAAUUGAGUGUUUUUUAUUUUAUUAAUGGUGUGUAAUUGAUAGUUCAAGGAUGUAUUGUGAUCAGUUAAUAGACACCGUUUUCUACUGGUAAAAAGAAAUUAUAACUAUAAGCCAUUAGGUUGUGGAUGUCUGCCACAUGCAUUAUUUUCUGGAGCAUUCUAUACCUUCAUUUCGGUCUGUAAUAUGAAUAUGUGAGAUUAGAACUACCAGAUGUCGAUGGCAGAAGGAUAUUUGCCAUCCCUGUUUCCAUGGUUGUUCUAUUGCACAGAAAGUAAGGUGUAGAAUACAAGAGCUCCAGCUUAUUAACUACGAAUAGAGCUAACCUUUCUCAAAUUGAUCUACCAGAAAUGGAGAACCAUCAGUAAUGUCAAGCCUGUAAUGCACAAUGUUUACCGCAUAACCCAUUCCAUUUGUCAUGAUUCAUGAGGCAAUAACUGCUGGGGUAAUGCAAAAUUUAAGUAGAUUUCUAUACUUUAAAAGUUGUUCUGAAAGCUACUUGCCAGAAAUUGUCUAAUGCAAUUGUAUUAACAAUGUGGCUACUUGGAUCACUGAUCAGAACUACAACUUCGUGGCUGAAUCUUUUCUUAUUCAUCUUGAAUCAGUCUGCACCGUGUUACAACAAAUAAGUUGCAUUAUAUGCAAAUAAUUAAGGCAUUUAACAGAGAAAGUGUAAACAGCUAUAUAUUUGUUGUUGGCCUCAUUUGGUAUCAUGCACAUCAACAAUCAUUAAAACAUCCAUCUUGGGGAUGAAUGAACAGUGCUUUGGUGUGGUUUGCUUGGUGGCUGCUCUGAGUUGUUACGUUUCUUCAUGAUUGAGGAAACUGUAGGGCUAAAGUAGUCGUUACUCCUUUGAGAAGUUGCCCCUUGUGAGUAAGUCUUCUUUCCAUGGAUAAAGGUCCUCUGCUUUUCCAGCAAUGCCCUGCGAGCCACUGAAUUUCUUUGAACAGCUGCCCAUCUAGUGUAACCCACACAACUCUGGCUCCUUCCCACUUGCUGAAACUUCCCCUCUCUGGGACUUGUGUAGUUUCGGCUCUCGGCAGUCUCGGCAGAGUACAUGGUCUCCCCCUCACUGCUAUAUCCAUUAUGCAUCUCCGAAAGUUCUACAGGAGAUGAACUAGACUGGACCUCACUCUGGGUCCCAUUUACAGACCCUGUUGAGGCAACAUCAGCAUUCUCACUGGGACUUGUCUGUACUCUAUUCCUGAUUUGAUCUUCUUCUCUCAGUUGGCUUUCUGGAGGAAGUUCCAUCAAACAAUUCUCAUCUGAGUUCAGAAGUUGCUGUUUGGCAGGCCGCAAAACUACAGCAGUUUUUGCAAUCCUGGGAGGAAAAUUUAUAUCCAAAAGCUGGAUUUGGGUAGUCUCUUUCUUCCUAAGAGGGACUGCAGUCAACUUUGAUGAUUCAUAUAUUUCAGGAGUUGGGAUUCCUUGCGCAUGUGCAGCAUGUGGAUCAGAACAUCGCAUUUCUUCUUCAAUGGUGUUCACUGCAGCAGAAGAGCUUGGUCCUGACUGAUCCCUAGUUUUCAUGAUUAUAUUCGAUGAGGAUGGAGUUAUGUCAUUAUCAGUUUCUGUUGACUUAAAAACCUGGCGCAUUGUGAAGGAUGCAGAUGAAUGCUCACUCUUCUGGCCUGAGGACAUCAACCUAAUAAUUGGUAGCUUGGGUUUGGUAACUUCAUCAAGACUACCUUCCCAAUGCUGGUUUAACCAAUCACAAAUGAUGGGAAUGGGAAUACCAAAUUGCAUAGGAGUAUCUUUCUUCCAUGAUGAUGAGGAUGAAGAAGUCGAGGACGACUUGGUAUUAGGAGAUGUAGCUAGCUUCAUAGGAUCACAGAUCAUAAAUGCAAGGUUCCCCUGUGCAUCAAAUCCAGCUGAGCCCGGGUUCCAAAUUAUUCCAUCGGUUGACAGUUUUAUGAGAUUGUCAGUAGCAAUCACCACCUUUCCUUCACCUACUGUCAGUUCUUGUUUCUCUGUGUAACCUAGAAGGUAAACAGCACUUCCUAGAUCUAGAUUUGGUUUAGAACAUGUCUUCAAGAAAUGAGGUUGCUGCCCCUGGAUAUUUGAUUCUCCAUCCAUGACAUCUAAGCCCACUAUUGUUAGAUCUAAAACAGAGCUGGUAAUGAAAAACCUGCAACCAGAUUAAAGACAGGAAUAUAGUUUGAAGUAUGCUAAAUAAAAGAAGAUUUAGAAAGAAAUAUUUCAGGAGUUCUGCCACCUUUUUUCCUUUGCCCAUGCAUAACAUCAGUAAAUUACCAGAGGAAUUUUAAUCAUGAAACUAUUAAACCAAAAAAAAAAAAAAAAAAAAAAGAGAGGCAGGAGUGGAGGAGACACUCCAUGGUGGAGCAAAACUCUAAUGAAGCCCCUAAAUGGGCCAGCCUAGAGAACAAUUAGAACAUUAUCAACUAACUAGAGCAAGCAUUGGACUAUCUUUCAACUUUUCAUCAAAUAUCAAGAGUUUCCACGGGCUCUAAGAGUGAACUAAUGAGGGCAUUUCCUAUAGCCACUACUACCAGAUGGCUUCCAAUUGGAAAGAACUUGCCUUCAGUAAGGGAACAUGGAAUUCAAUGUUAAGACAUCAUAUGAAAAGGAAAUACAAAAUGUCAGGGUGCAUCCAUGGUUAGGUUGAGGGGUAGAAUGAGAACUUCUCACUUCAAUCCAUACAAAAGGGUCAAAACUUAAAAGAAGAGAAAAGGUAACUAUCUAGAAGAAAUCCAAAUUAUCAUAUAAGUUUCCAAAAAAGUACCAUUAGCAUAAGUGCCAAAAACAACUAUGUAUAGUCUAAGGAUAAAAAUAAUAAUUCUAUAAUCAAGAAACAGAAAUUAUCAAUAAUACACCAAAUCUGAAUAUCUCUCUAUCAAGUCAAUCAUAGUAUCAAUGAAGUACAUAGAAACCCUUGGAGGAGUUCGGGGGGAAAGGAAAAAGAAACCCAGCAGGAAAUAACUAAAUCAACAGCAGAACCUAUGAUGAAUUGUAGCCCAAUAAAUAUUCUAAUUUAACGGGACUUUUAAUAUAACAAAAAUACAAACGUUAUCUAUUUUUUCAGUUUUACGCAACCUAAUUUUAAGCCCGCAAGAGGGCAUAGUUUACGAAUUUGCAAAACAGAAGAACAUAUUCAUUUUCAGAUGGAUGAUAACUAAUGCAAGGUGACUUGCGAAGUAUUGUGCACAUAGAAGCUGUUGAAGACUUGAAGUGUCUUGUUAGAUUCUUUGCUCCUUUGCAAGAUGAUCAUUUUAUCCUCAGGUGUUAAAAGUCGAGAGAAUAGUCCACAGACCAUAAUCAAUAACUUCCAAAAUUUUUAGCUAAGAUUGAUAAAUUAUGAACAUUGCUGUUGCACUGAGACAAUGAAAAUGCUAAUUAACAGUAUAUUACUGACCACAGCAUUAAGAAUCACGGGUGACUAUAUAUACACACACACACAUACAUACAUACAUAUAUGUAUAUAUAUAAUUCGUCUGUUGAGAAAAUAUGUUAUCACUAAACGCUUGUAAUACACAUGAGUUAGGAAAACACUUUUUUAUACAUUAAGUUAUCUAACAUAACUGUGAACACAUCAAAGUAUAACUUCAUUGAAGAAAUCCAAAUGAUACUCAACUUAUCGCGUCCUCACGCUGCAAACCGAAUAAGAAGCCUUGGAUGCAUAUCUUUUUGUUAAGGUAAAGUAUUAUGGGCCUCUAAUGAUCUAAACUAAUUUAACUUCUAGGUGAAAUGCAGCACAAAUUGCAGUUAGCUAGACAUUCAUAGUAAAGUUAUGACAGUGAAAUGUCAACAAAAAAAAGGUCGAAAUCUUAACAAAGAUCAAUGAAGAAUCUUCUUUUAUUAAUGAAGACUUUACAACUAUAAGUUCGACAUGUAAUGAAAUACAAGCACAAAAGGUAAAGCUAAACUGAUUGGCUCAAUCAAAUCACAAAGUUGAGAAUUCUAAUAAGCAAAAAAAAAAAUUCUACAACCAUCAAUCUUGGACCCAUAUUUCUUUAAUCAACCAAUAAUAAUUCGAAAAGCGUUUUCAUAAUAGUAAUUCAUACCCACAUCAAGUAAAUGAGACAUUAAAAAUUCCUCUUUUUCCCAUCAGUUAAACGAAAAGUACAAAACCCAGAAAAAUAAAAACAAAAAUAACCUGUGAGGAACGAGAGUGGCAGCCACGCCGUUUUGGAGCCGGAUCUCGGAGCUUUCAGCAGCAGCUACAGAAGGGAGGUUAACGUGAGUAGUCAAGAGAAGAUUCCGGUGAAUGAGGAAUCCGGAAACUGAGAUUCCAUCGACGGAGGCUCCGGUGAUUCUCGCCAUUGCCGGAGCUUUACUUGAGGAAAUGGCGCCCUUCAUUCUUUCUGCCUUGCUUACUCCUUUGCAAAAACACCAUGAUUCUCUUAAACCACCCAUUUUUUUUCUUUUAAAUUUUCAACAAUUUAACGAGUCCAGAAAUUUGGGUUUUUAUGUUUUUGGUUUUUGUCAAAGGGCUGGAUCUGGAGAGAGUGACAUUUUGAGGUAUCUGAGUAGAAAAGUAAUGCAAUAUAAAGUGUUUGACACUUUGCUUCACUGAGAGAAAAAGGAGAGAAGGAGGAAGAAAGAGCAAGGGAGGGGACGAGAUGGUCGUGAAAUGAGUAAAGUGAAAGGGGAUUUGCGUUGUGUUUUCGAGCUGGAGUCUUUGGACAAAAAUAAAAAAGUGUCUGCGAUUAAAAUACUGUGACAGAGCCAGAAUCCUGAAUGAUUGAUUGUGUUUUGUAAUUUACAUCAAACUCAAUUUGAACCAUACACGUGUUAUAAAGAUGGCAAGUCUCCCUUCACACACUCUACGUAGAAAUCGCACUUUGUUUCAAUAUAGACGCUAUUGGGAGUUUGGAGAUAUUUAAAAAAAAUGUAAGAAUGAUCAAUUUUAAUCACAAAUUCAAUAUUAAAUAAGAUAUAAUAAUUUAAAUUUUAAUUCAAUUGAUUUAUAUAAUUAUUUUAAAAAAUAUUAUUUAAUUUGUAUAAAAUUUAAAUCUUAAUAUUUAUAAUUUUUUUAAUUGUUCUUAAACUAUAAUUUUUUUUAUAUAACAAAAAUAAAAUAUCAAAUGUUGAUUAAAAAUCACUACUAAAGUAAAUUUAUUUUUUAUCAUACAAUACUUAACACAUUAGAUCUGGACCUAAUGUAUAAAUUUGAACCCACCAAAUUAAUGAAGUUGGAAUCGAAUUCAUUUAUGAGUUUGGUUUUAAGAUCAAUAUUAAAAGUUUGGGAAUGAUUUUGAAUUCAAAAACGAAAUUAGAAGUAAGUGAAAUGUUAUUCCAUGAAUGUUUAGUACAUAACAACAUUCCAUUGAAUGUUAUUCUAUAAGUUUUAAUUGAUGGUGGGUUUCUCUCAACCUUUUUUCCUUUUUUUUUUUUUUUAAAUUUCUAGUAUUAAAGAGUUUAAUAUAGUAUGUUCAACUACUAUUAUAUUUUAGGUGAAUUAUAUAAAUAUACUUAUAAUUGAAGACCGAAUAAAUUUAUUCACUGAAAUUAAUAAUUAUUUUUAAUUAUUUUAUGUAUUAAUUAUGUUAUUUGAAUUUUAAUAUUGAUAAUUAAUAAACACGUAACUCUUAUAUGAUCAUCUUUUUCUUUGUUUUUUUUUUUGUUUAUUUCUUUAUUUUUAUGUAUUGAAAAGUUAGAAGAAAAAUUAUUUUUUAUUUGAAAGUUAUCAAUUUAAAAUCCCUGAUUUUUAAUUCAAGUUUUUCUUAGAUUUCUAAAAAAACAUAAAUACUAAACCAAAAGUCUAAAGAAAAUCCAAGAAAUCCCAUUAGGUUAAAACAUUCAAAUCCAUCCCCAAAGAAAAAUCAAAAUCCAAUCUCAAUAUAAAAUCAAACCUAAUACACAUUAUGGCUAAUUAUUUAUAUUAAUAAGAUUAAAAUUAAAAUUACGAAAUGAAUAUGAAGAAAAAGAGAUGUUGAGCUUGGAGUGAAAUUGGAUGUCUGAUUCGGUGGCCAGCUUAUGACUGAUAUAUUCAAAAACAGUUGAAUUCAUUCAUUAAAUAGGGAUGUUUUCCAAUGAAGAGGUUGAUAUUUUAAAAGACCGUAUUAAUGAACAAUUAAAAUAUUUGACCUUCAAAAAAUAUAUAAUUUUUUUUCUAAGAAAGGAUGACAAGUACCAACUGUUAUUGUUAGUUGCCUGAAGUGAAAAUCUUCAUGUAAUCAGUGAGUUCGCACAUGAAAGAACACGUGUAGAGUGAAGUGAUUUUCGGUCUUUUUUGUUUUUUUUUUUUUUGCCUUUUCUGCUUCGCUUGAGUAAGCUGCGAGUGUGGAGAAAACAUGUGACACGUAAUAAUUGAGUGGAAAUGUAAGGGUUUAUAGAAUAGCUGGACCGAAGAACAAAUAUUUUUGAAUAUCCAUAUAAAUUAUUUAUAAUAAACCCUUAAACCAACAUUUUUUUGUCUUAUUAUAUAUGGAAAUUUAUUUUUUUUAAUACAAAAGAGACCGAUGAAAAAUUAUAAAUAUUAAAAUUUAAAUCAUAAAUUUAUUAAAUAUUAUUUCUUACAAAUAACAGCAUAAACUAAUUUAAAUCGAGGAGAUUAUCACAUUUCAAUGAGCCAAUGCCAAGUAACGCGAAAAUGGGCCUUAAGAAACUUAAAAUUCGGUAAUGAUAUUUGACUCUUCAAUUCCGCCUAAUGGCAAUAACGUUGUUCAAAUUUGUCACAACUCAGUUGUGACUUGAUUAAAGUUUUAGGAUUACGAAGAGAAUAGAGGAAAAUUGAAAAGACUAAGGAAAGAACAGAGAAGAAUUGAGGAGACUAAAAAAAGAAUAAAGAGGGAUUCAAAAAAGAACUAUCAUCAUCUUCUGCCAUAGUCUUGCUCAUGCUACUAUUGCUCUUUUCCAUCAAGUUCAUCACAAAACUUUGGACUUAAAAACAACAAACUUCCAGCCGUAAUGACACUGAAAUGGCUAAAAUCAAUCAUGGGUUUGAGCAUGGAAGGGCGAAAAACCAAAACCCUAGAUGAAAAUAAGAAACCAUAAAAUCGAAAAUGAGGAAGGAUGUCUGAUUUUCAUCAGUAGUUCCAAUGUUUGAUAGCCCGAGAUUCGACACUGGAUAGCUCCACCUGCGACUAAUGGUACGACACUCCAAGUAAUCAAGUUCUUAAUUUGUCAAGAACACUUUAAGAUCUCACCUCCAAAAUGAAGACCUAAAAUCUCAAUCUCCUGCCAGACCAUCCCACCGUCAUAAGUAAACCCCAACAAACAAUUUCUUUGUAGAUAUAGGUUAUUGCGUCACCCUUUUGCAAUGUGUUGAAUGUUGCUAUUACUAGAGCUUGGUAGUUACAACUCACUGGAUCAUACCAAACAGAGCUCAACCAAUCCAGUGGCAUAUAAAGCACUUUUUUUUUUGGUCCAUUCGGUAAGGAAUAGGGGAUGAGGAUGGUGGGGUUCAACUCUCACCUUACAUGUCUUUCUAAGCCUUCCUAGCCAUUAGGCCAAGAAGCUCAAGACACAUAAAGCUCUUUGAGAUCAUGAAACUCACUUUAAAGCAUAAAUCAUAGGUGUCUGACUCUUGAAAUAAGAUAACUGUAAAGCAUAAACAUGCCAUUUUGCACCUUCACAGCAGAAAGAUCGAAAGAUAAACUUUGUGCAAGACACCAUCAACAUGUUUGAUGAAAUGGAAAAAAAUUACCUCCUUAGAGCACUGAAGCUUUGUUCCACACUUGAUAAACACCAAAAAAUAGCUAGUAGCCAAUUUGUGAGAGCUGAAAAAAUGGCAAUUCAUUUCUUUUACCAAAAUAUUCCCCAAUAUAUUGUUAGACAAAAGCACUACAAUUCCUCUAUGAAAGUUAUCUAAACUUUGAAGUUAGUUUCCCAAUCUGUAAUUUUUCUCUCAGGUCCAAAACAGAGAUCCAUUGGUAAAGCUCGAAGCAAUUUGCUCCAACUUGGGUCUAAGAACAAGAAGAGAUAUUAAGAAGCAACAAUCACUCAGAACCAACAUCAACCCCCCUUUGCUUCAGAAAGUCCUUGGCCUCACCAAUGUCCUAUAAAUAUACUACAUAUUAGGGAACCGCCAAAAACAAAUAACACCAAGAAAUUAAAAUAAUUAUCAUCAACUUAUUACAAACAGGGCAAAUACAAUUUGAGAUUGCUUUUAGCAGAUAAGAAGAUUAUUCAAGUCCCAACCAAAGGACAUAUUACCAGCCUGCUCAAAAGCAUAGAGGAAAAACAAAACGAGAGGAAAAGAAAAAGGUAAGACAUUCAUCACUAGUUACCCAUAUAUAAUUUAAACACUUAUGAAAAUAAAAAUUUUAAGAUGUGCAGGAAUGUGCAGGAAAAAAGAAAGAAAAUGAAAUACCUGCUGCAGCAGCAAUGCUUCUUGAGGGCAAGUCGGGAAUCGCAUUAGACCAACUCCCACCAUUAAUAAACCAUAGCAUCCGAGUGACACAAUAAAAUAGAUAGGUAGCUGAAAGAUUUUAUAGAGCAAAAUAAGCAGUAAUGAAUUAGAACAAGUAGAUAUAUAUAGAUCAUGAACAUCAAGGCAAAAAAAGAAACUCACCAACCAAGUAUGGCUUUGUGGUAUUAUAGAUGCCUGCAAGAGGCCAAUCCAAAGCGCAGAGAUGACCACCAGCAGAGAGAAAAUCUUCAAAACAUGCUUCAUCGGAUUGGCAAUGAUAAUUAGCUCAGAUGUCCUGAUUUUAUUUCAAACCACUUAAAACUUUAAACAGAUAAAGACAAAUGGCGUGUAGGUGAAAAACAAAAUGCAUAUAACCAAGUGAUUUAUCAAAGGCUCAAGUAUUUAUAACCACCUAAGGCACAAAGAGCACGUCUAUACAUGAGCAUGUGGAACUUGUAUGUGAUAUUUAUAAAGUGGAAAAACAUACUAAAAUUUAUAAGUAUGAAAAACACAUAGCAAUGAGAAGUAAACUGCAAAAUAAAUUAGAAUAAUCACCAAGAAAGAAGUUCUUGAGAUAAACAGAAACAACAAUCAGUUUCCUACUCUUACUAUCAGUUGGAAAAAAGGGAAAAACGCAUGUAUAAUAAGAACAGACGCACCAACAAAUAUGCUUAAAAAACAAACAAAGAAGGCCUUAAUGAAAUCUUUAAUAUCUAGUCCGUUCUAAUCUAACUGCAAAAUCAGUAGAAACAGAGUUUUGAGUGUCCCUUUGUACAAUUAUUAGGUCCAUCCUUUAUAGCUAAAAAUGCUGUUUGACAUGGUGAUUCCAAACAAUGUGGAAAACUAAGAAUUCAAACAUAUAUAGAAAAACAAAUUAAGUUCUUAUUGCCAUCAGAAGGGAUAGAGCAGAAAUGAUAUUUCAUAAUUGUUCCAUAGAAUGGAACUCAAAGCCCUUGCGCAAAACAUCCCGAACAUCAGCUGGCAAACUCUCGUAAAGGGAUCAGCCAUUUCUCAAAUCUAUGGUAAGCGAACUAAAACCCAUUUAAACACAACAAAAGAAAAGCAACCCAGAGGAAUCAAAAGUAUAAACUGCCAUCAGAAUGAAUAUCUAAUAAAAAUCUUUUUUUUUUCAAAGUCCCAUGCUGCUUUUGCAUCACAGGAACUCAAAGCCCUUGCGCAAAUUUCCCAAACAUCACUUGGCAGUUUCAGUUUCAGUUUAAGAUUUGUUUUUUUUUUUUUCUUCCCAAGUAAAUAAACAAUCAGAUCGAAGAACGAGUAAAUCGACUGCUAAAAGAGCAUACCUGCAAAUAAAAAAAGAAGAUAGAGGAGAGUCAGGGGUACAGCAGCCGAAAAAAGGAAGAAGAAAAGCGAACAGAAAACCAGCAGAGGCAGAGAGAAGGUCUGUUUGACUAGUUAACCUUUUGAUAUGCACGGCCACGGAACUGGGUCAUUUGGCCUUUAAUUCUAACUAAUGCAAAAAAAAAGAUUUUGAGGACGGUUAGAUCUGAGUGUGAAGCGUGAGCUAUGGUUUUGGUUUUCGUAUCCUUUCGAUGCGGCGGGGGUGAGAGAGGUGGGCUGACACCUAUGGUAAGAAGAAAGAAAACAAAGCUGGGCUUUUAAGUCAGAGAAAAGAGCACCAGAGCGAAUGUGGUUGAGUUUGGGCCUUUAAACUGUUUUCAUAAUUCCCCUGAUGAAUUUUAGAAAAUAAAUUAUUAUUAGAAGCUAUAAAAUCUGAAAAUUUAACUCAACCAAACAGAAGGUCUUCUUUGUAACCGAAAAUCAGGUUCUGAAAAAAUAAAAAUUCAUUCGAAAUUAUAAUAUUUAAUUUAAUGUAUUAUUUAAAUUAAAAUUAUAUCUAUUAAAUUUAAAAUUAAUUUUUGUAAACAUUUAAAAAAAUAAAUUAAAUCGAAUUAUAUAUUUUUAUUAAUUUUUAUAUAUAUUUUAAAUUUUUAUAAAAUAAAAUAAUUAUUAUAUAUAUAAAUUUAUUUAAAUAUAUUUAAAAUUUUAUUAAAAUAAUAUAUAAAAAAAUAAAAAUUUAAACUUUAAAAAUGAAUAAACCAAAUCAAAUUAAGAAAAUUUAAUUCCAAUUGAGUCAAUUUUACAAAAAUAAAUCAAUUCUAUGCAUUAUUAAAAAUACGGUAAACUUAAAAAAAAUACCUUGUGAUUAAAGCUAAAAGAAAAAUGUCUUCUGAGAUUUAAGAUGUGACACUUAACGACCUUAUGCAAGUAUUUCGUUAUCACCUACUGAACGUCGUUAGAAGUAAAAUGACUAAAUUGUCAUGUGUAUAACACAAGCCAUAAACAAGAAAUAAAAGCAAUUGAAUAGUUAACAAAAAAUUAGAAAAACUUUCUUCAUCAAUCUGAUCUUCAUAGAAAAAAAUUUUCAUUCAACAAUCAAUACUCAAAAUCAGUCGAUUAUUAGUAGAGAAAAGUGUUUGAGCUGGUGAUUGGGAUCAAGAUUUAGGUUUGGAGGUGAAAUUGAUUUUAGGUUUGGAAGAAAUGAAAUUUGGGCACAGUUUAGAGGUGUUGUGUUGGAUUCAACAACCAAAUAAGGUAUAUACAAUUUUCCCUUUAAUUUCGAUGCAAUUGGUUAGGUUAAUGUUAAGGUUAGCAAAUUUUAUUCAAAACAUUUGGGGAUUUUUCAUACUAAACUUCAUAUUAGAAUCAAUUAAAGGUUUUUGAAAAUUUGAAAUGUUAUUAACUUCAUAUUAGAAUCAAUAUGUUAUACUUAACUUCAUAUCAAAAUAAAUCAUAAUUUCACUAAAAAAUCAAAAUUUUAUUUUGCUACAGAUUUGGAAUGCCAACAAAACUAUUAAGUUUUAUCAUAGUGGGUUGUCUAUGCAUAUUCCUAACAAAGUUUGCGUAGGAGGUGAUGUAGCAUGGGUGGAUGAUUAUCCUUUAGAUAGGUUGUCAUUUUUUCAGUUGCAAGAUUGGGUUAUUAAAUUGGGGUAUAAGAGUACUAGUGACAUAUUUUAUUGUAUUCCUACGCUAUCACUUGAUGAAGGGUUGAAAUGUAUUCAUUUAGAUAUACAUGUUGAACAUAUGGUUUUGUGUCAUCAAAAGAAAAAAAUCAUUCUAAUAUAUGUUGUAAUAGGUAAUACUCAUCUUUCUAUUAUAUAUCCAUGUACACCAUCUGGGAAUGAAAAAGAGGUACAAACAGGGAGGUCUAUUCAUGAAAACAAUGGUGGAAAUGAUAUAGGUAAUUUGAUGGAAAACGUUGGUGCUAAUAAAGUUGAUGUUGGUAUGUAAUGAGGCAAAAAAUAAUGAUGCAAAUGAGGUUGAUGAUGGUACUGCUUAGCAAAAGAUAGUUGUAUAAAUGAGAUUGAAAAUAAUGCCCGAAAUAUUAGUGAAAAUACUAAAAAUAAUGAAGAGAAAGAUGGUGAAAACAGUGAUGAUGAUGAUAAUGACUAUCAUGCAAGCAGUGAAUAUAAUAGUGAUGGAUAUUUUAGUAGUGAUUAUAGAUGCUUUGAUGAGGAAAUAAAGGCUAAUGAUGUAUUUGAGGAUAAUGAAGUUAGUAGCCUUAAGAAAAACAAAAAGGCUUAGUAUUACACAAUUUAUUCCAAUGAGGCUAAUUGAAAACAUUAUUUUAGAAGAAGAUGUAAUGAUGGAUGAUAGUGAUCUACAUAAUGUUUAUGGAUUUGAUGAAGAAAUAAACCAUUACACAAUGUUCAAUGAAGAGUUGAUAUGAAGAAUCAGCAUUUAAAUGUUCGAUUAAAGUUUAUUAAUGGCAUUGCUUAUAGAAACACAUUGAAAAAGUAUUAUGUUCGUAAAGGUUAUGACAAUAAGUUUAGAAAAAGUGAUGAAGAUAAAAUUAUUAUUGUUUGUGUUAAGAACUGUGGAUGGAGAAUAUUUGCAUCUAAGUUGAGAGAGGAUUGUACCUUUUAAAUAAAGACUUUUCAACCAAAGUAUAAUUGCUCAAGGGAGUUUAAAAUUCACCAAGUCACUACACCUUAUUUGGUUGAGGAGUUUUUGAUGAUUUGAAAGAUAAUCUGAAUUGGGAAACUACAAAGAAAAUGAAAAAGAUUUCUAGAGAAUUAAAGGUUAAAGUCAGUUUCUCUCAAGUAUAUAGAGCUAAGAGAAAAGCUAGAGAAAUAAUGGAAGAGGAUAACAAGUUACAAUAUUCGAAAUUGUUUGAUUACUAUGACAUGAUCUGAUAGACUAAUUCUAAAAGCUUUACAAUUAUGAAAAUGGAAAGUUAAUAUUUUGAUGCAACCACUGGUAUUCCUAGAUCUUUUAUUCCCAGAUUUGAAAAGAUAUUCAACAUGUUCGAUACAUAAAAAAAAAAUAUUCAUGGUUGGAUGUAAAAAGUUUAUACGAUUAGAUAGUUGUUACUUAAAAGGUCAUUUUGAAAGAUAAUUACCAAGUGCUAUUGCUAGAGAUAGGAAUAACAACAUUUUCCCUCUUUGUUAUGCAAUUGUUGAACAAGAAAAUAAAGAAACUUGGUCUUAGUUUUUGAAUUUGCUACAUGAAGAACUUGAGAGUUUCAUUGAACUAAGAUUAGAGUUUAUAUCUAACCAAUAAAAGGUAUUAAUUGUCAUUGUAUUUAGUUUUUUUAUAUAAUGUUUAUAUCUAACCAAUAAAAGGUAUUAAUAUGUUAAGCUUUAGAUCAAACAUUUGAAGAAAUAUACUCUCAAGUUGAGUAUAGAUUCUGUUUAAGGCAUUUGUAUACAAAUUUCAAACUUCACUUAUAAAAAAGCUCCUUGGAAGGCAACAAGUGUGGGUUCAGUGAAAGAAUUAGAGAAAGCUAUAUUGGUGCUGAAAGAGCUUGACAGAACAGGGGCAACACAUGCUUGGGUGAGUAGAUUAAAUCCAAAAACUUAGGCCAUGUCUCAUUUUAACUCUAAAAUGAAAACUAGUUUAGUAGUGAAUAAUCUUAGUGAAUCUUUCAAUGCUUAUAUAUUAAAAGCUAGAGAUUUGCCUAUCAUUAACAUGUUAGAAUGGAUAAAAAAAAUAUUGAUGAAAAAGUUCAUUCUAAAAAGGUUAGUAUAGAGUCUUACAAUGGUCUUUUAUGUCUAGAUAUUUAAAACUAGCUUAAGCAAAUUAAAAAAUACUUUUUUAAUUACUUUUCUAUUCCUGCUGGUAGGUCUAUAUAUGAAGUUGAGUGUGAUAUAACCUCUCAUGUUGUGAACUUAGUUAAAUAAAAUUAUACUUACAAGAUUUGAGAUUUGACUGGAAUCCCUAUAAACAUGUUUUUUUUUUUUUAUAAUAAUAGAGAAAUACCAUAAUCUUAUGUCCAUUGUUGUUAUUCUAAGAAGAUAUACAUGGCUAUAUAUGAUGCCAUCAUUAAUCUUAUUACAAGACAACAUGAAUGGACUAUAAGUAGUAACCCUACUCUUGUCCCUCUAAUCAUAUAUAAACCACCGACUAAACCAAGAAGUUAAGAAAGAGAGCACCUGAUGAACCAUAAAAUCAUUACAAAAUAUCAUGACAGAACAAGCCAAUUAGAUAUGGUAACUGUGGUCAAGUUGGACGUAACGUUAGAUGUUGUAAGGCAUCAGUGGUUUGAAAGACCCCAUGGUAAAAAAGAUGAGAUUAAAAGGAUUAAACAAAAUUUCUCAUCAAUCUACCAAUCUUUAGGUAAUUUACUUUUUUAAUUUAAAAUGAUCUUUAUAUAUUAAAUUUAACAUAAAUGAAGUGUAUUUUACAAAUUGAUCAAAAGAAAAAUGAUGCAUCUUCUUAAAAAAUAAAUACAUUUACAACUAGAAGCAGAUCCAGAAGAAGACUUAUCACUAAUGUUACUGCUAGAAUUGAGUUACAAUCAAAUAUUGCUAAAGGAUUGGAUGCUAGCAGAAGUUUAAGAAAAAAAGCAUAUGGUAUUGGUUGUCAAUCUGCUGAAAAUGUCAUUACAAAAUGUCACGAUAAAACAAGCCAAUUAGAUGUGGUAGCUGUGGUCAAGUUAGACAUAAUAUUAUAUGUUGCAAGGCAUUAAUGAUUGGAUAGACCCCAUAGCAAAAGAAGAUAAGGUUGAAAGGAUUAAACAAAAUUCUUCCUCAAUCUACCAAUCUUUAGGUAAUUUGCUUCUUUAAUUUAAAAUGAUCUUCAUAUAUUAAAUUUAACAUGAAUGAUGUGUAUUUUAUAGGUUGAUCAAAAGACAAAUGUUGCAUCUUUCUAAAAAAAAAAUACACCUACAACUAGAUAUAGAUCCAAAUGAAGUCUUGUCACUAAUGUUGCUACUAGAGUUACGUACAGUUAAAUACUACUAAAAGAAUGGAUAUUGGCAGAAGUUUAAGAAGAAGGGCAUAUAAUAUUGGUUGUUAAUCUGUUGAAAAUAUUGGACAAAAAGAUGCUAGAAAUGUUGGCAAAAAAAAAAAGAUGAUGCUGGAAAUAUUGGUUUAGAAAGAGGUGAUGUUGAAAAUGUUGGCACAAGAAAAGGUCAUGCUAAAAAUGUUAGCAAAGAAUGAGGUCAUGUUAGGGCCAAAGCUAAUCCAAUCAGAGAAAAAGAUAAGAGUAAUGCCUCAAGCUAUACUGGUGGUCAAUUUAUUAAUUCUCAAGCAUCUAGUGAUCCAAAUAUUAGUAGCGAAACAACCAGUAACCCAGUAGCCUGCAACCAAGUAACUAGUUGACAAGGUAUUUGGGUGAAAUCCAAAAAAGGCUCAUAUAUACUAUCAUAGGAUGAUGCAUUGAAUGUAUGCUAUUGGACUUAUUUAUGUUAUAAACUGAUAUGAUGUAUAGGUCUUUUAUUUUAAUAUAUAGGUUUAUGUGAUAUAUAGGCCUUUUAUUGUGCAUUUUGUGCUAGUUUUAUAAACUGGUAGCAUGAUUUUGUUCAAUAGAAAUGAUGAUAACAUAUUUUUUGUUCAAUAGGAACGUGGUAUAACAAAUAGCCUUAUUUUUUUCAAUAGCAUGGCUUUUGUUUUUUGCAAUAAAAAUGCUAGUUUUCUACAUAUUGUAUUUUAGAUUAUAAUUGUAUAAAUGGAUGUGGUCAUUUUUAUAAUUCUAACAUUAUGUAAAGGUUGUUUUUAAGGCUAUUUUCUGUAAUAAGAAUGUGGCAUUUGUUUACAAGGCUAUUUUUUACGAUAUGAAUGCUAGCUUUCUACAGGCUUUAUUUUCUUAAACCACUUUAAGAACUUACCUAUUUGGUUAAAAGUAGUAUAAUGUCAAUUUACAUGAUAAAAUUUUAGUAACAAAAGCCAUUACACAGCACGUUUAACAAAAGGCAAACUUUCAUUCCAUUCUCAAAUAGUAAGUUCACAUUGACAUUUCUUUAGACACUUGGUAUUACUACACAUUACACCCUAUAAACAUUACAAUCUUGCCUACAAUUAAACCAUACCUUGCAUCUUACCUACAACAAAUUAAAAAAAAACCCACUAACAUCAAUUCAUCAACUCAAGAAAAUUAAAUCUUAAGCUUUUUUACCUAAAGAAUGAAACAAAAUCAAAAUCAACAAUAACAUAACACUGCCACAAAUUAAAGCAAUUACCCUUUUCUUGAGUCGAAUCUGAACUAGCUGAUGCUUCAAAUGUAACUCUUUUGCAUGAGAUUCAGCUAGUUCAUUCUAAAUUUUUUGCUUCUUAUUUCGAGCUUGAAUAAGUUCUUUAUUCAAUUUCAAUUUCAUUUUUUCUAAUUCGAAUAGUUGUUGUUACAAAUGUAACUUUCUUGCUGAGCAUAUUGUCAAUGCUUCAACUAAUUCUUGUUUCCUUACAUUUGAUCUCAAAAGCUUAUCUGUCAUUUUUUUUCAUUGUUUCUUUUAAUUUCAAUAUUUGUUUUAUACAACUUUCACAUGGUAUCUUAUUAAUCUACUAAAAAAAUUUACAUUUUCGUAGUCUCUGUAAAUACAAAAACCCAAAGAUUAAAUAACUUUUUUACCUAAAAGCUAUACAACAAUUAACGAAAUCUUACCUUAAAAUUUUCACAUCUAUAAAGUUUUCACCUACGAUUAACACUUGUUUCAAAAGUUCUUAUCGGUGAUUCUACAUCAUAAUAGCAUAAUUCGGCACCAUUCGAUCCUAUGAAUGGCAAAGGGUCAGGUUAGAGCAGAUUUUUACUCGUCUCGAAUCUGAUUUGACUUUAUAUCUAUAAAAUAUGAACUUGACUUAACCUAAAGAUUUUUUUAUUUUUUUCAUAUUCUAACCUGACCCGACCCGACCCGAUAUUAUAUAAAUUAUAUUCAACUCAACUUGACCCAAAAUUAAUAAAAUAUUAUUUUUAAUAUAAUAUAUAUAUUAAUUAAUUAAAAAAUAAUUUUUUAUAUAUAACGGGUCGAAUUUACUUAAAAUUCGACCAUGAUCUUUUUCUUACAAUUAUCCGAUCCAAUCCAAAAUCCGAUUUAAAAAAAAAAAUUAAUCCUAUAAAAUCGGGUCAAGUUGAAACUCACUGUGAGCUAAUUGGGCUACCAACCCUAUUUCAAUCCUUCAUUUUUUUCAUAUUGUUGUGAAUUCAUACGCAAAUGAGCCUCCUUUUUCUCAAAGUAAUAUGGUAGGAAGAAAAAAAAAAGAACAAGAAAUGGAGAUACUUUUAAUUAUCGUGGAAGAAGUGAAAAUGGAAGAGAAAAGAAUAUGGGAAGAGAAAAUAAACUGAAAGAAAUAAACAGUGAUCAUGGAAGGAACAAAAAAUGGAGACUAACAAUAAUCGAGUAAGGAACAAGAAAUAGAAACUAUCUCUGACUAUCUUUUUAACAUUGAUAGAUGAUAACGGAAUAACGACAAAGAAUAAUUGAAUGUCACAUUUUAAAUAUAAUGAUACACUUUUAUUAACAUCAUGAUAUGUUUAUGAGGUUAACCUUAAAUAUAUUAAAUGAAAUUCGAUGUAAUCCAAACUGAAACAACGAACAUCCUUCAUAGGGCAUAGAAUAUCAGAGGAAAGAAAAUAAAAUCAAGUAAACCAGUAUUUGAACAAUCUCCCUCGGCCAGUCGAUCAAUCAAUAAUUCAAUAGAAACCAAAUUCGACGAUGGGGACGACGGGUGGGAGCGACGUGGAGGCGGGAUUCGCGAAGCUACAAGGCGAAGACUUCGAAUACUACAUGCAAACGUACUCCAUAAUGCUUGGUCGCAACUCCAAGAAAUCCACCGUUGACGUUGACUUAGCCAGCCUCGGCGGCGGCAUGAACAUUUCCCGCCACCACGCCCGCAUCUUCUACGACUUCACGCGACGCCGCUUCGCACUUGAAGUCGUCGGCAAAAACGGCUGUCUCGUUGAAGGCGUACUCUACCUUCCCGGCAACCCUCCCGUCAAGCUCGACUCCCAAGACCUCCUCCAAAUCGGCGACAAAGAAUUUUACUUUCUUCUCCCCGUGAGGAGUAUUCUCGGGGGACCCCUUGCGCCUAGGCACCAUGUUUCGAUUUACCGGACGGCGGGGGCGGAGGCAGCGGCUGGAGGUGUACCACAUUAUAGUUACCAUGGUGGGUCGGAGACGGGGAGGACGGUGGGGUCCGUUACGGGUUCUGCUGUGGUGGCAGCGGGAUCAAAGAAGGGGAGGGGAAGAGAUUAUCACGAGGAGUAUGGGGAGGAAGAUGAUGUUGGGAGUGGUGGGAAGAAGGUUAGGAAGGAAGAUUGGUAUAUUGGGGCGGAGGCCCGGUCCGGAGGAAAGGCUUGUUUGGCCGGAGGAUUAGGUUAGCACAAUUGAUUUUUGGUUUUUCGUAAAUGCUUAAAUCAUUUAUGCCAUUGUUUGAUCAUUUUUUUUUUUUGGUAGUUGUGAUUAUGGAAAUGUGGGGAAAAAAUUUGCCAUUCUUUAAAAAUUGCUUUGUAAAGUUUAUUAUUUUUUGUAACUAUUUAGUUAUUGAAAUAUAGAGUUAAAUUUUCCUGUUGUGUUAGGGCACUGAUGUUUUGGGAUUAUUGCUGCCUUCUUUCUUAUAUGGAGAUUAUUGUGACAUUUUUUAGAUAGCAAAAGAUAUUUAUCAUUUUUAGUUCAGAAGAAUGACAGAUCUUGGUUUUCGAGAAUAUCUAUGUUUGAGAUCUGCUAUUGCUUGCCUGAACUAUUUAGCUCCUUGAUGCAUUCUUUCUGAUGUUAUUCUUCUUGGUUUUUUGGCUAUCAUAGACACUGGCUUUAAUAAUUACUUGUGAUUACAGCACUCAAAAUACUUUGCUAGAUUGAACCUGGAUCCUUUUUCCUAGUUUCUUUUAUUUCCUAAGCAUCAUUCUUGUUGAUUGCCUGGUUUAAUCCCUGUCAUCAUUUUCUAGGAGUGUCCCAUUGUAUUUCAUAAGUCAUUAUCAGUGCUUAUCAUUUUUUCUCAUUCUGCAGCACCUACUGACUCUUGAUCUGGUUUUGGAGAAUCACACUAAUCUAUUGGGUGAUCCUGGCUCUCAGUUAUCUUUAUUUCUUUGGUAGUUGUUAAAGGUACUCCUUAGGAAUUGCAUAGUCUGUAGAACAUCCAAAGUAGUCAGUAGUCACCAUGAAGCUUUUAAUGAAACUAGUGAUAGUGCCUCCGCAGAAGAGAGAGAAGAUGAAUGAUGAUGUUUGAUACUGGUUUAAUACUCCAUAAAUGUUAUAAAUUGCGAUAAUUGGUCAGUCAUGGUGCCAAUUUUGUUUGUGGCACUUCUUGUUACAUUUUGUAGCAUUUACUCAACCAGCACUUGUAUGCUCAUCUUUCAUUUGCCUUUCUCGCGAUAUUAUAUGCUGUUGAAUCUUCUUUUUCAUCUGACUCUUUGCUAUUAGGCCUAUUAGCAUAGCUUGGUAUUAGUCUGAUUAUGUCUCCUAAAUGGAUGCAUACUAGUAGAACAUCCUGCCCUCUCAACCUGAAAAUAAGCAAGAAUCUAGUAGACAGUGUUUUUUCCAGUUAUCAUGUAGUCUAUGAGGUUUUAGGUAUAUAAUUUAUGAUAAAUUAGCAAAGCAUUGCUAUCUCUAUCAUUUCAAUAAGUUACUUUUGAUUUUUAUAGCACCGAAUGGUUUAUAGGAUUUUAUCAAACUGUUUUAUUGUUUUCCAAUACUCUCCUUUUUUUUUUAACCAAAUACUCCUCACUUACCAGUUUUUGAGCCUUGGAAAUGAGCUUUCAUUCCUUAAUGCUGUUCUCAUGCAAUUCCAUCAAUACGUUUCUCUCUAUAUUUUACUUGAACUUAGUAACUAAAAGUACUUUUUUUUUUAUUUACUGAAUAGUUAGUUAAUAAAUGCUGUUUCAUUGGCAUGGUAAUAUCUACAGUUCCUGUAGAGAAGAAGGGAGAGGGAAGAUCAAGAGUUGACCGUGAAUCUGAUAAUCAACAACUUAUGCAGUUGGAAGAAAAGGAUGUGGUGUCAUCUGUAGCUACUGUGCUUUCUGAUCUUUGUGGUCCUGGAGAAUGGAUGGCCAUGGAGAAACUCCACGCUGAGGUUAGUUCUAAGCUUAGGGUGAUCUAAAUCUUAUGCUAUUUUCAUUUUGAGCUUUUGACCUUGCAUCUUUUGAGUUUUAAUUGUUUUUUGCUGAUGACACCCCUGGCCACUUGACAGUAGUCCUUCUUAUGGUUGAUUUUGAUUCUGCCCUUAUUGAUAUGCUUUACUAUGCUUUAGGCUUUGCUUGGUAGGAAGGAUGAAAAGAGGUGAGGAUGGAAAACUUGCUCAUCUAAUGUUUAAAAUUUAUAACUACUUUCCUACUUUGUAGCUUAACCAUUAGAUUAACAAGUUUUUCAUCAUACCAAGCAAAACCUUAAAGACUUUGACGUGGAAAUGGUUUUCUUCUAUAUUUUGGUCUGACGUUUUGACAGACUAGGGGUGCACCUAGGGCAUUUCCUGCCUGAUUGAUGUCAUGUUUUGAAAGAUGCCAGAAGUAAAAUAUACACUUAUUGGAGAAAAAAAAAUAAAAAAAGAAUCCUUGUGAGAGAAUGAUAACGACAACAACCACCAUUACUAGUAGUGCUACUUAUUUUUACGUCUGCAAUUUAGAGGAACAAACAAGAUUUAUUCAGUUUGUUGUUAUAAUUUUUUGGUUUUAAAAUGCACAAACUAUUUCCACUCCUAACUUCCAUUUGUUUUAAAUGGCUUCAAAUUGAAUGAUUUAGUGGUCGUAUCUCCUUAGCAUAUCUGAUUAUUUUUUACAGUAUUUUUUUCUCCCAUUUGGUGUAUCCCAAUCCUGUGAUUUUUGAGCCUUAGGAUUUUACAAGAUGUCUUACUUUCUUUGCUUUUCUUUUUCAGUUGGUUGAACAGUUUAGUAAUGUGUGGCAUCACAGCCGAGUUAGAAGGUAUCUUACAUCUGAGGACUGGCCUGAUCCCGACUCCAAGGGUAAACCAUGGUAUGGUCUGCUUAUGUUGUUAAGAAAAUAUCCUGAGCACUUUGUCAUCAACACAAGAUCCAAGGGCCGGAUAACCCUGGAGUUCGUCUCUCUUGUAUCUUUGCUUUCAUAAGAGCAAUGGUCACAAAGCGUUAAAAGGCACUUCCCUAUCAUGGUCAUCUUACAUGCUUGUUGGUAAGUCAAAGAAGUUGCAGAGUUCAGAAUAUGAUGACAUAAUGUUCUUAUUUUUGAGAGCCACCCUCUUUGAUAUCUGGAAUGUCUUGUUGGGCAAAUUGUAUUUGGAUAGCAGUCGCUUAAGAUUUAUCGCUGUCAUUUAUUAUUUUGGAGACAAAUUCUCUGUACAUUUAUGCUGGCGAUGAAACUUUUUAUUCCAGGAAAGAAUGCUUGUUAUGAAUUAUACUGUUUUAUAGCUAAUAGUUUAGAGCCUAUUCCAAUUUCCAAACAAAGAGAAACCAUCUCGGUGUACGUUUCUAGAAGGGAAAAAGGUAAGCAAAUAAAAACCAUAAAAUCUUUUUCAAUAGCCCAUGCUUUAGAAUCUUCUUUUCUUUGGUUAUGGUUGACAAAAAGCGCUCCUUAUUGACUCAAAAAAAAAAAAAAAAAGUGCUCUUACUGACGAAGUUCUCGAGCAAACAAGGGAAAGUCUGUUGUCACGAGUCUGCAGCAAGUACCUAUAGCAGAUAAUAGGGACACAUAACGAAACCACGAAGCUGUUGGGGUAGUAGGGUCGGCUACAACUUGGCCAACAAGUUGAGUAAAAGGCUAAUUUGAACAAAAUUCCUAUGUAAGGAAACCAAUUCUAGAUUCAUUUUAAUUACUGAAUGAUUAUAUUAUUAUUAUUUUUUGGUAUUUAAGUUUUUCAUAAAAUAAUUUAUAAUCAUUAAAAUUAAAAAUUUGACGCUUUACCAUAAGAUAACACUAAAUGGCUAUAUUAAAACUCAAAUUUGCUCUAUUAAAGUUCAGAUUCCGAACCCUUUACCCACCAUGUAUAAAAAAGAAAAAGUACUAUAUUCGCUACAAUAUUGAUCAUUGCUUGACUUUUGGUUCAGACUUGGGCAGGAAGUAGCCAUGAUCUGAGCCUUCUGACAUAAAAAAUAAGAUAAGAACAUUGGAAAUUAGACAACAUUGACACGUUUAAUGGGGUCCAGUUAGAAUAUUUUCUAGUACAACUUAGCAAGCAAGGGAGUGUAGCCACUGGCGCCACUACAUCUAUAUCUGUAUAGAGCAUUAAAAUCUCGUAACACUACUUCCCUCUGCUCUCUUCAACUCAAACUCUUAUAAAUCAUUCUUGUUUUGCUUUGUUCAUCAUCUUCUUUUUCAUCCUUUUUAGUUUUCUUUAAUAGUAUGGAUAUGGUAAAGGGAUUCAGGUUCCACCCAACUGAUCAAGAACUCAUCGAGUAUCUGCAGAUCAAAACCUUCGACCGUGAUUCUGUUGUCCAAGUUAUUGAUGAAGUCCAAGACAUCUGCGAGUCGGAGCCUUGGGAAUUAGCCGGUAAAAUGUUUUAUUUAUUGCUUACUGUAGCAGUUUCUUCUUUGUUUCUGACUAGAGUCUUAGACUGAAGCCUUGUUGAACAUGUUGUGACGUUGUCAUAUACUCAAUUUUGUUUAGAUAUUGUGUGUUUGUGUUUCAGGGCGUUCGGCUUUGCAGACUGGGGACAGAUUGUGGUACUUCAUGUACCCACCAAAAUACAAGUACCGCAAUAGUAAAAGAAUCAGCAGGACCACCCUGGAAGGGUAUUGGAAACCUACUGGUAAUGCUCGUAAAAUAAUUAAUUAUGAUAAUGGCGAGGAGAUUGGCAGCAAGAAGACUUUGGUUUUCUAUAAAGGCCAAUGUAAUGAUAAAAACAAAAACAAGACUUGCUGGGUCAUGCAUGAGUACGAACUCAAGGCUGAUCCUAAGGCCUCUGAUUCUGACCAAGUAAGUGAUCAUUUACAUACCGUAUCUUCAUAUUCUUUGUAUUCAUUCAUGUCAAUGAAGUUUAUUUAUGAGCUUGCAUCAAUAUUUUGCUUUAGCUUUGAAUUUUUCUUUUUCUUUCCUUCGAUGUUGGUGAGGAAAAUUAUGGAUACUGUUGCAUCACAAGUAUGGGUUAGCUUUGCAUCCUUAUACUUUGUUAUUUAUGGAUGACUGCAAAUGCAAGUUAUUUGAAUCAUUGAAUCCCAUGGUUUGCAUUUUUUAAUCCUCUGCAAGUUAUCUAAAAUGGUUAUAAAUGGAAAUGUGAAAAUUUUUUAUUUUAUAUGUGUGAGUUCUGUUCUGUUUUUUCUUCGGCAUCCUAGAAGUUUCAACAACAAAAUAUUUUUGAUAUUUUAUUUAUAUGCACAUUAGUAAUACACUUCUUUUUCUAUUUAAUUUGUGUAGAGAACUUUCAAUCUUUGUAAACUGAAGAAAAAGGCUGAUAUUUCCAGCACUGAAGCUGGUCAAUCAAGUCAGCCUUCUCUUUCUAAUUUAGAAAAUCAUGUAGCAAACAAUGCAAUGUCACAGGUUAGAUGCUUUAUGAUUAUAUUUCUUCUCGUCAAUCAGUUUUCUAUGUCAAUGAUGGUGAGCGUGUUCACAACUAUUGUCUAUUUUUCUAUGAGCAGGAGUUGCUAGACCCUAAAGGGUCAAGUGAGCCAGAGGCAUCUAAUGGCAGUGACAUUGUUCAUAAUAAAUCCAGCAGCAUUGAGACAUUUGCUGGAGAAAGAAGCAAUCAACAUAAUAUAUCUAAUUACAUGCAUCACGUUGCAGAGGAUGCAAUUCCAAAAGUAAGAUGCCUGAUGCGAAAUUUCUUAAUCAUUUAACCUUGUGGAUGAUGACAAUCUAAAACUAAUUCUCUUUCUCUGAUUCAGGAACCGUUACACGUCAUAGAGGUGUCAACAGAAAAGAAUGGACCCGAAGACAGUAAUAGGGUUCAAAAACCGUAUAGCACCAUUGAACAAGACAAUGAGUCCUGCAAUUCAAUUCUCACUAAUGAUGGUGAAACUGUCCCCAUAGAAAGAAGCAAUCAACAUAAUAUAGUUGUUGCAGUUGAAAGCUUCGAAAUGCCUACUAACUUUGAGUUUCUUGCUGAUGAGGAUUUAAUUCCAACGGUAAAAUCAAUUUUGCUUAGUCAUUUGUUCGUGUAGACUAUGAUAAAGAUACACAGAACUAAGCCGUUUUUGUGUAUGUUUCAGGACCUGUUUUACAAUUAUGGGAUAUCACUUGAUGAGUUAUUAGCAGAGCCAAAGGCAACUAAUAACUCUAAUUGGAUUCAAAACCAUUCUAUUACCAACAUAGAAGAUGAGUUCCUGGAUUCAAUUUUUGCUGAUAAUAAUGAAGCCUACCUUCAAGAAGAAGACAGACGGCAGUGUUUGGCUGCUGAAAAUGGAGCCUUAGGCUUGCCCUGCAUAGGCGUAAUGGAAUCAUCUGAUUCAAUGGGGAAAUCUAGAAAAAGACCACGUCUUGAAUACGAUGGAUUAAACCAUCAUGUAGAAACUGGAGAGGCCUAACCUUGGGGAAAAGAAUACCUCUCUAUUAGCAAACCUGUACUCCCCUCGGAUUGGAGGGAGCGUUACGUACCCGUAAUAAGAAAUAUUAUCAGAAUGAUGCCAUCCCAUAGUAAAGCUUAUGUAAACCGAGAAAUAUUAUCAGAAAUGAUAAUCAUGUAAGAUGUUCAUUUAGAAUAGCUUGAAUUCAAACUAUGUUGCUGCUGUCUGUUAUUUUGCAUUUUGAGAUGAUUCUGCAUGUUUUUUUGUUGGUAAUGGAACAUUGCAUCUCGGGUAAGAAUGUUGCUCGCCCUGCACAAAAAUUGUAUUCAGAGCUAGGGAGAUGGCAUAAUAGUUUUCAUUUUGAUUUGCCAGAGUUAUCUAUUACAGUUAUGUUUUUUUUUUUUGGCAAUCAAGGCUGCCAUGAAGCAAAUUAAUAAUCCAGUAUUUGAACUUUUAAAUAUAAUCACCCAGAUGCACAAAUUCGGAUUAGCUGUUUACAAGUGUGAUUGCUAGAGCAUCGGUCACAAUGGGGAAUAAUGGAAUGUACAAAUGGCUCAUCGCCUCACCCCAAGGUUUGUCCCAUUUUCCUUUAUGAGUAAGACACAGCAGGGGACUCCAUUGGCUACCCACCAGCAAGUUGCAAUCCAUAUUCCAAAGCCAAAAACUGAUGGAAGUUUGUAUUCAAGUAAAACAUAUUUCAAACGGGGAAGAUCAUUCAACUUUUCAUCGAGAAAUGUUGGUGUUGAUCUUCAACAAAUGAAACAAAGGACGUUAAAAUCAUUCUCAAAAGUUCAUUAGUACAAAUUUUGACAAAGAUGACAGCAAAAUAUAACAAAAUCAAACAAUAAAAGAAAGGAGGACCCAAAACAUAAUCCACAGCAAAGAUAAUAUUAGCUGCCAAACAGCUGAACUAACAUCAUCCAAUAACAUUAUUAUUGAUAAUUAUAAAAGCACUAGAGCCUAGAAUACAUGAAUCAGCCUAUCCUUAUGAUUCUUCUUUGCUUAGAGUUCUUUGUGCAUAGAGUUUUUCUUCUCGAGCUCGUUUUGCAGCAAGGGCUUCUUCAUCAAGUACUUGUAUAGGAGACCAUUCUGGCAACUUCAACGAACCGUUCUUGUCAAACAUAGAUUCACUGAAGUGGCGUAAUUUAUGUCUUACUUUUGGAACAGCAAAAUCCACUGCCGUCCCAGCAACAGCAAAGAUGAGCGAGUAGCGAUAAGCACCAAGUUGACCACCUAAAAUGCCAAAGAAGAAACCUUUUAAAAGAGACAUCAUGAGGGAUGAUAAAGGUGACAAUCAAGCAACUUUUGCACUUUAGUGCUCAAAAACAGUUGGAGUAACAAUGCAGAGUGAUACUUAUCAACAUGUGCAAAAGCAUACAAGCACAUGGAAAGAGAGAGAAGCCAAUAAAACUUUACCUUGAAGACGACCCAGUAUAGCACCAGAACCAAAUCCAGCAAUUGCAGAAUUCAGUAGAUCAUCAGGUCCUGUUUUGCGAGUUGCUCUUACAAAUUCACGUGCUCCUGCCAAAUUAAAGGUAUUAUUACCGUUUCCAAUUUAAGUAAUCAGUUUGCAAGAAAUAUGGUGCUGUUGAUACCAAAGAAUCCACUAUUGAAUCUGCCGGGUGGCAAAAGCCUAUAUCUCCUACUGCCUUCCAUUUCCUUGAGUAGAAGAUCAAGUUAGCCUCAGCCAUAGAGGAAACGGCAGAAGACAACAGGGGGAAGGCAUGUGUUCUCACAAAUGGGCAUAUUAAAAAGAAAAAAAAAGUGUGAAAGGAAGCAGGGUUUCAGUUUACAGUUAAAGUAUUUGAGGCCUGUUAUAAGAUUGAUGCAUUUCCCAAUGCAGAAUACACAAUCCAUGUAAUUGCGUUUUGGCCCAUUAUCUACUAAAAUCAUCAACCUAGGGUGAUUGGCUAACACAAAAACCUAGGAUGUUCAUAUAAGUCAAAAGCUGCAUUAACCUUCAGAGUAACAUAAUAUUAUACAAUAACACUACUACAAACGAAGAAUGGAGAAAAAAUUGUAGUUCUCAGUAUCCAUGCUAUGGGGUUUCUCUUGAAUGGAGUUUGCAUUCAGCAGUGUGAUGCCCGUGAUGCUAAGUCACACAUGACUGUGAGAAUAGAGAAAUGACUGCAGUAUGCCUAUAUUGUAACAAGUUAUGUUAUGGAGAAGAGAAUGAAUUCCUCAUUCUUAUGACUAUCACAAGAUGAGAACUAACAAGCUCCCUAACAGUAAUGAAAUCAAAGCAUCAAUCAUAACAUCCAAGUGUAAACACCUAAUAUGAUACUCCACCCUAGUUCAAUCCCCUUGAAAUAGGUUGCAUUUCACUGCCUUGUUGUGCCAAACUUCCCUCUAGUUAUGUAAGUCAAGAAAGCCAACCAACCAAGUUGCUUCAAUUUCUGCACCUACAGAACUUCUGUUAACGAAGUUGUCAUCGAAAAAUCUUGCCCCAAGGGAGUACAGCACAAACAACUAAUUUUUCAUUUCGGAAGAUAAAAACAAACCAACAUUAUGGCUUGUGUGUAUAUGUGAAUAUGACUACAGAUGAAGACACUAAAGAAAAAAUGACCCACCAUCACAACCAACAACAUAAAAUUGGUAAAAGAAAUUUCUGUAAGACUCUGUUUGACUGUUGCUAUUUCAACUUUUUUCAAAAGCUACAUUUAGAUUAGAUGGAAAAGGGAGCAAUAUUUUGGAAGAAUUAAACAUAAAAAAUAUGGUUCUUAUAGAUAAUGAAAUUCAGGGUUUCACUUUUAUUCAAAUUAUGAUUGAAAUUACAGUACCUUUUAACCUUCUUUGCUAAUUUCAAUUGAAAAAAAAAAAAGAUUUGGGAUUUACCCAUCACUUGCACUUAGGUACUUAGGAAAGCUGAUAGGGUGAAAGUAAUAGCAAUGAAGAAAGGAAAUACCGCAAUAGCAGCCGGUAACAAUAGCGAAAUUAGCGGCAUAAGUAGCUGAAAUAUUAGCAAGGCCAUGCACUUUUCGAUGUUUUGACACCAACCCAACUCCUCCACCUGCAAACCCUGUUUCAAAAAAAAAAAAAAACCCACAACCAAACCAAUCCAACCAACAUUCCUGAAUAAAUAAAUGGUCAUAAAAAUGAAAGCUUUCGAUUGUUGAAGGAUGGAAAAACUCAAAAACCUGCAAGGACUGUAGGGAUCAAUAUACGAUGCCGCCAGUCCUCAGAGAAUGAUGAUGAUGGGUACUCUCCAGCCAUAUUUAUGGGUUUUGACCUUUUCUGGGGGCGUAAUCAGUUUCUGUUUGUAGAGUUAGUCGUUUCCAGGGAAAUUUUGAUGAGUGACUAACAGUCUGUCUCUCUUUUUGGUGGCUUGGGUCGGUAAACUAAAAACUCCAAUUCGAGUAGACGGUGGAGUGUGGACUCUGGAGUAUGGAUGGAAAUAUAUUGGGUCUGAUCAAUAGGAAAGGCCCAAAACCCGCAGACUUAUUGGUCCUAAUAUCCAUCUGCUACUACUUUAUUAAUGUAGCAAUUCAGCAGAAUUUUGGAUUUAAUUACGUUUAUGAAAAAAUUAAUCCAAAAAUAGUUUUUUGUCACUUUUAUUUCAGUCAAAUAAAGUGUUUAAACAUUCUUUCUUGCUUGUAAAUGCUGCAAAUCCCAUGAAAACAAGGUGAAGACAAUUUCCUAGGUGCUGUCUGAAUUUAUUUUUUCAUGCCUUAACACACUAGUUUCAGAUACAGGGCCAACUAAGCAGGAACCCCCAAGUCUCCCUUCCCCGUAAAUAGCAGAUGGAACCAUAGAGAUAAGAGUACAAUUGGCAUAACCGUAACUAGGAAGGAUUAAUUCUUCUUCUGAAACAAAGGGUUUUGUGCAUUCUGCAUUUUUGCAGUACAUGGACAGCAACAAUGACCUGAAAACAAGUUCAGGGUUCUGCUUCGGGGAAAACAGAAUAAGGCACUAUAUCUUUUUGCAUGCGUCCAUCUGUCUAGUAACAAUCGUGAUUCAUGAUCAGGGUGAUAAUGCAACUAAUAGUUACCACUUAUUGGGUUAAACACUAUUGACAUAUGCUUACCAGAAGAUAAUGAGAUCUAUCAUUACUUGCCCUAAUAGGGGCCUUUAUACACCCAAAAAUGGAGAUCCUGCAACUGGAAUUCAUUUGCUCAAACCAGAUCAUUCAGCCUCAUUCUCGAAACAUAAUUUUUUCAUGAGGCUGAAGAGUCUGGUCCCACCUCUUCUGAAGCUGAGAAAUUAUUGACUCCUUGUUUGCUGUCCAAGUCACUGUUCUCUAUUGCAGGUUCAGACCUCUUCUGUGGUCCAACCCCAAGCCUUCGCUUGAAUUCUGCAAUCAUCAUUCAAGAUAAACCCAUUGAAUAUUUAAAUGGUAAUAUCUCAGAUAAUAAGGAUAGAAUCCAUAUCAAAAAGGGUUACUUUUAUUGGUAAUUGAACGGCGAGUAUAUGCCAAAAACUCAUCCCACUUGAAUUUUCUAAGCUCUUGCUUUUCCUCCUCUGCAAGCUCAAAAUUAGGCUCCCUUCCACACAUGAAAGCAGCUCUACAGACAAAAAUAUCUACCAAUGAGUUUCAAAAUUCAUUAGUCUAUCUAUCAACACAACUACUCUCUAAGUUAUAUUACCAAAAAAUAAUCAAAACCGACAUUAGGAACCAGCUUAGCACAUUAAAAAAUGGUAGAACCAGCAUUGUUUACUUAUAGUAGAUGACAUAAUAAAAAAAAUAAACCAAAGAGAGGCUAGGACUCACAUUUACCUUCACAACCUUUUCAUACAUACCAUACCAUCCCAUAUUCUUGUGUACUUUGCAAUGAAUAGCACUUUUAUUGUAUUUAUCAUCAAUACACAUGAAAACUUUCAAAUAAAUCCAUUAGUAACAUGAAGAAAGAACAAUUUUACCUCAUACGACAAUAAGUGUGAGAACAAAUGAAUAAGAAUUGUUCUUCCAGCAAAUCAAUGUUCUUAUCAGACUACCAUCUAUAAAGCUUAAAGUUCUUUUUGCAUUUAUAUAAAAUUAUCCGUCCUUCAUACUUCAUGCUACUGAAGAAUAAUAUCUGUCUUACAAAUAGUGAUCAGAGUUUCUGGACAAAUUGUAGUAGCAAUCAUUACAAGCAAGAUAAAAGCUAACAUAUUACCUGUCAUACAAACGUGCAGCUUCUUCUUGCGAACCAACAGUCCCUAAGUGAAUCUGUUUCUUGUCAACUUUUAUUGCGGCCUGCCAUUUCAUAUUUUUGAAGUAUACACCCCUCAUUAGACAUGGUUCUUGGUUUUGAACAUGCUUCCUCCUGUGUUGCUUCCUACGUUUGAUUGGUUGCCCUACAGAUAAUAACAUUGUAAAUGGACAUCAGUCAAAACAUAGAAAUUAAAAUGGCUCCCGGCAUCAGAUUUUGAAGCUAAUGAGUAAAAUGACAUGUUUUAUGUGGAAGCACCAUGGCAAGAACUCAGUUCUCUGAUGUAUCAUUUUUCUAUUUAUUCUUACUUACAAAAAGGGGUAAAACACUGUCUCUUCCUCAAAUUGCUUAUGUAUUUAUGUCAAAUAUGUAAUUAUCACAAGAAACACUCUGCAAUAGCCCCCAAAGAAGAUAAAAGAAAAGUCUAAAACUCAUACGUCAACAGGAUUCUAAUACAUAAGAUAAAACGGUUCCAAUUUUUGCAUGUUAAAUAUCCGUAUAUCAAAUCAUUUUCAUAUCAUUUCACAAUGUUGAUUCUUUAGACAGUAGUACCGGUUUGCCAUACUGCCUUGCAUGAACUAAUGAUGUCAAAACCAUGAAACUUUGACAAACGAAUUUUGCAAUAAUUUUAUUUUUCUUCCUUUGCAAAAAUAUAAUCCUUAUUUGCUCGUCUCAAAUAUGGAAUACAUAAAACAAUUAGUGAGAGGCAAGAACGGUAUGCAAAAGAGCAGAGGGCAUGAGGGAAGAAGGAAGCUUUUGGAGAGUUUUUAGCAUAAUCGGCGGAACAUAAACCAUUGCAAUAUUAAUCCGGGCCUUAGCAUCAUAAAUGCAAAUAGGGCAGGGAUGCACUUCUUUCAAGCCAUUUAAAUCUGAAUAUGGAGGAACAGUAAACAACCAUGACAUAAAACCAAAUAAUGAAUAUAAGCUAGUAUUUCAAAUGGUCAGGUUCCGUUAAUCCCAAAAGAGCGCAUAUGGCCAGCCAAUCUACUUUUACUGAUCAGCUGCAUAUGGAUUUUAUAAGCUGGAAACCCAUUAAUAUCAUCUUAAAACACAUAUUUUCAAAGUAAUCCUCAUUAAAUAAAUUCCAAGACAUGCAUUAUUGUCCGACCAAAUUAUUAGUUGCACCUAACAAUCCAAUAGUUGAAUACAACUUCAGACAGCAAAAACAGCUUUUUUUCCAUUGAUUGGAGUUGGUGUUACUAAAGGUCCCAAAUAAAGAUCAUGCAAAAAUGUGAUUGCUUUUGCCAAUCAUUAUCAUGCAAAAUGUGAUUGCUUUUUCCAAUCAUUCCCCCCCCCCACCCCCCCCCCCCCCCCGGGUUGCCCCCACCAUUUUCUGUGUUGUAGUAGCACCUUAUUAUGUCAUACUCCCACCCAUGCCUCAGUUCCUUCUUGUAUGCAAUAUUCUCUAUUUCACUAAAAUUACCUAAUUUAUAUGUGUUUUGUGCAUGCAUCUGAGACAGAGGAAGUGAGAGAGAGGCACUGGAUUUUUUGUUAAUUUUCUAUCUUAAAAAAAUAAACAUGCAAAGAGAAAAAUAAAAAGUUAGAGAGAAAGGAAGAGGAAGGGGGAGAAAGGAAGGAAAGACCAACACCAAGCCAUAAACAAGUAAACAUUUUGCAGGUUUUGUCAAUGCUAACAAACAUAAGAGUUUUUUCCCAAACAAAGGUACUUUGAUAUCUUAUUUCUUUAAGUGGAAUACUUUUAAACUUUAUUCUUAAAAACAGAUAGUAUUCUACAAUUCAAUUCCAUGUCAGCAUGAAAUUCCACGUCACUUUAUUUUUUGAUCUUCUCUUCCUUUCUCCAUUGUAACCAUUCAUCUCUUAAAAAAUGCAGAAAGCUUAUCAGAUAGAAGACAAUCAUUGCAACGCUGUAACAUGCCCUGACAACAAGUAUAAACUUACCUUGCUAUUCGAUAAUAUUUAACAAAACCAAAAACCAUUAAUUGAAAAGAUGCGGGUUUUAAGGCAAAGCAUAGAAUGUUCUUGGAUUCUCGACGGCACCAAAUAAUUUUGAGCACCUUCAGGAGUAGAUCUAGAGAGUAUUGCAGUUUCAAUCUACCUCCAAAUAAUCUCUCUUUUUUGCUCCAGAAAAACUAUUCAUCAAUUUCUCUUUUUUUUUUUAAUAACCAUUCAUCUCUUUUUAAUUUUUUAUCUUUUGGCAACAAAAAAACUCAUGAACAAAGAAACAAAAAAUCCAACCCAGUAGAGUUGAAAGAAUAAUCUAAAUAGCAAGAGUUAGGAUCUCCUUCACAAAAUUUUUUGAAUGAUUCUGAAAAUAUAAAACCAUCGCACCAUGAUUAUUCACUUCCCACCGAAUAAAUGCUCUUCAAAUUUUAUUUUAUAGUUUUUUUUUUUUUUAUUUCUUCUUUGUUUUACAUCUUUUGGUUUUGAUCUUAGAUUUUUCCCUUCUCUUUUUCUCUCUCUACCUAAUUUGCAGUAGUAUUGGUCUACAUUCCAUUGAGCAUCUCCCUUUUAUUUUUCCUUCUGCUUUCUUCACCAGCCUUGCUGCUAAAUUCAGUUCCAAUUUUCAAGAGCUAAGGUUCUAAAGUAUCGUCAAAAACAAAAAAAGUUUCUUAUAGACAUUUCAUUGAACACCCUUUAAACAUCAAUAGUUUGUUUUUAGUAAAUAACAAUGCAUGAAUAUUUUAAUUCAAAUGAAAAGAAAAGAUAAAGAGAGGACAAUCUGAUGAUAGGGACAAAGAAGAGAAGAUGAGGCUUUUUCAAGAUAUGUGUAUUUUAGAAUUUUUUGACUGAAUUAAAACUAAGUAAAUAAUUUAUCAUUUAUUUUAUUUUUAUAUAAUUUGUCAUAUAUAUCUGAUGUGGAUUCCAAGUUCAAAGUAUCUUAUUUUAGGAAUUAACUUUAAAACUAUUCUAAUUUGAUAAAUAAGACUAUAGGGUGCCUUAUCAUGAGAAAAAACUCAACAAACAUAUGGAACACGUGUUUCAAAAGAGACAAACCUGGAAAAGGUUGAUUAUGCUGCUCUUUUGAUGAACCAGAACCAGAAACAUUUGGUGAUCCAGAGCCAACCUUAGCAAUGUUUUUCUGAGAAACAACAUCAAAUAAUUACACGUAAGAAAGUGUUUGGUAAAAACAGAAAUUGAACAGUACAUUCCACUUAGCUUUCAUCUAUCAUGAUAUUAAAGACCUGAAUCAUUUAAUAUAUUCAUAAAGAACUUCCAUUUGGAAGCAUGCCAAUUCAAUAAACUAAAAAAUAGCAAAAAAAUUUUGAAUUAAAAUUCCAGAACAGCGAAGCAUUUGCACAAACAAUAAAACAGAUUCUGAAAUGCAGACAGCUUUUCUACCUAUAAGUUAAAGCAACUCCGAAUCAAGAGUACACUUGGCCAGUAUGCCGAAUAUAGAUGCAGUUAAAUACCAUUUUAAUUGACAACUGACUCUUUACCCUGUGCUUAUAGCUCAAAAAGGAACCACUAUAUCUCAAACGAAUUCGUUUAACAAGAAUGGGUGGCCCAGGACACAAUGGACUAACCAACCAUCAACAGUUUCAUCAUAUUCUUUUCAUUCCUCCAUAUUGGCAGAGGAACCCAGGAAUCCUUAUGAUCACAUACAUGGCAUACACAGAGGAAAGAUACUAUGAUUACCAAUUGCAUAUUUUCCAUCAAUUGCGAGUAAAGACAUAAUUCUUUGUAUUCAAUGAUUCUCAUCCAGCAUGGAGUUAAAACAAGUAGCAUGUACCAUGUCCUACUUUUUCUCAUGGAUCCACCUUUUAGCUCACUCCAUUAGAACACAACCAGAAAAUGCCACCAACAGAUGGCUUGGAUAUUCAUAUAACUAUAACUACUAAACCAAACAUGAGCACUGCAAUUGUGACAGGCUACCAUGCAAAUACAGAUACCAAAACAAUGAUGAAGAUAGAAUGUAAUCUCUGUCAGUACUUAUCAACUAAGGAUACAUUCUAUCAUGUUUUCAUUUUUGCAUAUUACCAAUCUUUCUUAAAAUAUGGAAUUAAAGAAGAUCCACCAUAAGGGAGGAGAAAUUCUUCCACAAUGAGAGGUACCAGUAAAUAUAUAAUUAUGGACUCAGCUAAGUUACAAGACCAGUUUAAGAUUAGCAGAGGUUUAAAGAAAAUGAACUAUGAUUGAAAAUCCAUAAUGGUAUAUCCUUUCCUCCUUUCUUUUUUCCCAAGAACGCAUACUUAAUCUGACACCCCCAGCCCCACUCUUGUGCGUUGUAUGCAUGCUAGUCAUUGAAAAUGUUGGAUAUGGAUAAAUAUGAAAAAGUGGUCAAUCGUUUGACAUAGAGUAGUGAGGCAUUAUUAAGGCAAACAUCCCUAUCCCAAGAGAAAAAGAAAGAUAAAAGGAAUCUCUGCAAGCUGCUAAGUUCAUACAAAAUAGUAAAAGAAAUAGUUAUACAACACCAACUUAUAUCAGCAUUCUUACCCCAUGCAGGUGGUUGAUUUCUGAGGGCAUAGGAUGCACACUAACUGAUCUUACAUUUUGACUUGAAUUUUCAGGGGCAUUGCCAUUGUCAAAAAAUCUUGGAAGAGGAGUCAAAAAGGAACUCUUCCCUACGAAAGGUCACCAAAUUUGGUGAAUGAAAUUAUUCAAUCAUAAAUUAGAACUUGUUUGCUUACAUUCUAUCUAAGUAACUCAUAGUUUACUCAAUGAAACUGACCCUAGAAACCAAAAAGGCAAAGAAUUGAAGGAUACACUUUACAUAACAAUAUAUAGUAAAGGUUCCUACUCAUUGCUAUCAAUAGAAGCAACUAAUUAUGCAAAUAUAAAGUACAUCUCAACUACGUUUACCAGAGCAGAGUCCCAGGAGCUUGCGUCUGCGUAUGCUCACCAUGACGGCAAUCCUUUAAUUAGUGAACAAUUUUUUAGUUGAUCGCCCUUAGCAUUUGUCCCGAUAUCUGUUCUCCUAAGCUUACCAAAGAUGGGCCAAUUAGGAGUGGAUUAAACAAUUAGAGAAUGACAAACGUUAAAGCAAAAUAUAUUAGAAAAUGAACAAGAUGGCAGAUGAAAACAGAAGGCUGAGAUGUAUAGCAAACAGCAUCAUAAUAUAAGUAAACAAGAUAUCACCUAUCAUAGUUAUACAGCAAAAGGAGAAAAAUGUCAACAGAGAAAAAGCGGUUCCUUUGGACUGAUACAAGGAAAGCCAUCAAAAACUAUAAGUCAAUGCAAGUAAUCUGAAGCACCUAAGCAAUUUAGACAAAGAAAUUCAAGGAAAAUGGAAUUGCCUGGUGAAACUCCCAGAUGUUAAUCAACUUUAUGUUAUCAAAUAUUGAUGUCAACCACAAGUACUUUCUUACAGAAUUCGGUUGGCUGAAAACCAACUAUUUUCUCAUCAUCACGUAUGUUUGAUUUCGAUAAUGCUGCAUAGACAAGCAGGGGGCUAAAAUCUAAAUCCCAUGUACGGAUUAGAUUUCUAAAAAAGACAACAGAGUUGAUGCUGGUAAAACGGAAAUCAUUCAUAAACGAAAUUUAAAGAAUGCUAUGAACAAUCCAUUGCAAAUCACAUGACACGUUUUUAGUCACCCUCUAUUCAGGUCAAACGGUAUUCACUUCUAUAGAAGUUAACCAGACUCCGGAUAAGGCGGCAAGGUGACAUAAAGCUCAGCCAUUUUUUUUUUUGGAAAAAAUAAAUUCAUUAUAUUUUGCAUAAAGUAAAGCCAAAACUUUCAUCAUGUGAAACUAACAAAGCAGUCCAAUGAGUCUGCCUAAUAAAAAUCCCAAUUAUCUCUCCGUGGAAAAUAAGUCAACCCCACCAACCUACCACCUUUCAUGGAAGAAGAGGCAGUGAACAAACAAGACAAAACACAAUACCCAAACCACCCAAAACACACAAAAAUCAAAGAGAAAAAGGAAACCCACAAAGCCAAAGCGUUUAAGCCCAUCAAAGCAAAAAAUGGCCAUAACUCCAUAACCAGGAACAGCAAAAACCACCCAUUACAAAGAAGAAGAUAAACGAAUAAAAAGAAAAAAAAAAGUCAUUGUUUUUAUCAUUUGGUACCUGAGACAGAGAAAGAAAAGGUAGUUGUUGAGACAGCGUAGAAACCGAGGAGAAACACAGAGAGAAAGACAGGUUUUUUAAGGUUAAAACUAAAAUCCGGUAAAAACUAAAAACCAAAAAAAAAAAUGUAAAAAAAUAAGGAUUUUUUUGUGUGAAGGAAGAUGGUAAAAGAAGAUAAGAGUGAAAAGAAAAAGAAAAUAAGAGCGUUUUUAAGAAGUUGGUGAUGCUGUUGGUGUUGCUGUGGUGGUGGCUCAUGCAUCUACCACCUUUUGUUUGUUUGCUUUUAUGUUAAAAUUUUUUGUGUUUUGAUUGAAAGCCCAUUUUUAUGAGGGUGGUGGAGCUGAUGGUGUAGACGGAGAAAAAUAAAUGUAAAGAAAAAAAUAAAAAAAUAAAUCAAAGCGAAUGCCAAAACCAACGGCCAAGUCUUUGUACACAGAGAGAGAGAGAGAGAGAGAGAAUGUUGAAUAUGAGAAGGGGAACGUUUGCUUCUAUUUGUGUACUUUUUGUCUUUAGUCAGCUCAACAAUGAUUCCUCUACUGCCCCUCUCCAGUUUUCCAAAUACCAUAUCUCUUAAGGUUUCUUUAGCCGUCUUUAGAUUUACCUUAAUACCCUUUUGCUUUUAUAUGAACUGUUAUUUCUUUUUUUUUCUUUUCUAAAGUAAAGAAUAAAGCUAUAAAAAUUGACUCCAACUUCAAAAAUCUUCUUAAAUCCGAUUUAAUUUAUAAAAGUCAAUAACCCAAAACAAAUCAAACUCAAAUUCAUGAAUAAUUUGAAAUUAAAUUUAUUUUAUUUUAAAAUUUAAUAAUUUAGAUUUGAAAAUAUCGAAACUCACACAACUCAAUGUUAAGCUGGAAAAAUUUUUUAACUUCAAAUAAUUUAGAUUCGAAAUAAUUUAAUUUUGAGAUGAUGUGAAGCUUAAAUAAUCUAACCCUGAAAAUAAACCAAAUUUUCAAAAACUCAAAAUAACCCAAUACGAAGUGGCCGAUCAAACUUGACCCAACUUGUCUAAAAGCCAACUCCUACGGAAUUUUCUUUUGUGAUAUUAUUUGGUGGAGAAGGUAAUAAUCACUAAUUCAAUGAAUUAUUUGUUAUAGAUGUCAGAGUGCUUGCAUAUAACUUAUCUGUUUUUGUUUAUUUAAAAGAGGUUGAUAUGUGAUAUUGAUUUGGUUUUUCAGCAAAGUAGAAAAAAAAUCAAGAUAGUUUAAAAUAAAAUAAUUUAUGUAUUUAUGUUGUAUAAAAUAUUGAUAAUUUAUAUUUUUAUAAUAUUUUAUAUAAAAAUUAUGUAUUACAAUUCGUAUCGAUAAAAAAUAUAAAAUAUAUUUUUUAUUUUAUUAAAUUUAUUUAUAAUUUUUAUUAAAUUUUAAAUUAUAUUAUUUUUAUGUUUUUUAUUCGAAUUAUUUUUGUCUCGUAUUAUCAUAUCAUAUUUUAAAUUAUCAAAUUUAAAUGAAAGUAAAACUUAAAUUAAAAAACAUAAAUAAAUUUUAAUGUGACUUGAAAAUUAAGUUAGUCUCAUUAUAUUGUCAUCCUUAAAAAAAAAAAAAAAAAAAAGAUCAUUUUAUACAAAAUGCCAUACUUCAUUUUUUUUUAAGAGAAGUCAUAGUUCUUAUUGUUAAAUGUUCUUUUUAAAUACAACUAUAUAUAGCUUAAUCAAGCGAUUAUUACUAUUGCUUCCAAUGUUAGAAUCAAAGCUCUCCCGAGGAAUUGAAUUUUUUUCACCUAAAUUGAAAAGGAAUCUUCUUUUUAUAGGAGUAGCUCUUUUCUCAAUUAUCAUGAGCAUCUAAUUAACACUAAUGAUUUUUAAACUAUGACUAGGUGAAUUUGAAGCAUAAGUCUUUUGUGAAUUAUGAAAUAAGAGUGCUGUAUACGUUCAAGGAGAUAUUACUUUCGUGAAGACAUCACUUAUAAUUAUUAUAUUAUAAUUAAUUAUAAUUUGAAUUUAACAUUAAAUUUAGUUGAUUUAUAUAAUAAUUUUUAAAAAUCUUAAAAUAUAAUGUUUAACAAAUUUAGAAUUCAAAUAUUUAUAUUUAUAAUUUUUUUAUUUAAAAUUUAAUUAUAAUUUAGGAUCGCAUAAAAUAAAUCAAAAUAUUAUAUGAAGCAUGCAUUUAUAAAUAAUAAAUUUUUACAUAAUUUUUAAUCACAAUCAAAUAAUUACACGAUGGCAAGAAAAAGAAUUAUAAAUGAUAUAUUUGCAUGCUUAGGCAAAUGUUUUAACGGUGCAUAAUAAUUUGUUAGCGAUACCAAUACCAUUACCAUCAAUCAACGUAAGUACAUCACUGAACAUUGUACUCCCCUAGCGAUCUCCAUCCACUAAAAGAUAAAAGAAAUAUGCGCACAUGCAAUUUUUUUUUUAUUCUUUCAAAAUUCGAGAUAAAUAAAUUAUUUAAUUUUUAAAUUAAAAAAAUAUAUCGUAUAUGAUAGUUUAAGAUAUAUGAUUUAAAUUAUGUAUUUGAGAUGACUUCAACAAAUGAUCACUAAUAAAAUUUAAAUUCAAAAUCUCUUUAUUGAAAAAGACGAACAUACGUAAGUUUUGUAUAAUACAUGAAAAUAUGUGACUUAAAUUGUUUAUUCAAUAUGAUUCUAAUAAAAUAAUCAUCAAUAAAAUUUAAAUUUAAAAUUUUUUUAUAAAAAAAAACGAGCAUAUGCAAAUUUUGUAUAGUGCAAGAGAACAUAUAUUUGGUCACAUUCACUUUUUGUAUACUCAACUAUUAUGAAUGAAUAUUUUUAUAAAUGGGUUUCUCUUUUUUUUUUUUUUUUUGUUAUUUAACAAAUAUUUUCAAGUAGCAUAAGUGUGGCGUUGGACGCUGAUCGGAUAGACUUUCUUCUAUUGUUUGUGUUGUUUAUUCGUUCCUUUUAUGAUUUCGGGAAGAAAAAGAAAAAGUUUUAUUUUCGGUAAAGAUUCAGUUUAUAGGAUGGAGCAUGGCGACUUCAAAUAAUUAUCAACAAUGAGAGCAACAUGAUCGAUCAAACAUAAUUAUUUUAUGGAGAUCAGUAAUCAUAUUAAUAUUUAUUUAAUAAUUAUUUAAAAUUUUUUCAUUUCAAACAAUGAAGUUUUGAUUUAAUAAUAAAUAUAACAAAUUUAAAUUAAAAAUUACUGUGUAUAAAUUUAAUUUAAUUUUAUUUUACAUUAAAUUUAUCUACUUAUAAUUAAUUUUUUUUUAUUUUUUUAAAUCUUAAAUUUAAUGGAACUUGAACUUUGAACAAAAAUUUGCAAGUAUCAACUUGACUCAAUCCGAGUUGAUAAUAAACACAUCUAACUCAAUUCAUGGUAUAGUUUAAAAAUGAAUAUGUCACAUCAAAUUCUUUGAAUUUAUUCUUCUGGAAAACUGUCACUUGUGAAUGAUGAUUUUGAUUUUGCUGUACUUAGACCAAACCUAAAAUCGUAACAUCAAGAAUGCUAUCACAUACUGUUAAACUAAAAGAGUUUAUAACCCAUCAAUUUGUUGGUCCCGGUGGAUAUGCUAGCUAACCAAAAUGUUGGACUUUUUUUUUUUUCAUGGCCAAUCAAAAGAAUAAAAGUAUUUAUUGUUAGGAUUAAAAGUCAAGAAUACUGUAAAUGAUUUGAAUUCAAAAGUAUAGAGACGAAGAUAAUUAUAUUAGAUGUAAAUAUAUAAAUUUUAAAAAAUAAUUAUAUCUUAUCUAAUUUUUUUGAAAUUUUCAAUUAUGUGAUGUCUAUAAACAUUGGUUAAAAAUAAUUAAAAUACUAAUUUGUAAAAUGUUUUCAUUUGAUAAAUUGUUUUCAUCAAAUUCAAAAAAAAACAACACGUUAAUUACAAUUUUUUUCUUGAAAUAUAAUCUUAACUGAUACUUGAUAGUGUGAAUUAAUAUUUUCCUUUUAAAUUAUAUUUAUUUGAAAGAUUUAUAAUAAAUAAAAAAAAACUAAAGAUAGGUGAUUCAUCCGAUAGUUUGUUUGAGAUUUUGAAGAAUUUAAGCAUGAAUAUUAAUUUUAUUAAAUGGAUUUGGAUAAAUAAUGAGAUUGAUUUAAAAAAAAAAAGAUAGAACUUGAGUUUUAAUAUUUAAAGUUCGAGUUUGGUCCGAUUUAAAAAUAAAAAGUAUUUGUUAUUAUAACGGGAUUUACUUUACUUUUUUAUAAUAAAUAAUGCUCAUUUGCUUCAUUCUUACAAUAUGAUAAAUUUUAUUUUUUUAUAUAAAAUAAUGAUCAAAUUUUAAAUUACAUUUAACAAAAUUAAAUUGAACUAAAAUCUAAAUGACUUAUAAAUUCAAUUAAAUUAGUUAAAAUAAUAAUUUUAAAAAAUAAAAAAAUCUAUCUUCCUCAAUUUUAAAUACUAAUAUUUUAAGUGAGUUUGAACUUUAAAAUUAUAAAUAAGAACCGGGUUAGAUAGAAAAUGAGACUAAAAAAAUUAGAUUCGAUCAAGCUUAAACUUACUUAAAAUGUUAAAAUAUCAUAUAAAAUUUAGCCAUGCUCAUGAACAGGUCUAAGAUGAAUUUAAAAUUUAAUUAAUUUAAUUAACUCAUACAAUCAAUUUUAAGAGUCAAUAUUUAAUAUAUUUCAGAUUCAAAUUUUAAUUUAUAUAAUUUUUUUUAUUUUCAAAUUGCAACAUUAAUAACGUCUAAUAUUAAUAUUCAAAUUAUUCAACUACUUAAAAAUAUAUAAUAUCAAAGUAAUAGGUAAUAGUAUUAUGAGUUUUUUUUAAUAUCAAAUAAAAAACAAAUUUCAUCAAAUUGACGCAUGAAAAUAGCUUUCCCAAAAGAUUAUUCAAAGAUCGUGGCAUUUAAGGUUAAGCAAACGAAGAAAGUCAGAGAAAGCUACGGACAAUGCAAUAGGAGGGCAAUCAUGUCAUAUGGCACUAUAAGCCAAGCGGCGGAUAAAGAGGGGACGAAACGGGCAAAAAGGGGAAAGCAAAGGGUAGACAAAGUGGCUAAGAGAAAUUAUUAUUAGUGUGGCUUGGUUGGUAUCGAGCGAAAGGCACCGACGAUGCUCUGAUUGGAUGGGCGGCCUGUCAUAGAAGCUGUGUAGAUAAUGUCCAGCCAACCUCAACCCUAAAAUCUUUUUCCUCUGUUAACUUCCCAUAUAUAGUCUUUUUACUUGCUAGUAUAGCCAAUUGGAGCUUAUGGCCCAUUUUCCCUCUGGGAAUCCCAUCCAAUGUGAAGGCCAAUUGGUCAUAAGAAAAUCAAGUUGAAGCAUGAAAUUAUAUAAAAAGAAAAAAUCAUGAGUCUUGAUAUGAAUUUGUGUCCCUCUACAAUAAAACAAAUAUUCGAAUUUCCGUAAGGAUUAGGUAAGUAUUUUAUAUUUAUAAAAUUAAGUUUUUUUUAUUAUCAAUAAUUUUUUAUAAAUAAUUUAUAAAUUUUAACUGAUAAAAAAAACCUCCCUUAUUUUAAAUUUUUUAUGAUAACAAUAUUAUGAAAUCAAAAGCGAUCGGAUUGACUGCGGGCUCCGCACCAUAUUUUUC
This 124839-nucleotide long non-coding RNA is filed under the name Durio zibethinus. RNAcentral describes it as "long non-coding RNA (DZIB_LNC000536)". The stretch from base 52935 to 53007 matches the Rfam family "tRNA". Lineage: Eukaryota; Viridiplantae; Streptophyta; Magnoliopsida; Malvales; Malvaceae. The record is from RNAcentral.